Molecule: long non-coding RNA, 140682 nt
Filed under: Vitis vinifera (wine grape)
Lineage: Eukaryota; Viridiplantae; Streptophyta; Magnoliopsida; Vitales; Vitaceae
Description: long non-coding RNA (VVIN_LNC007054)
Source: RNAcentral
UGGAGUGUAGUAUCCCCUGUACUGCACAAUAGCUGUGGUGGUUGUGUUAUCAUAAAAAUUUUGAGCUACCGGGGCAAUGGAAUAAGUUUUAGCCGCCAUGUAAUAGUGAUCCGGGUGUUGGUUAGCUUCUAGUAAGACAUCGAAGGUUUGGCCAGGAUAUAUUGUGAUAUAAUCUUGUGUCAAUGGUUUCGUGUAGCUACCAUCUGUUCCAACCACUGUCAUUUUAUGCUUGGCAAUUGAGAAGAAGAGAGCCUCAUGCAAGGCAGCAUUGAUUAUGCGAAGUAGAUAAGUCUUUCCAUGAUCCACCGUUAGCUUGAAUGUGCCUGCAAUUAGAAAGGGAAAGUUAUAUACUUACGACUAGAGAAAAGAAAAGGAAAAAAUUUCCAUGAGGAUCCACCAAUUAUGAAGUGAUUGAUUGAUUAGGGAUGUAAGUUUGGCUCCAUAGUUCAAAAUUAUAUUUGAACUAGCCUUUUCUCAUGUGUUAAAUCAUGGCUCUACCAUCCUCAUAGCUAUAUUCCUCUUUCUUAGCAUUAAGUUUUAAAUAUGUUGAUGUUAAUAAGAAAAAGUAAUAUGGUUAACAUACAAGAAAAUGAGAUCAAUGUACAAUUUUAAAAUGGGAAGUUAAACUUUAUACCUGAUUUUGAGCAUGGAUAUAGAUCACCGGGUUGUCCAUUUAUCAAUAAAGAAUCAGAGGCAUUAGGGUCAGCUCCGGUUGCAAGCCCUUCAUCUCGAACCGCAUUCACAUCACUCUUCCACCAUUGUCCUGCAUUUCAACACAACUCCAAUAAUUUAGAUUUCUCUUUGUUAGUUAAUUCAUGAUAUGUAAAUUAACCUGUAAAAGGAACUACACUUAUACCUAAUAUGAUGGGAAUUUCUGCGUUAGGCUUGGGAAAAGGAUACUUGGUUCCAUUCUUUGGAUAAACGAUUAUUGCUCCAUGAACAGUGGCUCGGGUCCAGUCACUGUGAGCAUGCCACCAUAAAGUGCCUUCCUCAGAGGAAAGGAUGAUCUUCUGGCUAAACUUUGACCCUGGUUGAAUUGGGCAUUGUGUGAUAUACUCGGGACCAUCUGUCCAUGGAUAUCUAGGCAUGUUCACCCCAUGCCUGCAAAACAAUAACUAUACGUUAAAACUAGUACUAAUUUUUGGACUAACAAAAUAUGGCAUGUAGCAACAUAUUAUCAUAGUAACAAGAGGCAUCAACUGUAUUUCAAUGGAACUGAUGCAAAUAACCCUUAAAUAUUAUUUUAAAUUUAACUUUAUUUGCAAAGCAAUACAUUGGAGCCCCCUCUUAGAAAUAAAAGAAUGUAUGUCAUGCAGGCAUGCUGCCCAUUGCUAUCUUUCUCCGAGACACGCAUAGGACUUACCAGUGAAUGGUGAUAUUUUAUUUUCCCCUGUUAUAAACAUCAACAAUGAUCGUCUCUCCUUUCUUAGCAUAUAUAGUUGGUCCUGGAAAUUGUCCAUUUACUGUUAAGAUGUUCUUGGUGCUACAAAGCCUUGUAUAUGAAGCUUNNNNNNNNNNNNNNNNNNNNNNNNNNNNNNNNNNNNNNNNNNNNNNNNNNNNNNNNNNNNNNNNNNNNNNNNNNNNNNNNNNNNNNNNNNNNNNNNNNNNCAAAGCCUUGUAUAUGAAGCUUCCUUCACCUGCAACCAAUUAAAAGUUAACAUUGUAACCUCAUCCCAAAAGAAAUAUUACAUGUAUGAAUAGUUGCAUCGAUCCAUUCAUGCAAGAGUAUAACCAAUUAGAAAUUGAUAGCAUGCAUGAGCGACUCAACAAGACCAAGGUACCCGAAGACUCCAUGAGGAUCAUACGGUGGAAAAUGAGAGCCAUACUGCUCCCUAAAUAUUAUGAUCAGAAGUUGGCAUUAAGGCUAGAAUCAUAUAUAGUAUUUACCACAAAAGUAAGCCGACGAGUUGAAGCUUGGCAAUGGAUGCCACCACCAAAAAGUAGAAACGCUAAAAUUUGCAAGAGGAAAACCUUCAUGAUCAGCCACAUCUUCUUUGGAACAAAAGCCUCUUCUCUUGUCCUAAACACAACUCCUUCAAUUUUCUUACUAUUUCUAAUAAGCACGACUCAUUCAACAUUAUUCUUGAUCUGUUGAAUGAUGCUCAAAUUCAAGAAAUCUAAUUUUCUCAAGUAAAUUAGAUUUUUCAGCAUUAAGCACAUCAAUCUUAUUUUUAUUUGCAUCAAGAACUCUUAAUUAAUCUUUCAUGCUCAAUAAAAAGAUUGUCAAAGAAUUCAACCAUUUGUUUAUCAGUAAACUCAUCAUCAUUAAUAUCACUAUCACUAUGACAAUAAGAAUUAUUCUUAUAUUCUAUAGAUGCAACAAAACUUAACAUGUCAUUGGGAUCGUACCUUGCAUAUUCAGAAAUUGUAACAACACCGUCUUUAGAAUACAAGUAACUCCAUGUUGCUUAUAUAAACGUUUUAAUAUUUUUGGGGCUAGGACACUCUUAAGAGUAGUGUCCCAUGCCUCCAUACACUACAAGAAAAAGAGUCAUUAUUGACAUAUAUCCUCUUGACUUAAGAUAAUAUAUGUGAAGAUAGUCUAUUUAAAUGAACAAUUAUGACAUAUACAACUUUAUUUAAACCAAUAAUGACAUAUAUAAUAGUUAUUGUAUUUUUCCAUGACUUAUGAUGAUGCAACCAUGAUAAAUAAUUUAUAAGUCAAUCUAUAAUUAAUAUGUUCAUAUGUCAAGGUAUCCAAAUGAUAUCAAUAUAUAUAUAUAUAUUCAUGUCAAGGUAUUUAUAGAGGCUGGAGGUGAAAGCUGAACAGCUGGUUUCUCUCCAACUUUUGCUGUAUUUCUUUAAUAUAUAAUUCAUAAUCUAUUCAAGAUGAUUUUCCUGGGGUACAACCAUUCCUCGCCGCGUAUCAAUAUAAGAGAAGUAAUUUGAAUGUGUACUGGUUUUGAACGUUCUUCCAGGACCACUUCAAAGAGCAGGUUGUGUAUGAUAUCUGAUCACUUACCAAAAUUUAAAUAAACCAAAUGCCUGAAGACGAGUUUCUUAGAAUCUCUUGAAUUUUCUAAUUCAAAAUACAAGUUUGACUUUGAGAAUUGACCAAGAAAUUAAUCAAACACACUAUUUUAGAAUAAAUUUAAAAUAUAUGUAGAAUACUUUUAAAACUUUGACCUCGCAUAUAUACGAUACCUUUAUCAAGAUUAGUCAAGAUUUUCUCUUUGUAUUUGGUAGGAAGGGAAAAGUCAGCGCUGCUUUCAGAAGGAAUGUAGGAUUCCAUUAUAGGAAAGAAACAAUCAUUCAAUUAUAGGAACCGGAUCGGAAAUUCCUUGUCCGGUUGGAGGGUCAAUCCAGACAUUCAAAUCAUUAGGUCAGCGAUGAAAUCAUUCAACAUGCUCACCAUCAAAUAAUUAUUGGUUUCCUUUGCAUAUUUCCUCCAUACCGGCUUUAAUCUUGAUAAGACAUAUUGCACAGAUAAAUUGCAAGCACCAACAUAUAAAUUAGUUUAAACAUUCAGACAUUUUCAAACAUCAAAUCUCCACUUUUUAAAAAAUAAUAAUAAAUAAUAAAUAAUAAAUAAUUAUAGAUUUAAAAAUAACUUUUUCCAGAACAAAUAAAAAAUAAUUCAAACUUCCUUCGUUUAUUGUACCAUAUACAAAGAAAAAUCAUUAUAUAAAUAAAAUAUGCAAAGAUGUAUAUAUUUUUAAAUUAUUUAUAAACAGAAAAAAUGAUGAAUAAAAUUUAAGAUGUGAAAAUUUGAUCAAGUUAAUUUAAACUUCUUUUAUUUUUUUUCACUUUUUUUCUCCUAUUUUUUCACACCAUUUUUUUUUUCUCACAUUUCCUUUUAAACUUUUGGAAUAAAUUCCCUACUAUUUGUGGAGCUUUAAUAUAAUUUUUUUCUCCAUAUUAUACAUAUUUAUGCAAUAGUUGGUUAAACUAUUUUGAAUGUCUAUUUUUACCUUAACAAGAAACAUUUCUUGAAAAUGAAGAUUAUUUUCUCCUUAUUUUCAAAUUUGUGUUUCUCCACUUUUUAAAAAAAAAUAAUAAAAAAAAAUUGUAGAUUUAAAAUAACUUUUUUCAGAACAAAUACAAUAUAUAGCCGGCUUAUACAAACUAUUAUCUAAAAAAAGGAAAAGUAAAAUAAGAAAUAAUUCAAACUUCUUUGUUUGGUUUAUUGUACCAUAUACAAAGAGUUUUAAAUAAUAAAUUUGAAGCUCAUCCCAAACACUUUAAAGAGUUUUAGAAAUCGAUACUAAAUUCAAUCUUAUAUUAAAACUCCUAAAUAAUCAAUUGUAAAGUUGUUUUCAAAUGAAACCCAUCUUAUCUUGAUUUCCCCUCACUAAGAUACUUAAAAAGUGGAAUAAUAGAUAAGAGUGAACUUAAAACUCAAUUAAGAAAAUAGGUCAAUAAGGAAGAUCAAUUAUAGUACAAAGUUAAAUCUUAGGAGAUAUUACAUCUUUAUAAAAAAAAAAUUGAAUUAGUACGAGUUCAUUUAAUUCAAUAAUUAAAUUCAUUUUGUUCAAAAAAUUAUGCACUUUCAAUUUAAAGAUAGAAUUAAAUAAUAUACUUUACAUACUUAAAUUAUAAACAAACAUUUUACUCUGACUCAUUGAUAAUAACAUUGUGCCCAAAUAGUAGAACUUACAUUAGGUGGUUAGUCUCACUUUGUGCCUUUUACCAAUGGACAAAAUGAUUUAUAAUCAAUGAUAUACCAAAGGCUAAUAACACCCUUAUUAGCUAGACUUACAUUAUAUCACUAUCCUCACCAAAGGUAACGCAGGUCAACAACUUUUCUCUUAAACCAAUAUAAUAAAUUAAAUGAUAAAAUUCAUUUGCAUAACAAUAAACAAAUCAUAUGAUAUUCCCAAUUUAUUUUAUAAACUAAGGAACAAAUCAUAACAUUUUUAGUAAAAUAUUAUUUGAUCCACUUUAAGGAACUUAAACAUUUUGAUAGUUUAAAAAUAGAUGAAAAAAAAUAAGAAAUUAUAAAAUGGUUUACUAUACUAUUAACCAUUACCUUGAAGAAAUCAUUCAAAAUUCUGAAAGACUUAAUCUACACCUAAUAUAAAUAUAAAUAAAAAAUAAUUAUUAAAGAUUAAUUAUCUAAAUUAAUGUCUUCCUAAUUCUUUUGUAAAAAUUACUUUAAUUCCAAACCCUUUUCUAAAGUUCUAUUUUUUUUAAUUGAAUUUUUUAUUAACCAUAUUAUUAUUAUUAUCAUUUUCACUUCCCAUAAUUACAUUAAUGGGUAUUCUUGAAUUAUUAAUGUUAAUAUUCCUUCUUCUUUUUUUCAUGGUAGGAAGUAGGUAAUUAUUUAUUAAUUUACUACUAUUUUUACUUAUCUCCUACCCACAACCCAAAUCUUAUUAUUACUUUAUUAUUUCUUUGCCACAACCACUUUCCUCAUUUCCUCAAUUCUUCUUCCUAUUAAUCUAAUGAAGCAAAUAAAAAAGUUUCUUCUUUCUAACCCUUCGAACCAAACUUCUCUACAGACCUUUCUCUUGUUUCUUUUUCCUCAAUAUUUUAUAAUUUCAAAUUUUAAUAAUGUGGAGAAAUCAAUGGAAUUUAGGGGUGAAUUAUACUUUUAUCGCUAAAAAUAACUUUUAUUGAUGGAAUUUUAGAUGUUGUCAAUGUUGCCAAUUUUUUUAAAAAAAAUUUCUGACGAGUUUGAAAAUUUCAUCACUAAAAGACAUAAUGGGAAAAUUUUGGCGUCGUCAUUUUUUUGGCACAAACACUUUUGUGAUAGAAAAAACCUAUUUUCUCACAAAAGUAUUUGUCACUAAUUACAAUUUUUGGUGACUAAAAGUUAUAACUUUAUAUAUAUAUAUAUAUAUAUAUGCUUGCAAAAUGGUUUCAUUAAGUGGUUGUAUUAUUUCUUGAAAAAUUUGGUAAUUUUAUCGUUAUUGAAUUGUGAUAUUAAUAAGUAAUAUUGAUAAAUAACUAGAUGAUUUAUAUUGUGAAAUAACAUAUGUAUUUUUUUAGACUUAAGAUUUAUACUAUAAUAUUUUAUUUCUAUUAAUAAUAAAAAAAUAAUUACAGAUCCAUAAAAUGAAAUACUACAAUACAGAUUUAUUUAAAUUUAAAUGUUUUGUAAUGUAAUAAUAGUAUUGUUAUGAAAUAAUAAAAAGGUAAAUUAUUUGAGCAGUUAAUAUUUAUAUUGUAAUAUGUUACUUAUAUUUUUUUAUAUAAAUAAUAACAACAAAUAAUUCAAGACAUGUAAGAUUAUUUCAUAUAAUAUAAAUUUAUUUAAAUUUCAAUAUUAUUAUAUGAUGUUACCCAAAUAUAAAUAAUACUAAAUGAUUUUUAUUAUACUCGGUAAAACUUAUCUAUAAAACUCUAAAAUAGUAUUGAAUUUAAGUUAGUUAUGAAGAAGUUAUAGUCCACUAAUUUGUUCUCAUUCAAAAUCAUACCUUGUCAACUUAAGAAGUAAACUUAUACUAACUUUAAUUACAUAUUUUAAAAUAAUAGAGUUUUUUUUUUAAUUAUUACUUGGUUUUUAAAUAAUUGUUCAAAAUGGAGUUUAUCAAAUGUAAAUAUUAUUUAAAAAAUUUGGUACAUCCUUUACAAAAUUUGGUACAUCCUUCACAAAAUUUGGUGCAUCCAAUCCUUGAGCUAUCGAGACCCCUAUUUAAUUACCCAUGGUCCGUUUAUUCCUUUAGGGAUCUUUGUGAAGUGAUUAGAGGUCAAUCCUUAGCUACUUCGAAACAAACUUUGGAAUCCUAGGUACAUCCUUACGAAAAUUUGUUACAUUCAAUCCUUGAGCUAAUGGGACACCUAUCUCUUUUCUCAUGGUCCAUUUAUUCAUUUGGAGACCCUCGGAAAGUGAUUGAAGGUCAUUCCCCACCUUAAAACUAACUUCAACUCCCAUAGUACAUCCUUUACAAAAUUUGGUACAUCCUUUAUAAAAUUUGGUACAUCAUUCACAAAAUUUGGUACAUCCUUAAAACAAUUUGGUACAUCUAAUCCUUGAGCUAUCAGGAUCCCUAUCUUAUUACUCAUGGUUCGUUUAUUCCUUUAGAGAUCUUUGGGAAAUGAUUGGAGGUUGUUCCCUAGUCCGAAACAAACUUUGGAACCCUAGGUACACCCUUAAGAAAAUUUGAUAUAUCUAAUCCUUGGGAUAACGAGACACUUAUCUCCCUUCUCAUGGUCCAUUUAUUCCUUUGGAGACCCCCAAGAAGUGAUUUAAGGUCGUUCCCACCUCAGAAUAGACUUUGGCACCCUUGGUACAUCAUUUACAAAAUUUGGUACAUUCUUCACAAAAUUUGGCACACUCUUCAUAAAAUUUGGUACAUCCUUAAAAAAUUUUGGUACAUCUAAUUCUUGAGAAACUAAGACCUCUAUCUUAUUACCCAUGGUCUGCUUAUUCCUUUAAGAAUCUUUGGGAAGUGAUUAGAGGUCAUUCUCUACUCUGGAAUGAACUUUGGAACCCUAGGUACAUCCUUAAGAAAAUUUGGUACAUUCAAUCCUCGAGCUAUUGGGACACCUACCUCCAUUCUCAUGGUCCAUUUGUUCAUUUAGGAACACUUAGGAAGUAAUUGGAGGUCGUUCCCUACUCUGGAAUGAAUUGUGGAACCUUAGGUACACCUUUAACAAAUUUUUGUAUUUUUAUGGUUAUGUAAUGGUUUGAUGUUGUUGAUCAAAAUGAGGUGGUUGAGUCACAAUUUAUAAUCAUCAAGGGAAAAGAAAUUGUGUUUAUUCAUGACCAGAUGAAAAUGAAUAACAAAUGGAAUUAUUGUCACUUUUAAUGGUAUUAUAUUAUGAAUCAUUUGAAUAGUUUUCUUAAACAAUUUGUCAAUUCCAAAUGGAUUAUAGCUGAAUUGAAAAAUGAAGGAAUAUAGUUGUAGAAAAGAAGGGUUGAAUUUUUGUGGGCAUUAUGGAAGAAAGAAGUCAAACCUUAUAUGAAAAACAGAUUGUUAACACUAGGCAUAAUAGUGGACGACCUUUUCAUGUAGGGGCUAACCCUUUUUAGCUUAUAACCCUUAGUCAUAAUAUUAGUUUUGCUUGAAGUGGUUAGUAACAAAAAUAAGGGUCGACCCUUUAGUUCAUAGGCAAUCCCAUCGUGUUUUUAAUAUUGGUUUUGUUUUAUGUUGGCGGUAGGCAAAACAAAGUUUGGCCCAUUGUUUAAUAGGUAAGCCUUUGAAUAUGGACAUUAUAACCUUAGAACAUGGACAGUGAGGAAAAUAGUGGUCAGCCCAUGUAUUCAGAGGUAGAGCCUGAACUUAUAUUACAUAUCAAAUAAGUACCUAACAAAUAAAUAAAUAAAAGUAAAUGCAUUGUGUGAUGUUUGGUAUAGACAAUACAUUUCAAUAUUUAACACAUUAAUGUCACACCAUAAAGUGUUAAUGAAACGAACUUGGAUUGUUCAUAAUCUGAAUGAGACAUUAAUAUAUGAUGACUAUAUAUGUGAUCGUGACAAUUGUUAUAAGUAAUUAGUUUUGACAGGGUUAUUUACAAAUAUAUAUUUAAACAACUAAAUACCUAAUGAGGUCUAAGUGUGAGAAUAAAAUAAUUUAUGCUUGUUUUGUAAAUGUUGAAAGUAUUUUUGUGAUGAAUAUGUAUUAUUGGAAAUAUUUACGAACAUGCCUAGCUUAUUGAUAUGUGUGUAUGUGUGUGUGUGUGUGUGUGUGUGUGUGUGUAUUAAAAAAGUAAAAUCAAUGAUGUUCAUCCUUUCCUCGUAAGAAUAUACGUUGGGUUCCGAAGUCCAUUUUAGGGUAGGGAAUAACCUCCAAUCAAUUCUCAAGGGUCUUUAAAGGAAUAAACCAACCAUGGCUAAUAAGAUAGGGGUCCCGAUAGCUCAAGGAUUGGAUGUACCAAAUUUUGUGAAAAAUGUUACAAAUUUUGUAAAUGAAAUACCAAAUUUUAUAAAGAAUGAACCAAGGGUGCCAAAGUCCGUUUUGAGGUGAGGAACGACCUCCAAUCACUUCUGAAGGGUCUCCAAAGGAAUAAAUGGACCAUGUGAAGGGAGAUAGGUGUCUCAUUAGCCCAAGGAUGGGAUGUAUCAAAUUUUCUUAAGGAUGUACCUAGGAUUCCAAAGUCCGUUUUGGAGUAGGGAAUGACCUCCUAUCACUUCCCAAAGAUCCCUAAAGGAAGAAAUAGACCAUGGGUAAUAAAAUAGGGGUCCCAAUAGCUUAAGGAUUGGAUGUACCAAAUUUUUUAAAGCAUGUUCCAAGGGUGCCAAAAUCCAUUCCAAGGUUGAGAACGACCUCCAAUCACUUUCUAAGAGUCUCCAAAUGAAUAAAUGGACCAUAGGAAAGGAGAUAGGUGUCCCGUUAGCUCAAGGAUUAGAUGUAACAAAUUUUCUUAAGGAUGUACCUAGGGUUCUAAAGUUUGUUUUGAAGUAAGGAGCAACCUCCAAUCACUUCCCAAAGAUCCUUAAAGGAAUAAACAAACCAUGGAUAAUAAGAUAGGGGUCUCGAUAGUUCAAGAAUUGGAUGUACCAAUUUUUUUUUAAGGAUGAACCAAAUUCUGUGAACGAUGUACCAAAUUUUGUAAAUGAUGAACCAAAGUUGCCAAAGUCUAUUAUGAUUAGGGGGUCAUUCAGUCACUUUUCGAGGGUCGGCCUCUAAAGGAAUAAAUAGACCAUGGGAAGUGAUAUAGGUGUCCCUUUAGCUUAAAGAUUGGAUGUACCAAAUUUUCUUAAGGAUGUACCUGUGGUUCAAAAGUCCAUUUCAGAGUAAGGAUCAACCUCUAAUCACUUCCCAGAGAUCCCUAAAGGAAAAAAUAGAUCAUGGGUAAUAAGAUAGCGGUCCUUAUAGUUCAAGGCUUGGAUGUACCAAAUUUUUUUAAGGAUGUACCAAAUUUUGUGAAGGAUGUACAAAAUUUUGUAAAGGAUGUACAAAAUUUUGUAAAGGAUGUAUCAAGGGUGCCAAAGUCCAUUUUGAGGUUGGGAACGACCUCUAAUCACUUCCUGAGGGUCUCCAAAGGUAUAAACAACCUCCAUCUAUACUAAGGUAGGAAACGACAUAUAAUGACUUCCCAGGAGUUCCUAAAUGAACAAAUGAACCAUGGGAAGGGAGAUAAGGGUUCCAAUAGCCCAAGGAUUGGAUGUACCAAAUUUUCUUAGGGAUGUACCUAGGGUUCCAAAGUCUAUUUAGAGGUGAGGAAUGGCCUCCAAUUACUUCUCAAUGGUCCCCAAAUGAUGAAAUGACAUAAGGGUCCCAAUAGCCUGAUGAUUGGAUGUACUAAUUUUUAUUAUGGAUGUAAUUAGGGUUCCAAUGUUAGUUUCAAGGUGGGGAAUGGCCUUUAAUUACUUCCUGAUGAUCAGAUAUACCAAAAUUUCUUAAAGAUGUAUCUAGGGUUCAAAAGUCAGUUUUGGGGUGAGAAAUAACCUCCAAUUACUUCCUAAUGGUCCCUAAAUGAGCAAAUAAACCUUGGGAAGAGAGAUAGAGGUCUCAAUAGCCCAAGGAUUGGAUGUACCAAAUUUAUAUAAGGAUAUAUCUAGGGUUCCAAAGUCUAUUUUAAGGUAGGAAACGACAAGGGUCCUCAAAAGAUCAAAUGGACCAUGGGAAUGGAUAUAUGGGUCCUGGUAGCCCAAGGAUCGGAUAUACCAAAUUUUCUAAAGGUUAUACCUAGGAUUCCAAACUCCAUUCCGAGAUGGGAAACAACCUCCAAUCCUUUCCUAAAGGUCUCCAAAAGAAUAUAUGGACCAUGAGAAGAGAUAUAGGGAUUUUGAUUUCCCUAGGAUUGGAUGUAUCUAUUUUUGUUAAGGAUGUACCUAGGGUUUCAACAUUCGUUUUAGGAUGCAGAAGGACCUCCAAUCACUUAUCAAAGGUCCCCAAAGGAAUAUAUAGACCAUGAUAAGGGAGAUAGGGAUCCUUAUUCCCUUAGGAAUGGAUGCACCUAUUUUUCUUAUGGUUGUACCUAUUUUUUAUGAAAUUAAUAUAAAAGGUUAACUACAAUUUUUUUAGUGAAAAAUAUACUUUCUUUUAUAUUUUAUUUUAAUUAAAAAUUAAAUAUUUUAAUGAAAAAAAAAAAAGAUCCAUGAUCAAGGUAAAACCAUAAAAAUAAAAAAUAAGGAUAAAAGAAUCAUCACUUACUAUGAUUUUGAUAUGAUAAAUUUAAAAUAAAAUAAAAAUAAAAAUAAUAUAAAUAAUAAAAUAGUAUUACAAAUAUAUUUUUACUUUUAUGUGUGAUAUGAUUUAUAAAAUAAAUAAAUCUUUUAUUUAGCAUUAAUAUAACAAAUCUUAUAUCAUAAACCUAUAAAUAAUAAAAUAUAAUUUUUAAGUUUAAUCCUUGAUUUAUUAAAUGUAUUACUAUAAUUAAUAUUUAAAAUCAUCAAGUAUAUUAUUUGUGGAAUAAUAUUUUCAUUUUUGUCCAUUAUAUAUUUAUGUUUUUAUUUAACUUGUUAUAUUAACUAUUUAUUAUAUAUUAUUAUUUUAAAGUUAAUAUGUCCAAAAAAUAAUUAAAAUCAAUAAAUUUGGACAUAUUAGAGAGUUAAAAAAAAAUUGAAGAAGUUUUAUGAGAUAAUACAGAGAAAAAAAUAGUUAUUGGUGUACUUGACAACAACAUUUAAUGUGGUAAGUGUACUUGCCCUCAACUUUUGAGGGUGAUUUUGCAACAAAUUCAUAAGCACUAUUGGAGUGCAUGAAUUGGUAAAAAAAAAUUUCAUUUUACAUUAAAAUUGAAAAAGUAAAAGCACAAUUCUAAAAACCAUAUUUUUUUUAAUUUGUGAUGUACAAAGCAUGAUUAUCCCAAUUUUAAAUAAUACAAAAAUCAUAAAUUUUUAAUUUUAAUUUGUAAAUUUUAAUGUUUAAUUUUUUUAAUUUCUAAAUUUUAAAUAAUAUAAAACUAAUGGCAUGAUGAAGUGCAUUAAAUGUGUUGUAGUAGCAUGUUGUAUUUUUGUAGCAGAUAUGACAUAGAUGGAGUUGUGUGGAGUGUUGUUUGGGAAAAAAAGAUGAAAAAAAAAAUUCUCAGACCCUCACCUAGUCAAGCACCAUUGCAAGUUUGAAAAAAAAAAACCCAUUUUUAAAAAGGGAGAAAACCACCAUCGCAAACAAUGGCUCACCAUAUUUGUACCUGAUGCCAUAUCAUCUUCAACCUUUCAUCAUUUUCACCACCAACCCAGCUACCUUCUUGAAAAGUCAUUUUACAAGUGCCAAUCAUACCCACCAUUCUCCAUGACACAUCUGUAUCUGAUAAUAAUUGUGAAAAUGGGCCAUUUGAUUAAGCAAAUCACUAAAGGGGGGGAAGAGAUGAAUUAAGUGUUAUAUUUUUUAUUUUAUUUUUUCAAAAACAACCAAUUAAUAACAAAAAGAAUAAGAGAUGUUAACUAAGGCAAUAAUUAAGUAAAAGAUAAAGAGAAGAUAUAUGCAAACUCUUUUAUAGUGGUUCAAAAAUCCACAUAUAUCCAUUGUUUUUAACCUCCUAAGUAAGUGAGGGUUCCACUAUCAAAGGCCUUCAACCUAAGCCUUCAAGCUUUAUAUUUGGAUUCAUGGGCUUCAAUGGACACUCACAAUCCUUUCAAAUACUUCACCCACUUGAAGUCUCUUCACUCAAAAUGAGUAAAUAAGGAAAGUUCUAAUGCUUUCUAUUAAGACAUUGAGUCUUAUUUAUAUGUUGGAAAUUUUCUUUUUAUUUUAUGUUUCAUCAUAGAAGUCUUUUUAGAUAGUGGCUUGCUCCCCAUUGAAGAUCAAGGGUGGUUGUUCGUCCAACCAAGAAGUCAUAGGUAUAUUUAAAAAGGUUUGACUUGUUGCAUAUAAGGCUUCUUUGAGGUAUAAAAGGUUCAGUAUCAUUUUUGGACAUAGAAUGUUUUAAAAUGAUUUUUCAAAAGAAGUAGGGGCUGCUCAAGUGGAAAGGACCACUCAACCAGUUAGCCUGCUCAAGUGGUAAGGAUCGCUCAAGUAGUCUAAGUCUACUCAAGCGGUCAUAACAGUCCUGCCAAGUUUAGACACAAAUUUUGGAUGAAUUUCACUCAAACUCUAGUUUGAAAACUUAAGAUAUUGAAACCAUUUGGGCUAUAACUACUUUCUUAAUAACCCCUUAAGGGUUAGGGAUCAAAGAUUGAAGAGAUCUUAGAUAUUAAAAUACUUUCAUUCUUAAAAAAAGGGACUCCUUGAGAGAAAGUCUAAAUUGCUAUAUCAUUCAUGAUUUCUCAUUCAAGGAUUUGAAUCUUUAAAUCGUGGGUUGAAGACCAUAAUUCCUUAGAAGUGGCAAAAAGAUCUACUAGGGAGAAAUAGGAAGUUGCUAUGUCACAAACGUGGAUUAAGUUGUAGGUGUUGAAGAGUAAGUCUUUAGGGUAAAGCAACCAAGUAAAUUUGUGUAACUUGAUUUCGAAUAGUGGAUUUAGAUUGGUAGGUCUUAGAUCUUGUGGUUUUUUUUCUCCAUAGUUUGUGAAUCUUAUGCCUCAUUGUCUAUAUUUUUUAUAUUUGAUAUUAUGUUUGUAGGGUUUUCAUAAAAGGUGCAUAUCUAUAUAUUCUUGCUUAGAUUUUAUUUGAUUAAGUUUGACUGAUUUCUUGGGAUUGUUAUUGAGGUUAUUAGGGUUGUUAUCUUGGUGGUUAUGAUUGUUAUCCUUAUAAUUAAUUAUUAUUAUCCCUAACAUCUCUCAGGAUAUCCUUUGGAUAUUAAUAAUUAAUUUAUAUUAUCCCAAAUAAUCUUUGGAUAUCAAUUAACCAUAAAAAUCAAGUUUUACCAUUCUAAAUUUGAGGUGAACUCAUUUUUUAAUAUCCAAGAUAACCUUGAAAAUUUCUUAGAUGUAUAAAAAUUUGAUAUAACAUAUAAAUCUUUAUUUAAAAUUUUAAAUCACCCAUUCAUCCCACCUUUGGAUGUUCGUUAUUGGACAUUCAGUUGUUAUUCAAGUGAUAUUAAAGCAAUACCCACUUUUCAAUUGGUAUUAGAGUGGAAUAAAUAAUCGAUUCUUUAUCCUAUUGAUUAAAAAUCCAAUUUUUAUUGAUCAGAUGGUUUAAAAAUCAAUUUUUUAUUAUUCAAAUAGGAUAAAAAUCAAAAUUUUAUUGAUUCUAUAUGUCUAAUGUGGAACAAUAAAAAAAUGGUGCUCCUUUGAAUAGUCCACCUUAUUUUGAUGGGAAUAAUUACUCCUAUUGGAAAGCACGAAUGAUGUUUUUCCUCAAAAUGCAAGGUGAAAGGGUGUGAAACUUAAUUGAAUAUGGUUGGGGACUACCAUUAAUCCUUGAUACUCAAGGAAGAUCAAUAGGUGAACUUAAACCUAAAAAAGAAUGAGACAAAGCCGAUAAUGAAUGUAGUGAAGCCAAUACUAGGGCUUUAUUUAAUAUUUGUAAUGGAGUUUGUCCAUAUAGGUUUUGCAGGAUAGCUAAUUGCAAACAUGAAAAUGAAGCAUGGGAUAUUCUUCAAGUCACUUGUGAAAGCACGUCCUCUGUAAAGAUUUCUAAAUUACAAAUGCUUGUUACUAGGUUUGAAAAUAUUAGGACGCAUGAAAAUCAAACUUUUUCUUCCUUUUAUUUUGAAUUAAGUGAUAUUGUAAAUUCUUCGUUUAAACUUAGAGAACUUAUUCCUAAUUCUAAGGUAGUUAGGAAAAUAUUAAGAUCUUUUCUAGAGAAAUUUAGACCUAAGGUAACUACCAUAGGGGAGAGUAAGGACAUUGAUUUCGUGAGUUGAUGAACUUGUAGGCUCCAUUCAAAUUAAUUUGCUUUUAGAUUUCAGAUUGAUUGUUUUUUUUUCUAAAAAAAACAUUUAAAAAAUUUUUUGACUAAACAAAAAAAGUCAAAAUAUUUAAUUUUUUUUAAUGAUAAAAGUAACAUAUUGAUUUUUCGUCUGAGUGGUACAACCUAGAUGGAUGGAAUUGGAGAUAUGCUUGAAGUGAGUUUGAAAUGUUGGGUUAUGUCUGUCCAGCCCAUGAGCCCAUAUAUUUGACUAUUUUAUAUUUGGAUAUUCCCUAAGCCCAAAUAUGGAUAUAUGAAUAGCAUUAUGGCUUUGGUAUUAUGAGAAAAGGGCAUUUGAUUGAGAAAAUGAAAGAAGAUCGGGGUUUAUUUUCUAGGCACUAUUCUAGGGCUCAAGGGUGAAGUUAUAGGUUCCUUUCAUCAACCUUUUAGGGAAAUCCUAUGGUAUGUUUUCUCCUUAUUUCUUUUUGUUCAUGUUUCCUAGGAUGAUGGAUUCUCACCUCAAGUAUUUAGUUAUUUAUAUAAGUUCUCAAGGAGAAGAAACCUGAGGACUUAAUUAUUGUAUCCCCAUUUAUUAAAGUGGAAGAAAUUUUCUCUGUGGUUUUUUUACCUCAAUUUGAAGGGUUUUUCCAUGUUAUAUUUGGUGUCCUCUUUUUGGUUUAAUGUUCUUGAUUACCAUUCUUGAUUCUUGUUAGGUUGUUAUUAUUCUUGAGAAUGUUAUUAUUAUUCUUGAGAAGGUGGUUAUUAUUGUUCAGUGAUUGUUAUUAUUGUGGAGGAAUCUUUUAAUCUUGACAAGUUAAUACUCUAGAUAUCUCUCUUUAUCUUCCCAACAAGUGGUAAUAGAGCUUGGUUGUGGGAACUUUUAUUCUUUAAAGGGAUGAAGAUAGAAGGGAAUUCAACCUCCAUGAUAAAACUUAACAAUUCAAAUUGGGUUAUAUGGAAGUCCAUGAUGGAAGAUUUUCUAACCAUCAAAGAUUUGUUAGAUACUCUUGAGGGUGAAGAAUCUAAGCCCAAAGAUAUUUCUUAUUUGGAAUGGAAUAAGAUGAAGAAAAAGAUAAUUGCCUCUAUUAGGCAAUGGAUUGACACAUCCUCACGUCAUCAUGUGGCAAAUGAAAUAAAUGCCUAUAAUCUCUGGAAGAAAUUGGAAUCAGUGUUUGAAUAAAAAACUAUUGGGAAUAAAAUUUUCUUGGUAAAGAGUUAGUGAAUAUGAAGCUAAAGGAAGGAACACUAAUGAUAGAUCACUUGAAUGCUUUUCAGAGCAUUGUUAAUCAAUUGGAUGCUAUGAAAAUGGUAAUAGAUGAUGAGAUGCAAGCAUUUUUAUUAUUGUGUUCAUUACCAGACAAUUAGGAAACUUUUGUUGUGACUAUUAGCAACUCUGUUUCGAAUGGUGCAUUAUGUAUGGAGCUUGUGAAGGGAAAUUUGUUCAAUGAAGAGACAAUAAGAAAGGCUUAUGAGAUAGAAAAUGCAUAGACCCUCAUCAUAGAAAGUAAAGGAGGAAAUAGGAAUAGAUGACAGAAAGGUUAUAUCAAAUUUGAGGGAAGGUCCCAAUCUAGAAAUAAAAUCAAAUUUUUUCUUUGUGGAAAAGAUGGGCAUAUGAAAAGGAAUUGUCGAAUUUGGAAAAGAGAACAAAAUAAGCAGAAUUAGGGAAAAGAAGAUGACAAGAAUACCACAGCCUUUGUAUCCAACAGUGAUGAAGUUUUAGUGCUCUCAGAUGAGUGUUUGCAUGUAGAUGAGUAACGAGUUGAGUGGAUUAUAGAUAUCGCAACCUCCUACCAUGCUACUCCUCACUUGGAGUUGCUUUCUUAUUAAAGAGUUGGAGACUUUGGCAUAGUCAAGAUGGGAAACUCUUGUCACUCCAAGAUUGUAGGGAUGGGUGAUGUUUUCUUUGAAACUAACAUAAGGUGCAAGUUGACAUUGAAAUAUAUAAGGCAUGUUCUAGAUUUACGCCUUAAUGUGGUACUUUGUCACUUUUAUUGAUGAUGCUACCAAGAAGGUAUGGAUUUAUUUUCUUAGAUAAAAAAAAUCAAGUCAUUCAGUAUUUUCUAUAGUUUCAUGUCAUGGUUGAGAGAAAGACUAGAAGGAAACUGAAGUGUCUCAGAUCGAUAAUGGAGGUGAGUACACCUCAAGGGAGUUUGAAACUUACGGCACUAGGAAUGGUAUAAAGCAUGAGAAAAUUGUUCCUAGCACUCCAUAACAUAAUGGUUUGGCUGAAAUGAUGAAUUGCACCAUCAUUGAGAGGGUUAGGUGUAUGCUGAAGACUACAAGCUUGUCUAAGGCAUUUUGGGGUGAAGCUACUCAGACUGCCUGCUAUUUGAUAAAUAGAUCUCCAUCAGGUCCAUUGAACUUUAAGGUUCCAAAUAAGGAAUGGACAAGAAAAGAUGGUUCCUGUUCCCACUUGAGGGUCUUUGGAUGUAAAUGUUUUGUGCAUGUUCCCAAAAAACAGAGAUCCAAACUUGAUGAUAAGGCAAUUCCACAUGUCUUUAUUGGGUAUGGUGAUGAAGAGUUUGGAUUUAGAUUGUGGGAUCUAACCAAGAAGAAAUUGGUGAGAAGUAAAGAUGUGGUGUUCCAAGAUGAUCAAACCUUGGGAGAUUUUAACAAAGCUAAUCAAUCUAAAGGUACAAGUGAUGACUUCAUUGAGUUGAUACCUAUUCUUCUAUCAUUAGAGUUAGAAUUUAUAGGAUCAAUUCAUGCAAAAAUAAAAUUGGGCCUUUGUGGGAGCCCAACAUCCAUGAUAUUUUCCUUCACAAUAACCCAAGUGAAAUGCAGGUUAGGUAUUUAUUGACUUUGAUCCGAUUCAUGAAGUGUGUGAGAUUAUUUUCUAUGGUACACUAAUCUUUUUCCUUUGAGGCACUUUUCUUGUUGCAUAGGUAUGCUCUUAUCUCUACCUUGUCUAUUUAUUUAGUCCUCAUUAUCAUGCAUGAUUUGUUUUAGUCCAUGACUCUUGCUCCUUGGUAUCCAACAAUUAACUAGUCAAUUGGCAUACUUGCUUUAACUUGAUUAGUAGAUACCUGAUUUUAGGGCUUAGAGGUGUGCAAUGACUUAUCAUCAUACCUUCCUGAUAGGUAACUUGACCCCCGAAUCCUAACUCGGUUUUCACAAACUUCUUUUUCCCUUAUAAGAGUCACAAUUAGGGUUUUCUUUCUUAUUUUGUUUUCAUUUCUUAAAAAUAAUAAACAAUAACAAGUGACUCCAAGUUUUUUCCUAAAAAUCAAAAUUUUCACAAAUAAAAAGCAAGUCUUGGUAUCGAGUGGAAAUGCAUGUGAAAAAUACGAGUUCAUAAGAUCCUAUACUGGGGCAUAUUUCCUGACUUUGAGCUUAUAUUCAUAUCAUAUUCAAUUGGGACUUCAUUAGGGACAUGCUUCUAUUCUUGAGACUAUCAAACCUCUUGUCAUUUUGGUCAUACUUUUGAGAUUUAAUUUGGAGUAUUUCCUUUCAGACAUUGACAAAUUUAAAUUUUGAUUUCUUAGUGCAUUAUCAUUAAGUUAGAGACAUCAUGAUUACCAUAGUUUCUUCAGGAGUAUCUUUACCCAAUCAAAUAAAUGAGGAUGUUUAUGCUUUUAGUGUAGUUGAUGAGUUUAGUUUCUUCUCAUAAACAAAUUUUCUUAAGAAAUAUGUUGAUAUCUCAUUAGUGAGUUUAGGUUGAUGUCAUCUUAUUGAAAGCAUUUGAUCAGCAUCUUAUUUUUUCUCAGUUGAGCAUCUCAUAUGUCAUUUUGGCAAUUGUAGUUUAAGUGUUAGACAAAGUUUUGAUAUGACUCUUGUUGUUAUGAUAGAGUUUCAAGUGAUAUAAUGACUUUUCAAUAUAGGAUCAUAUUUUUUUAUUCACUUUCAGGACACUUUUGAGACAAGCAAAGUUUGACCUUGUUGAUGGUUGAUUGUUAUUUGAUAUUAGGACAUACCUUUUUGCAAUUUUACCUUGGUGGAUGAUUUGUCAAUUUUAUCCUUGCACAUUGGGGCAUACCCCUUUCAUUGAGAUUAUACAAUCUUUCGUUGACUUUGUGGCCUCUUGAUUCAUUUGCUAAUUCCUAUGAGUUAUCAUAUUAGGCUUGUCCUCAUUUCUUUUGUUCUCACUUAUGUUAGGUAUUCUCAGUUGCAAUCCUUGUACUCACCCUUCUUUCAAUUUGUUUAGGCACACCCCUUUGAUGAGCAUAUUUAUGGCAUCCUUUCAAUUUGGUUUCCUUUGAGCAUCAUCUAGGGCAUACCCCUUUCAUAGCCUAAAGUUGUUCAUCAUAUCUCAAUUUAGAGUUUAUUAUCAUUUUAGUUUCAUUUGUGGCAUUCCUUUUAUUUCGAUUUCAUUUGUUGCAUUCUUAUCUUUGAGUAUCAUUUAUGGCAUACCCUCUUCUUUUCAAUGAGUUGAUCAUUUAUAUUUUUAGUCAUCCUUUAGUGGUUCAACUUGGAGUCACAAAUCAUGAUUUCCCUUAGGCAUUUAGAAUCCACAACUCCUCUCUUUGAGUAUCAUCUAAGGCAUACCCUCUUCUAUUUAGUGAGUUGAUCAUCCUUAUCUUAGUCACUCUUAGUGGUUUAACUUGGAGUUGCAAAUCAUGAUCUCUCUUAGGCGUUUAAAGCCCAUAGCCUAGAGUUGUUCAUUUUAUCUUAGUCAAGAGUUUAUUAUCUUACAUUUUUCAUUUACAACAUUCCUUCAUUCCAGUUUUGUUUAUGGCAUUCCUCUUUGAGUAUUAUUUAGGGCAUACCCUCUUUUAUUUAGUGAGUUGAUCAUCCUUAUCUUAGUUAACCUUAGUGGUUCAACUUGGAGUCAUGGAUCAUGAUCUCCCUUAAGCGUUCAAAGCCCACAGCUUGGAGCUAUUCAUUAUAUCUUAGUUCAAAGUUUAUUAUUAUUUUUGUUUCGGUUAUGGCAUUCUUUCAUUUUGAUUUUGUUUAUAGCAUCCUUAUCUUUGAGUAUCAUAUGGGGUAUACCCCAUUUUUUUCAGUGAGUUGUUCAUCCUUAUCUUUAGUCACCCUUCAGUGGUUCGACUUGGAGUUGCAGAUUGCAAUCUCCCUUAGGUGUCACUAUAAGAAAUUUUACUUUUCCUGACUAAUAUACAUAGUUGAAAUAAACAUUUACUAACGGAUAAUCUCGACGCAUGGUAGUUAGAGAAAGGUGUGUUGGCAAAAGUUUAUUGAUGGGAAUUUUUCGUUGCCAGUAAAAAAAAAUUAGCAAUAAACUAUCCAAUGGAUUUGGACCAUUGCUAUUACCAACAAAUUAAGUUGGUGGGGAAAUGUAAAUAAUUAAAUAUUUUAGAAUGUCAUUUAAUCUCGAUUUCAUUAUAUUCAACAUAGAGCACCUUGUUACACUCCUUGCUAGUUUUCGAUAUUUACUUGGUUGUUGGCUAACCACAACACUCUUUGCUAGUUUUGGAUAUUGACUUGGAUGCUUUUUUUUUUUUUCCUGGAAUUGAACUCAUGACGCCAAGUUUGAAAGGAAGAAACUAUGCCAUCAAGCCAACUUUGUUAUUUGCAAGAUAAAGAAUAGAUAUAAGAUUCAUAAGUGUAAAUAUCCUAUACUUACACGUUUAUAUUAUAAAUAUUAUCUAUAUAUAAAUACAUAUUAUAAAUUAUAUAUGCAUGAAUUAAUAUUAAUGCAUAUAUGUGUAUAUAUAUAUAUAUAUAUAGAUAGAUAGAUAAUAAAUUAAUUAAAAUAAAAUUAUCAACAUUUUAAAUAAAAAAUACUUACACAUGCAUUAUCGUUUUUUAUUUUAUAUUAUUGAGUACAUUCAAAUUAGAUAAAUCUCUAUAAAAUGUAUUUUAAAAUUCUAAAUAUUAUUAUUGGACGUCACAAAUUAUAUUAUACAUAUACUAAUUUCUUUAAUAAAACAACCUCAAAAUUUCUAUUAUUACUUUUUAUACCAUUUAUUUACAUUUUUUCUCAACAUUUUCAUAAGUUUUGAUCAAUUUUCAUCUCAUCGAUGUUUUGUGUCAGAAUAUCCAUCAAUAUUUCCAGAUAUACACUUCAAAACCAAUAUAUAUAUAUAUAUAUAUAUAUAUGGAUAAUAAUAAUAAUAAUAAUAAUAAUAAUAAUAAUAAUAAAGUAGUUAAAAAUUAUUAAAAUGUUAAAACUAUUAUGAUUAUAAAAUAUAUAUAUAUAUGUUCUCUAUAAAUAUUUUAUGAAACUAAAAAAAAAAAAAAUCAUAAAAUUGUUUUGUCAUUGGCUAGAUCAUAUUUAUCAUAUAACUAUGGUAAAAAGAUUUCAUAUUCAUAAGACAACAAUUAUGUGAGGUAUUAUUAUUGACUAUAAUAACACUAUUUUAGUGACUAGUAAUUUUUAUAGAAAAAUUGUUUAUGAAAUUUCAUUUUUUUUUUACAAGUAAAUUGCUUUUGUGACAAAGUAUAUUAGUUGAGCAUUUACAACGGUUUAAAUCCAUCGCAAUAAUACUUUUCUGGACAAGUAUUUGUUGUUGCAAUUAUUGUUGGUAAAUAGUUGCAUAUAAGUGAUAGACAAUUCAAUUAGCAAUGGAAUAGGUGUGUUAGAAUUUUGUGAUAGCUUAAAUUUGUCGCAAAAGUAAAUAUAAAUGGAUCGACAAUACUUAAUUUUUUGGUAAUGUGUUUAGAGCCUACAACUCGAAGCUAUUCAUUAUAUCUUACUUUAAAGUUUAUUGUCAUUUUUGUUUCAUUUAUGGCAUUCCUUUAUUUCGAUUUUGUUUAUGGCAUCCUUAUCUUUGAGUAUCAUCUAAGGUAUACCACUUUCUUUUCAAUGAGUUGAUCAUCCUUAUCGUAGUCACCCUUAGUGGUUUGACUUGGAGUCAUGGAUCGUGAUCGUUUUUAGGCAUUCAAAGCCCAUAGCUUGGAGUUGUUCAUUAUAUCUUAGUUCAAAGUUUAUUAUCGUUUUCAUUUUGUUUGUGGCAUUCCUUCAUUUCAAAUUUUUUUGUUGCAUCCUUAUCUUUGUAUAUCAUUUGAUGUAUACCUCCUUCAUUGAGAUAAUUAGAUCUUCAUUUUCAUUCAGUUGAUCAUUCUUAUUUUAGUCACCUUUUAGAGGUUUGACUCAAAAUUGUGGAUUGCAAUCUUGAUCCCUUAGGCUAACACUACAGACGGUACUAUUCAUUACAUCCACAACCUUAAGUUGUUCAUUACAUCACAACCUUGAGCUGUUCAUUACAUCAACAACCCUAAGUUGUUUAUUGCAUCACAACUCUAAGUUGUUUAUUCUUGCACAAACUUGAGCCUUACAUUAUUUAGUCACCUUAGAGUGGUUUGUCUUGGAGUUUGCUUAUCGCAUUCUUCUUUUUGACCGAUUUUAGGGUGUUCAAAGCCCCCAUCUUUUAAGUGUUUAGAGCCUACAACCUUGAGUUGUUCAUUGCAUCACAACCUUAAGUUAUUCAUUGCAUCAUAACCUGAAGUUGUUCAUCAUUUUCAAUUAUCUUUGAGUUAUUUAACCUAGAUUUUGUGCACCACACUCCCCCUUUCAGCUAAAUUUUAGGCAUUCAAAGCCCACAUUUUUUAGUUAUUCAUUGCAUCACAACCCUAAGCUAUUCAUUAUAUCCACAACCCUUAGUUGUUCAUUGCAUAUACAUUCUCAAUACCUUGUCAUCUUUUGUAUGCAAAGUUAUUCUUUUACCUAGUUUAGUGAUCUUGAGUUCUGAGCUUACUGAAUCAUGUGAUAGGACAAAAUUUCUAGUCCCUUUUAGUUCUUCAGCAUAGUUCACUUCAUUCCACUCGUUACUCUUACUUCUAAUCCUAUUCCUUUCACUAGUGAUCUAUAUUAAAGAGGGGCAUAUUUGUAGAUCCCUCAUUUUGUCCUCCUAACACAUGUGAUACUUUAUGUUUUCCUAAGCUUCUCUCUUACCCUAUGGUUAUCCCUUAAUGACCCAUUAACACCCAUAUAGAUUUUUUUUUUCCUAAGCUACCUUUGGGGACACUUUGGUGAGGGGCUCAUUUGGACCCGCAAUGUGACUUUGACAGCUUCUCAAGUUAGUUUUUAGGUUAGACUUCACUUAGGCUUUGUUUCCAAGAUAACGUCACUUAGAUCUUUUUUAUACUAGGAUCACUUAGACACUUCACUAAGCUUAGUUCACUUAGGUUGGUUUGCUUGAGUUUGAUUGCUAGGUUUUAGGUUUAGGUGAGUUCUUGACUUGGGUUAAGUAUCAAUCUUUAGUUAUGUGAGUUCGACACAUUGAUUUUCUUAUUAUCUAUUACAUUAAGAUUAAUAUUUAGAUUUUGAUUGCAUGCGUUAAAUUUCUUUUCUUUUUGUUUUAUUUAUUUAUUUAUUUUAGAAAAUUUAUAUGAGACUAAUGUUAUGACUUUUAAUUGCUUGAAUUGAUGUUUGAUCUUAAAUAUGAAUACGAUUGACCUUUAAUUUUUAAUUGCAUAAUUUUGAUUUGCUUUAAUUUUCAAUUUCAUGACUUUUACUAAUUUUAAACUUUAUUUUAAUUUUACAUGAGAUUUGAAUGUAUACAUUGGAGAAGAUCCCUUAGCGUACACAAUUGCCCUUAUAAUAGGAUGAAGAUCAAGACACUUUGGAGAUCCUUUUUUAGUUGAAGUGAUACAACCUACAACCUACAUGUGAACAACAUGCACCCAUUAACCUUCUACAAGGUGCAUAGUCUACACAAAAGAAGACAUUUAUGCAACAUAGAUACAGGUUUCUUUCCUCAAAAAAGUGUAGGUUGUAUGACCCAAUCUAUAAGGAUAUAUGACCACUUUAGGGUCUCACCCAAAUGUUGAACCCUCCUAUUUAUUUUGGCAUAGACUCAAUAUCCUCUUAAGGUUAAGAGUCAAUGUAGUAUGGUAACUUGGUGAAUCAUGAUAAUCGAUAGCCUUGUGUCAUGAUUCACCAUAGACCUUGUCUAAUAUGCAUCAAAUACACUAGUGCACUCACCAUGGGAAACCCAUCCCGAUGGCCAAGACAAGCCACCCCUCCAAUUAGGAGGUGAUGCACUAGAGUCUUUACUGGAUUGCCCAAAUCCAUGAACCAACGGUGGACAACUUAUCUACUUACAAGGAACCCAUGACUUGUAUCUUUUGUGCAACUCAUAAUGCACCCAAGUCAUGUACAAUGUAAGAGACAUGGACUAAAUGCUCAAAUCAAUGUCAAUACACUAAAAGGAUAGCAAGGGGAUGGUUAAGUCUAACUUUGUUACAUCAUGUCUUGCUUUUAAAGGCUCAAUCCUAAAAAACUCCCACUAGCCCUAAAAUCAAACUGGGCAUCAUAGAAAAAAUUGUUUCAUGUCUCAUAACCUCUCUAUACUAUCUCACAAUAAGGUAACACUUCUUAUUUAUGUGUUUCCUCUUCUGGUGGUACUUCAAUUCUUUAGACCAUGUCAUUGUCCUACUGUUAUCACAUAACAGGAUCUUAGAUGAUAUAGCCAAGGGAACUACCAAUAAGUCAAAAGGCUUUCUUUGUUGCUAUAAAAACAACAAAAACCCACUUAGAGUGUACACAUACCCAGAGAUAGACUUAUAAGAGUCCUUAUCAAACUAAAGUCCAAUUUCCUAGUAUGAAAGGAGUACCACCUCAUCACAAAGGCUCACAAACAUAUAAUUCCUUGUUUUCCAAAGAUACUAGAGUAUAUGUUUGAAAUCUGGCCAAAGCUCUAAUAAGGAAAUGGACUAAUAUCCACUCAUUAUUCCUACAAAAAAGCAAAUAUAUAGUCUAGCACAUAGUAUCGCAUAUUUAAGGCAAUCCAUUAUAGAGACAUUGGAUAUCGCCUUAAUGCAAUCUCUCUCCAUAGAUGUCUAAGGACAUUGAUCCUAAGAAAGAAAAGUCUAAAACCAAAAAGUAACAAACCUUCUUGGCGUUUUGCAUCAUGUACUUGACCAAGUGCUCAUCUAUGUAGGUGACAUGGUGAAAUUUUCCUAUUCUUGCAAUCCUGAAGGAUCAUAACCCGAAGAAUAUAUUGCAUCUUCCUCUAGAUUUUCAUCCAGAAUUGAGUAGACUAUCAGAUCUUGACUUAUGACAAUAUCCCCACAUCAUAUCCAAUGAGUAGAUUGCAUAUACCUACAAGAUCUUAGAGCAUCACGACGCUUUCUUAUGUCUUUUUGUACACACAAGGCUAUUUGCUAUGAAAAUGUUUGGUUGUCAUAUCUUACAAAUAUGACACACUGCAAUAGAUAGUAGUAAUAUGAUGGAUUUGAGUAUGAUCACUAUUGAGAAGGUUUUCCAUAGUUGAAACAAAUUUCAAAAGGAUCACAAUUCGGAGUUGAAACAAGGGAGUUAUAGUCGACUAAAGCUAGGUUGAGCAAAGAGCAUGGUAACACAAUGAUGCUGACUUUAACUCAAAAUCGGGGCUACCUCCCGUGAGCUUUUUAAGGCAAACCACAUAUGGUUUUGAAGCUUAAGAAGUAAAAAAUCCAGUACUUCAAAAGGAUUUCAAUUUGGCAUUGAAGAAACGAGGGAGAUAUGGUUGAUUGAAGCUAAAUUGCACAAAGGGCAUGCAAUUACAAGAUGGAGUUCAAGCCAAAUUAUUUUUGGUUGUUUGGGCUCAUUUUUUGGGCAUCUUUUCGGGCUUUUUUAGUGGCAAUUAGGCUCGUUGGGUUUUUCUUUUUUCACUAACCCUAUCUUUGGUUGCAGAGCUAUUUUGGUAAUUUGGAUUCUAUCCAAGUUUUAGUUACCAAAUUUGCAACAAGAUCCCUAAGGAUUAAUUUCCUUUCGUGUCUUUUAUACUUUUUUAUUUUUGGCAUAGAAUACAUUUUAUUAUUCUUAAGUUAAUGAAUUUUCAUUUUUUUUUUCCUUUUUUUUAGAUAAUUUAUUAAAUUAGAAUGUGUUAGGACUUUAGGAAAUUUUUAUUUUCGGUAAAGACAAGUUGGAAAGAAAUAAGGAACCUACUUCCUUUUCAAAAUUAAACUCUUAGAUUUUUUUUUUUAAAUAAAUCUUUUUAGAUUUUAGAUCUCUAUGAAUCUUUUUAUUUUAAGGAAGAAGUUUUAUUUUUUCAGGUCUUUGUGAAAUAAAAUAUUUUCUAUUUAGCACAAGAUUCUAAAAUAAAGAAAUAAUUAUUUUUUGAAAAAUAUCUUAUAGAUAAUUCAUGAUUAAGAUAGCUUACCAAUAUAUUGUUUCAAAUAAAAUAAAUUAAAAUGGUAAUUUUGGAUUUUCUUAAAAGAAUAAAUUUUCAUGAGUUUUAUUUCCAUUAUUAUUUAUUUAAAAAAUUGGUUGUUGUCAUUUGGAAUUUCAAAUUCCUUUUGGGAAUUUCUUUUUUCUUUUCUUUUUUGGGCUAGGUAGUUCUCUAAGCUCUCUCUCUCCCCCAUCCCCCACCCCCAGAAAAAAAGAGAAUUAAACCUACAUUGGUCCUCUAGGAUUUCCCUCCCUAAGAGAGAGAAAACCGUUUAGUUUGAAAAGGAAAGUUCAAGGAUAAGGAAUAUGAAAGAUAUCCUUAUUUGGCAUAGGAGUCCCAAUUCAAGUAAUAAAUAAAAGUUUUUGAAAUUUUCAUGACAAAUAAUUUAUUUUAAGAUAGUUACCAAAAUUAUCUUAAAGGCUCUCUUCCAAAAUAUUAAGUGGAAGCGGGCCAUAGGCAAGCCCAUAGCCUCUAAGAUCGAGCCUAUUUUCAUUUCCAUCCUAAAGAUGGGGUGGCCUAAUAAAUCAAGGGAUAUGGACUAUCCUUUAUGAACAAGACUAUAUAUGUUUAUAGUGGGAGUGGCCAAUCCUAAAGAUAGAACUCUUCACUUGGUAACAUGGAUAUCAAGGAUCUUGAUUACACACUUAACUUAGACAUGAAAUGGUAGAAUCACCUAAAGUGGUCCCACUUGCAUGGGCUAAGGGCUCAACAUAAAGGUAUGUUGAUCCAUGCCUUAGGAAAACCUUCGGAAGUUUAAGGCAGGUUGAUUAAUUAGAGAGGGUCUCUACCUAGUAAUAAGAGUCAUAACCUGUCUAAAGUAAGCUUGAUUCUUAUGAUACUAGGUUACCUUGUAUGGAUACAUGUAGUUUGAGAGCACUACAGUUUUGCUAAAUUAAUUACCAACUUGCCUUGAAUGCUCAAUUCCUUUUGUUAAUGCAUCGAAUUAUUAUUUUUAUUAUGGAUAUCAUGUCUUUAACCUAUCACCUUUUAUUUUUUGUUUAAAUUGGACCUAAUUUUAGAUUAGAAAUAAUCUAGAUAUAGUAUUAAUUGCAUAGAAGCUGUUUUUGGUAGAGUUUGUUAUUUCCUUUGAACAAACCUAACAUCAAGUAAGAGAAGCAUAUCAAAGGUGGCAUAAGACGGAUCAAAAGACUAAGUCUCUCAUACUUGGGUCUUUAGAUAAUGUGUUGCAAAAGCAACACAUGUCUAUUGUCGUAGUCUAUGAUAUUCUCUUCAAAGUUGCAAGGGUUAUUUGGUGAUAAGGGCAAGUCAACUAAACAAGUUGCCCUUAAGACCAUUAUGAACACCAGGAUUCAUGUUAUCUUACAAAUCUUACCAGAUUCUUUUGGGAUGGGUAAGAAGAUUCUCAAAGAGUGGAAAGGUGUUCAUAUGGAAGUCAAGGUUCUUCAAGCUCUUCUAACACUAUCUCAAGCUACCUACAUAGAUAAGAUUUUGGUUAAGUAUGUGAUGCAGGAUUCCAAGAAAGGUUUUUUACCUUUUAAGCAUAGAAUUCCCCUUUCUCUAAAUCAGUGUGCUAAAACACUUGAGGAGAAAGAGUGCAUGGAGUUAAUACCUUAUGCCUCUGCAGUGGGUAGUCUUACAUAUUUGAUGCUAUGUACUAAGCCAUAUAUUUUCUUUGUAGUGGGUAUGGUGAGUAGAUAUCAGUCUAAUCCAGGUCCAAAACAUUGGACAACAAUCAAGCAUAUACUCAAGUACCUAAGGAGAAUGAGAGAUUAUGUGUUUGUGCUCCAAAGUGUUGAGAUAGUUUAAAGGGUGACAUGAUGGUUGACAAGAUACCUUCUGUGAAGAACCUAGGGGAUCUUUUCACCAAGACAUUGUCAGGGAGAGUCUUUAAUGGUCACAAGGAUAACAUAAGUUUCAAAUGAAUAUCUGACAUGCUUUAUAGGCAUGAUGCUUUUAGGGCUAGUGGGAAAAUGUUAGGAUAGAGCCCUUAAAAGUAUGACAUGAUGUAAUAAAUUUGGAAUUCAUUAUUUAUUUAACGAUGUUCCAGUUUCACUUUUAUCGAUCCUUAUUCCAUGUAUUAUACUUUACAAGCAUUCUUGCCUACAUCAUUUGCAUUGUACGUGACUUAGGUUCAUUAGGAGUUGCACAAAAGAUUUAAGUCAUGGGUUCCUUACAAAUAAAUGGCUUGUUCACAACUAGUUCAUGUGUCUAGGCAACCCAUUAGAGGUAAUAGAGCACCACCUCCUAAUUGAAGGGAUGACUAGUCUUGGCUAUCGGGAUGGUUUUCCCAUGGUGAGUGCAUUAGUGUGUAUGGUUACAUAUUGGAUAAGACCUAUGGUGAGUCAUGACUUAAGGCUAUCAAGUAGUCAUGACCUCACCAAGAUGCUUCAUUAUGUUGUCUCUCAACCUUGAGAGAAUAUUGAGCUCGUAGUAAAGUUAGCAAUGACUUUGAUCUAUGGGUGAGAUAGUAAGCUGAUCAUAUAUUCCCUAUGUAUUAGGUCAUUGUUGAUGGAAGCCGGUAGCAAUAGGUAUUCUCAAUAGAGGCACCAUGAUAUCUUUUAGGAUUGAGACAGUGUGUCCCCUUGGGUGAUCAUAAGGAGGUGUGUUCAUGGAAACUAUGGCCAUAGUAGUUCCUUAAGUAAAACUUGACAUAAACUCUUUGAGAGUUAAGAUAUGUAAAUUGAACACACAAUAGGAGGAUCCGUAACUCAAGGAUGGUAGAGGUAAUCUUGAAAGGCCGAUAGCUUUCCCCUAGUUAGACUAUGGACACCAGCUCAUGGGAAGAGUGAACACAAUGGAUAGCAAGUCAUAGACCCGAGCACUUGGUGUCUCGUUGUUAUAUACAUAGGAUACUGGAGUUCAAUUGAUUCUCUGUAGUGGGAUGUUGAAUCCACUUUAGAAUUGGAUUAUGAGGGAGCUAGUAUUCCUAUGGGUCCUAGUGGUCCCCGCUCUAAGCUUAUUUACCUUGUUAGCAUGGGUUAUGAGGGUUAGAUUGGCUCUAGGUUCACUUUUGUGCAUAAGAACGUUUUGGUAGUUAAGUAAGGUUGCACAGGGGUAAGUGAACAAGGUCUUUGGAUUAGGCUAAUUGUUUAAUUAGUAGGCCUUAUUGGGUUAAUUAAUCAAAUAAGACCCAUUUUGGGCUCGAUUUAGUUACCCAAUCACAUGUGGGCUCAAGUCACUUAAGCCCACUUAGGAACCCUAUAAAUACACUCUAGGGGUUAAGGUUUCCAUAACUUUUUAUCUUCCACCAUCCAGAGAGAUAGAGAGCCAUAACCUUCACCCUCUUUUCCUCCCCACUGGAAGUGUGUGAAGAUCAAGGUUCAAGUCAUCGGGAGAAAGAUCGUAGGUUUAUGAGACUUAUGUGAUUUCAUUCUUCAUCUUCACCAUGUAGAUUUGAUUCAGUAACUAUUUUUAAAACAUCUUGCCAAACAUUCUUAUUUUUAAAAAAGGUAAAAACUGUUUUUUGUUCUCUAUUUUGAACAAAAAAAAAAUUAAAAAAACAAAUUUUUAACAACACUACAAAAUAGGCCCUAAGUUAUCCAAAGAUCGUUUUUUUUUUAAUGAAAUAGGUUCAAUAUAACAUUUCCAUUAAAUAAGAAAAAGGGACCCAAAAAUUUCUUUUAAUAAAAAUAGGUUUUAGACAUUUUUUUUAGAUAUAAUAGUCCAAAAAUUUUGUUUUGAUAAAAGAAAUAGUUUAGAAUUUUAAAAUAAAUAAAUAAAUAAAAGGUUAAGAAAUAUUUUUUAAAUAAAAUAAAAUACUCCAACAAUCUUAUUUUAAUGAAAUAACAAUUCAAAAAAUAUUAUUUUUAAUAAAAGAAAGUUUUCUUAAUAGAAAGUUCAAACAAAUGUUUUUAGAAGAAUCUAGAAAAAAUAAUAAUAAUAAUUCAAAAUUUUGUUUUUAAUAAAAAGUAGUCUAGAAAUUCAUUUGUUUAACAAAAUUUUCUAGAAAAAUUGAUUUUUAAAUAAAAUUGUCCAAAAAGUUAAUUUUAAUACAGUCGUCUAAAAUUGAUUUUUAAAUAUAACUCUCUUUCCUUGAUAAGAAAGGGAUUAAAAGUAAUUUUUAUAAAUAGAUGUCUUAAAGAAUUUUUUUAAAUAAGAAUAGCAUGAGUAAACUUUGAAAUAGAACUGAAAAACCUUCUUUUUUUAAUAAAUUGGUAAACAAAUCUCCUACUAAAUGAAAUCCAGAAUUCUUUCUUAAUAAAAUUGGAAUCCUUGGGAACAAAUUUGUGAAAUUCUUUCUCUAAAUAAAUUAGUAAUAAAGAAUCUUUUUCUAGGUAAAAUAAAAAGUAUAUAUAUUUUUAAUAAAAUUGGGUUGAAAUUCCUUCUUAUAAACUUGUAAAUAUAUUUCUUUAAGUUUGUAGAUUUUUUUUUUAAAAAAAAAUAAAGAUUGAAUCAAAACACUUUUUAAAAUAAAUUAGUAAAAUUCACCCCUCUUAUUAAUAAGGUAAACAAAAAUCAUUUCUUGUAAAUCAAAUCAAAUCUUUUUUAAUAAAUUGAAGCCUUGUGAAUAAAUAAAUUCAAAUCACUAAUUUGAAAUUGUUGUUAAACUAAAAGAAUUCUUUGAAAAUUUAUGGAAUUUGUAUUAUGAUAUUUGAAAUAAUAAAAUCUUUCUAAUAAAUUAUUCUGUGCAUUUCUCAUGUAUCAUUUCUACAUAUCCUUAUAAUUUGCUUUUGCAUUAUUCCAUGUACUUGUAUUAUUCUUUUUUUUUCAGUAUUCAUGAUUAACUAAUUAAUUAUCAUAAUUCUCUUUUACGUGCUUACUAGAAACCUUUUUAAGGCUUAAAAGGGUGCUACCCUAUGGUACCUUCACAAUAGGUAACCUGACUUCGAGAUUCGAAUUCGAUUUUUACCGACAUGUUUUUUCUUUAAAAACGAGUAACGAUAGGGCUUUACUUAUUUAUUUUUUUCUAAAAAAUAAAAAGAGUGACAACUCCAACUUUAAAAAAAAAAAAAUCAGUUUUUUUAUAACAAAAACAAAUUUCACCAUCAAGUGGGGACGCACAUGAAAAAUGAGAGUUCACAAUUGUAUUUCUUAGACUUAAAAUAUAAUACAAUUACUAAAUCAACGAAUGUUGUGAGUUUUUACAUCUUUGAUCAUAAAAGAUUCAAAGUACAAUGGAACAAAUAGUUUUCAAAAGGAAAAUAAAAAUGUUUAAAAUGGAAAAUCUAACAAUAAAGACAAUGAAACAAGGUGAUAUGGUAGGAGUUAAAUAGAGAAAUCUUUUAUCCAUGAAUUUAUAGUUUAUUUAGUAGAAAAAAGUUCAAAAGAAAUAUUGCAUACAUUAAUGAAUUAAGUAGAUAAAAGGGAUUUAGGUAAUUUGAUAUUUAUGCUUUAGUUUGAUAACAUCAAAUAGAAAUUUGAUAUUAUUAGUUUCCAUAUUGAGUUUGGAAAUCUAUCAAAUGGAUGUUAAGAUUAUCUUUCUUUGAAUGGUUACAUAAAUUAAGAGUAUAUGGGGUAACCUAAAGGAUUUAUGACAAGAACACAAAGUUAGGGAUAGAUACAUUUAGCUAGGUUGGAUUAUAACCAAUCCAAGAAUCAAAUAGAAGUUGAUUGGUUUUAACUAAAGUAUAACAAAUUUAUUUAUUGACUCAAACUAAUCCAACUUAAUAUUAGUUUGAUUCAGUUUAGUUAACUCAAUUUAGACCAAAAUAUUGAGUCUAUAUGUUUUUUUCUCCACAUUGACCACAUAACCAAAAUGAUCAAAUUGUUUUAGAUAAAUAUAUAUAUAUAUAUAUAUAUACACACAAAUAAUACAACUAAAAAUUUUAAAAAUAAUGUGUAGGAGCAAACCAAUGGAUUAUUUUCUUAUUGGGAGUAAGUCAAUGAGUAGUAUUAUUGACAUAUUGGGUGCUUGUGACUUGAAAUUAUAUUAUCAUCAUUAUUAAGUCCCACAGUACUAGGAUUUUAAAUUUUAGAUCAUGCUUAUGCCAUAAGCAACUUUUAAUUUGUAAUAAAGCCAUGGGAGUUAGGUUCUAGGCCUCCAACAUCAAACUGUAGCCUAACUAAGUUAGCUUUGGAUGAGCAUGGUUUGACUCACAAAGUCUCAAGAUUCUCCAUAACACUCCAAAAUCCAAGCAAUUAUAUUUGUCCCACUCCUCUACUACUUGGGUUUGUUUGCCAAUCCACUAUGAUCUAGGUUGAACCUUUCAUAAGCCAAAUACUUAAACUAGUUUGAUCUCUAGUUUCACUGCACUACCAAAAUAAAGUAGAAACGCUAAAAUUUGCAAGAGGAAAACCUUCAUGAUCAGCCACAUCUUCUUUGGAAUAAAAGCCUCUUCUCUUGUCCUAAACACAACUGCUUCAAUUUUCUUACUAUUUCUAAUAAGCACGACUUAUCUUCUCUCUGACAUGAAUAGAUGAAUUCUUAAACGUAUUUAUAGAGGCUGGAGGUGAAAGCUGAACAGCUGGUUUCCUGGGGUACAACCAUUCCUCGCCGCGUAUCAAUAUAAGAGAAGUAAUUUGAAUGUGUAUUGGUUUUGAAAGUUCUUCCAGGACCACUUCAAAGAGCAGGUUGUGUAUGAUAUCUGACCACUUACCAAAAUUUAAAUAAACCAAAUUCCUGAAGACGAGUUUCUUAGAAUCUCUUGAAUUUUCUAAUUCAAAAUACAUGAAAGAUGAUUUUCCUGGGGUACAACAAUUCCUCGCCGCGUAUCAAUAUAAGAGAAGUAAUUUGAAUGUUCUUCAGAAAGCAGGUUGUGUAUGAUCAGCUUCAAUCAGGUUGUGUAUCGUACAAGUUUGACUUUGAGAAUUGACCAAGAAAUUAAUCAAACAUAUUAUUUUAGAAUAAAUUUCAAAUACAUGUAGAAUACUUUUAAAACUUUGACCUCGCAUAUAUACAGUACCUUUAUCAAGAUUAGUCAAGAUUUUCUCUUUGUAUUUGGUAGGAAGGGAAAAGUCAGCGCUGCUUUCAGAAGGAAUAUAGGAUUCCAUUAUAGGAAAGAAACAAUCAUUCAAUUAUAGGAACCGGAUCGAAAAUUCCUUGUCCGGUUGGAGGGUCAAUCCAGACAUUCAAAUCAUUAGGUCAGCGAUGAAAUCAUUCAACAUGCUCACCAUCAAAUAAAUAUUGGUUUCCUUUGCAUAUUUCCUCCAAACCGGCUUUAAUCUUGAUAAGAUAUAUUGCACAGAUAAAUUGCAUGCACCAACAUAUAAAUUAGUUUAAACGGAUAAGAGAACAUUCAGACAUUUUCAAACAUCAAAUCUCCACUUUUUUUAAAUUGUUUAUAAACAGAAAAAAUGAUGAAUAAAAUUUAAGACGUGAAAAUAUGACCAAGUUAAUUUAAACUUUUUUUUAUUUUUUUUCACUUUUUUUCUUCUAUUUUUUUUUUCUCACAUUUCCUUUUGAACUUUUGGAAUAAAUUCCCUACUAUUUGUGGCGCUUUAAUAUAAUUUUUUUUCUCCAUAUUAUACAUAUUUAUGCAAUAUUUGGUUAAACUAUUUUGAAUUUCUAUUUUUACCUUAACAAGAAACAUUUCUUGAAAAUGAAGAUUAUUUUCUCCUUAUUUUCAAAUUUGUGUUUCUCCACUUUUUUAAAAAUAAUAAUAAUAAUAAUUAUAAGUAAUUAUAGAUUUAAAAAUAACUUUUUUCAUAACAAAUACAAUAUAUAGCGGGCUUAUAAAAACUAUUAUCUAAAAAAAGGAAAAGUAAAAUAAGAAAUAAUUCAAACUUCCUUAUUUGGUUUAUUGUACCAUAUUCAAAGAGUUUUAAAUAAUAAAUUCGAAGAUCAUCCCAAACACUUUAAAGAGUUUUAGAAAUCAAUACUAAAUUCAAUCUUAAUUUAAAACUCCUAAAUAAUUAAUUGUAAAGUUGUUUUCAAAGGAAACCCUUCCUAUCUCGAUUUCCUCUCACUAAGAUACUUAAAAAGUGGAAUAAUAUAUAAGAGUGAACUUAAAACUCAAUUAAGAAAAUAGGUCAAUAAGGAAGAUCAAGUAUAGUACAAAGUUAAAUCUUAGGAGUUAUCACAUCUUAAAAAAAAAAAAAAAAAUCAAUUAGUAGGAGUUCAUUUAAUUCAAUAAUUAAAUUCAUUUUGUUCAAAAAAUUAUGCACUUUCAAUUUAAAGAUAGAAUUAAAUAAUAUACUUUACAUACUUAAAUUAUAUUAAAAAAAUAUAAACAAACAUUUUACUUUGACUCAUUGAUAAUAACAUUGUGCCCAAAUAGUAAAACUUGCAUUAGGUGGCUAGUCUCACUUUGUGCCUUUUAGCAAUGGACAAAAUGAUUUAUAAUCAAUGAUAUACCAAAGGCUAAUAACACCCUUAUUAGCUAGAGUUACAUUAUAUCACUAUCCUCACAAAAGGUAACACAGGUCAACAACUUCUCUCUUAAACCAAUGUAAUAAAUUAAAUGAUAAAAUUCAUUUGCAUAACAAUAAACAAAUCAUAUGAUAUUCCCAAUUUAUUUUAUAAACUAAGGAACAAAUCAUAACAUUUUUAGUAAAAUAUUAUUUGAUCCACUUUAAGGAACUUAAACAUUUUGAUAGUUUAAAAAUAGAUGAAAAAAAAUAAGAAAUUAUAAAAUGUUUUACUAUACUAUUGACCCUUACCUUGAAGAAAUCAUUCAAAAUCCUGAAAGACUUAAUCUACACCUAAUAUAAAUAUAAAUAAAAAAUAAUUAUUAAAGAUUAAUUAUCUAAAUUAACAACUUCCUAAUUUUUAUGUAAAACUUACCUUAAUUAUCUAAAUAAUGAGUAGUAUUAUUGACAUAUUGGGUGCUUGUGACUUGAAAUUAUAUUAUCAUCAUUAUUAAGUCCCACAGUACAAGGAUUUUAAAUUUUAGAUCAUGCUUAUGCCAUAAGCAACUUUUAAUUUGUAAUAAAGCCAUGGGAGUUAGGCUCUAGGCCUCCAACAUCAAACUGUAGCCUAGCUAAGUUAGCUUUGGAUGAGCAUGGUUUGACUCACAAAGUCUCAAGAUUCUCCAUAACACUCCAAAAUCCAAGCAAUUAUAUUUGUCCCACUCCUCUACUACUUGGGUUUGUUUGCCAAUCCACUUUUAGUAAGUGAUCUAGGUCGAACCUUUCAUAAGCCAAAUACUUAAACUAGUUUGAUCUCCAGUUUCACUGCACUACCAAAAUAAAGUAAUUCAAGUAGAAUUAACCAAAGGCACAUGCAUGACAAGUUUUGCUAUUGGGGACGUUUACAAAUAAUAUAUGGAGACAUUUUUCCAGUAUAAUUUGAGACAAAUGCUAAUGGGGUUGCCUAUGAACUAUUCUCCAAGGCUUUUUAGGCUUAUCUAUUAAACAAUGGAAAUUGAAGAUUUGGGGGUCAAAUGAAAGUAAUCAAGUUUGAAGUUGAUGGAAUUGUUUAUUAGCUCAAUAUAGAGGCUUAUCUCAAGCACUUUCUUAGUACAAUGCUUCAAGUCGAUUAACUGCAUGCAUGCACUAAAGACUUCCACAACAAAGGAAAUUUUGCAAGAAUAAUCUAAAGAGCUACUACAAGAGAGAAUGAUCUUUUGAACAUAUGUAAUUGAUUGUGUAUUAAUUAAGAAGGCUUCUAAAGUUGGAUAAGUUGUUUAGAACUUUUAAGAGGGAAUUUGUAAACUUCACAAAAUUGAUCUAAGAGACAUUUACCAAGUUCUAUCAUGAUAAUAAAGUAUUGAGGAGAAAAUGUACCACCAAACCAAGUUGUAUUUGCUAAGAAUACUCACUACAUUUCUAUUAAGAAAGAAACUAUCUAGUGGUAAAGGACAAGAUAGUUUUAGUUCGUGAAGUUUUCACUGCCCAAGCUAACAUCAAAAGCUAUAACAAGACAAAUCCUAAUAAGGUAAGAUAAAAGGUUGCACAAAAGGGACAUCUUGCUCCUUGUUGAAAAUCUCAUUCAAUUGCAAAUCUACCACAUCAAGAAUGCUCUCUCUUCUAUAAUUUUCUCAUACCCAAUCCACAAUACUAUUAUUAUACUUGUUUUGCAUGUUUUUUUCUUUUCUUUUCUUUUUGGCUUUCUAAGUUAUGUUUUCUUUGGUUAUAGCAAUAGCAUCAUUAGUGUGUUAAAUUCCCUUAUAGAUAAUUCCUCAAGCAUUUAAUGUCCUCAUUGUUGCUAUUAAGUCUUAUAGUAUGAAACGAAAAAUAAAAAUUCUUGUAUUCAAAAUCAAAUGGAAGCACAUGAAUUAAAAAAUGCAAACACAAGAGAAACAUUGAAAUCCAAUUACAAAGAGUAGUAUCAAAAUUUCCAUAUCUACAAAAUUCAAGUGUUAAGAUUUCUAAAAAUGAAAUAUAUAUAUAUAUAGGGUUCAUUGGGAGAAGACCUACAUCUAUAAAACAUCAAGGUCUGACAUUAAGAGAGGAAUUCAAUCCAUACCUAAUAUGAAGGCAUGGAUUCGAACACAUUGACUAGAUUUGAAGAAUGCAAUUCAUCCAUGGGAAUUUGUGUACCUAAAGAGGGUUGGUUUUUGGAGGUACUGGAAGAUGGUUGGAGUAUGGUAGUGGCUAUUGAAAGGGUCGAUGGCGGUGGGAAGCCAUAACUACUAGUGAAGAGGAAGUUAGGUGAAUUGGAGACUUGAUGAAGAAGAUAAUGUGAGCUCGAUAAAAUUUCCUCCAACUUUUCCUUUCUUUUUCUCUCUUAUUUUCCUCACUAAUUUUUAAGGAAAGUAGAAGAGAAAAUAUUACAAUAUUUUCUUUAGUAUUUUCUUUUAUAUUUUUUCCAUCAUAUUUUUCAUGUCACCAAUAUUUUCUUUAGUAUUUUCUUUUAUAUUUUUUCCAUCAUAUUUUUCAUGUCACCCAAACUAAGGAAAAUAACUUUCCAUAGUAUUUUUUUUCCUUUCCCUUGCAUUUUCUAAAAACCAAACACAAUCUUAAUAAAUAAAAAUUAAGAACUACAACAAGAUUGUAUAUUUCCUCUUUAUUCUUGCAUUUCUACAUCUACUACUCUAUUUGACAUCAUAUUUUUACUCCCUUCUUCAAUCAACAUUCCUCCCUUAUUAUAGAGUUAUCUUCACACCAAUUCAUAAGAUAAGAAAGGUGAAUGAACCUUGGGGCAAAUUUGGACAACUAGUGGCAACUAGUCAAGAUUUGAAGUCAACUUUUGCUUGAUUUUUUUUGGCAUGGGCAGCAACUUGUGGACCCUCUUUAGCAUGAAAAUGACUAGAAUAUGUUAAGCUCUCUUAUUAGAUGGUUAAUGAUGUAUGAACCUGUAGACCCCUUAAAAGACUAAGGGUUUUUCCAGUUGGUUUGAGGGACCACUCGGGUGAUUUUUUUUGAAGUGAGGGGGACCCCUUUUCUGCCAUGAAGGAGCUGCAUUGGACGCGUGGACACGGCAAGAGGCAGGGGCGACCAUGCUGGUUGUUGAGGAGCCCAUGCUUGCUGAUGGGUGAACAGCAGAGCCGGUAAUGGCUUGCCAAAGAGAUUUUUUUUUUUAGAGAGGGAGAGGUAUAGAAAAGGCGAGGAGGGCUCUUUUCAUGGUGGCCGUGAUAGAGACUCGGAGCUGGGGGGGAAAAAGUUUUUUUACUGAUCUGGGAGGAAGAGAAAAUACAGGAAGCUGAGUAAGCACUGCCUGAGAAGCUCAGGUAUGGCCAACAUGGAUUUCUUUGUUUUGGAUCUUCUUCAUCUUCCUUCUCUAUUAUUGCUGUGAUUUUGAUAUAGUUGAUUCUGGUCACAUUCCCUGGAGUUUUGUUUGAGCAUGAACUGUCUCUGUUGCAGCUUUCUUAUAAAAUGUCUAAAUCAUGCCUGGGUCCUAGUCUAAAAUAUAUUGAUCUCACUCGCCUGCGUUUAAGUACAUUGAUUGUAAUAUGAAACGUGGCUUUUCGCUGGUUCAUUUUAUUUCAUUCUUUUAUGCUCUGUUUUUUUGUUAUCUUCCCCUGUUCCGGGCACCCAUCCAUGGCAUACACCAAAUUUCCUAUCCUUAGAUGGAAAGGUAAGGCACCGUGUGAAACGCGCUCUCAGUUUGUGGGGUAUGUAGAUCUGCGUUCAUGAGUCGGUCAUGCCGUGGUAUCGAGUUCUCCUUUAUUGAGGGUAAACAGAGUUGGUGUCGCCAAGUGGGGAUGGGAAGGAUAUGUUGCUAACAGAGCAGCCCAAGAAAUGUUUCUUCAUCUAAGAACGAAAUCAUUCGCUGGAAAGUGUAUCAAUGAUCUCCACUGCUGUCUGUUUAGACACAAUAUGGAACGACUGGUGGUGUAGAUAUUGACAAGGUGACCGAGCACCUAUGUGCAAACUACGGACGUACCAGAUUUGAAAAAUCCAGCAUGGAUUUCUCUAGAGAAUGCAUGAUGCGCCUGUAGACAUUUCUGGGAAUUUCUGGCAGGUCCAGAGUCGAUAUUAGCAACCCUCUGGCACUCUUAAUUGGAGAACACUAAGGUCCAAUUCGACUCUCCAUGCAAUGAGUAGCCUCUCUGAUGCUUAUGAAGAUCAUCUUCUGGGUACCGAACUCGCUGAAACCUGUUUUGGAGCUGGACGAUGGUCCUUGCACAGGAGAAUCUAAGUUCAGAGAGCCAUUCUUCAAGGUCAGCAGCAGUGAUAACGGCGCUGCAUGGGUACCAUGAUCAUCAACAGAAAUUAUUCCAUUGUUUGAAUGUGGGAAUAUUUUUAGCGAGAUGACCAUUUGCAAUUUACACGACCACCUCCCUCUCAUACCUAUUUUCCUCAUACUCCCAUCACCCAACAAGCCAAACCAUUCCAUCAUUCCCCUCAGUACCUCCUGCAUGCAAAUCCAUUGUUCCCAAACCCAUUGCCCAUAGCCGAUACCUAUCUCACCAUAUUCUUCUCAUUUUUUUUUCUUCAAACCCACUGCUUAUACUUCAUGCAACCAUACCCACUGCUAUCCACCCGCGUACACAUCCACCUUUCAUAAUACCCAUCUUCUCACCACCUUUUCUCUCUCAUACCCAUAUUUCUAACAUACCCGUCACCACCCGUUUCUCUCUCUAAACUUAUUCACACCCAUCUCCUGCACCCAGCAGCCGCAAACCACCCAUUUUCCAUCUCAACCCGUUCGGCUGUUCUGUGAUUGAUGGACCUCAUGGUGACAUGGGUCUCACGACUCUUAAAAAAUAGGUUUUCGUUGAAGAAGCUUCAUGUCGUUCUAUAUUUGCUGAAGCCUUUUUGUUUCCCACUGAUGGCAUUGUUUAAACAAAUUGGUGGAUAAAAGUCAAAGACAUGAGUUUUUUAUAUUAUUUUUUAUUCUUCAUUGGUGGCAUGGUUCCCGUAGGCUUCAAGGUGGUUUAUUAUUAUUUUUUCUCUUUUCUCCCACGUGCCAUCUUCUUAAUUCCACUUUACAUAUUAAAAUUUUCAUUUUUUUGAAAGUCCUAAUUCUUUUAAAAAUCCCAACGUUUCAAAUUCAUUCAUUUAUUCAUUUAUUUUAUCUAUUUUAUUCAUUUAUUUUUUAUUUUUCUAUUUAUUUAUUUAUUAUUUUAUUUAAGAAUAUAUAUAUACGCGUAUCCUUUCCAAAAUAAUCUCGUAAAAUAUGAUUUUUAAAUUUAUUUUACGAAACUUCAAAUCUAACAUUCAAUUUUCCAAAACUCCAAUAUUUUAAGUUUAAUUUUUCAAAAUUCAAUUCUCGAACUAAUUUUCUAGAACUCUAACUUUAAAUUUAAUUUUCCCAAAAUUCAAAUUUUCAGUUCCAAUAUUUCAAAAAUUCCAUUAUUCACGUUCAUUCGUUUAAACAUUAUUUUUGUUAGUAUUAUUAUUAUUCCAUAUUUAUUUAUUUAUUUCUUUUAAAAAUUUCGAUCAUUCAAGUUUAAUUAUUCAAAAAAAUCUGACUUUCGAAUUUCAUUUUCAAUCUAAAAAAUUUCACUAUUCACAUUCAUUCGUUUAAACAUUAUUUUUGUUAUUAUUAUCAUUCCAUAUUUAUUUAUUUAUUUCUUUUAAAAAUUUAAAUUAUUAAAGUUCAAUUCUUGAAAAAUCUGACUGUCGAAUUUCAUUUUCAAUCUCAAAUAUUCCACUAUUCACAUUCAUUCAUUUAAAUAUUAUUCUCAUUAUUAUUAUUAUUAUUAUUAUUCCAUUCAUUUAUUUUACAAAUUCCAAUAAUUAAAGUUCAAUUUUUCAAAAUUCCGUUUUCCGAAUUUAAUUUUCAAUCUAAAAAAUUCCACUAUUCACAUUCAGUUGUUUAAUGAUUAUUUUCGUUAUUAUUAUUAUCCCGUUCAUUUAUUUAUUCACUUAUUCAUAUAUUUAAAAAUCUCAUCUCCAAAUAAUUUCUCAAAAUCUCAAUCUUUAAAUUCAAUCUCCCAUCUCUAAAAUUCUAUUUUUCGCAAUUAUUUACCAAAUCUUUAUUAUUUCAUCAUUAUUAUUAUUUACUCAUUUAUUUAUUCACUUAUUUGUUUAUUAAAAUUCCGUAUUUAAAUAAUUCUUCAAAAUUCCGAUUCCCAAAUUUAGUUCUCUGAAACUCCAAUUCCUUUCAAAUUCAAUUACUAAAAUUCUCAUUCUUAUAUUUAAUUUCUAAAAAUCCAAUUUUCAAAUAAUCUUUAAAACUCCAAUUUUCAAAUAAAUUUCAAAAAUCCAGUUUUCCCUCAAACAGUUUUAAUUUCUAUUUGAUGACGCAUGUGAUAUGUUUUGUGCUCUUUAUUAUACAUUGACCCCAUUUUUAUGAUAGCGCAUUACUCGUUCGUGGCCCAGGUAUGCAUCCCUUCCCAUUUUGGUCAUUCUCUAUGCAUGUUUUGAUUCUCAUGUGUGCAUGGUCGAUUUGAGUAUCCGUUGGUUUUCUUAUUGAUCGUCACGUCGGCUUCAUUUUAUUAGUAGAUAUCCGACUUUAGGGACUUAGAGUGGUGCUACGGUCUUUACCGUACCUUCCUGAUAAGUAACCUGACCCCCGAACCCGAUUCGGUUUUUCAUAGACCACCUUUUCCAAAAUAAGGAGUCACACUUAGGGUUUUCUUUCUUAUUUUGUUUACCCUUUUAAAAAUAAAACAAAAAUAAGUGGCGACUCCAAGUCAUAUUUUUUUAAUAAAUAAAAAUCAUUUUCGAAUAAAGAUCGAGCUUACCAUCGAGUGGAAAAUGCAUGAACUGAAAUGCGAGGUCCAUAGAACCAUACGACAAUCAUAGGGUGGGGAAUAUAUGGUAAUUGUGCAAUAAAUAAAUAAAUAAAAAAUGGUAUCCAAUUAUAUAAAAAGGCAUCUUCCAACAUUUGAUAUACAUAUGUAAAAAUUAAGAGGAAAAUACUAAAAAAAAACAUAUUAAACCUAAAAAUAGGGACUUAAUAUAAAAUAAAGCAAAAAGGUAAAAUUAAAACCAAAUAUUAAUAAUGAAUAUAGUUUAAGUAUUAAAAAUAUUAUUAUUUAGGUUUUAAUCAUUAGGCUUGCUAGAGGAGUUUAUAUAUAUAUAUAUAUAUAUAUAUAUAUAUAUAUAUAUAUAUAUAUAUAUAUAUAUAUAUAUAUAUAUAUAUAUAUAUAUAUCCUAUCUCUGCAUAAAAUUUGUAAAUUAAAUAUUUAUUUCUGUUAUUUAAAGGAAUCAUUGAAAUGUUUGCAUGAAAGAUUUAUUCCAUAGCCUAAAAUGAUGAUAUUGGCAUUAUAUAUAUGUGUAUGUAUGUAUGUAUGUAUAUAUAUAUAUAUAUGUAUACAUGUGUUUGCUCAAAUGAUAGGCUGAUUUUAAGCUAUAAUAAUAAUAACUGUAUUAUUGUAUUAUUGAAAUGAAAAGGUUGUUGUUCUUUAAUUUUGAUUUGAAAUACAGGGGAUAUUUCUAACACUAAGAUGAUGUUUAUUUUUUUAAUUGAAUAGAAAAAAUUAAAAUAUUUGAUUUUUUUUUAUUCAACUAAAAGUAACAUGUUGAUAUCAACCAACAUAACUAAAGUGAACUUAUUCUUAAUAGGCUUAGUUUAGUUAUGUUGGUUGAUAUCAAUAGGUUAUUUUUAACUAAAUAGAAAAAAAUAUAUAUUUUAGCUUUUUUUAUUCAAUAAAAAAGCAAACACAUCUAAAAUUUUAUAUAAAAAUGCUUUAACUAGAAAUGAAUUUCAUAUGGACCAUUGUAAAAUACCAUGCAUAGGGAGAAAUCUGGAUCCUCACUUGCUCUUUGAUUUUAAUGCAUUGAAUUUGAUGUUGGCUAAAACAAAUUAUAUUUCAUGUCCCGUAUUAUGAGUAGACAUUCCUUAUGUUAGAUUUUAGAUAAAUAAUGGAUAUUGGAGAUUGGAGUUGUAAGAAAUUAGGAGAUCCUAAUUUUAAAUAUGUAACAAAGUUCUAUAAUCGCUUCAAUCCAUGUUUUAAAAUUUGUAUUUCUUUCUAAUAUUAGAGCAAACUUUUUCUUUGUUUCUUAUAAAUUUCAUUUGGGAAUGAUUUAAAAAUAAAUAAAUAAAAACCCUUCUAAAUAUUAAAAAGUAACACUUUCUUAUAAAAAUUAAUUAGGUAGAUGGUAAGGUCAAAUUCAGGAUAGCUUCAUAUUUUUUGCUUUAAUUGAAAAUUAAAAUCAAAAUUAAAGUAAUAAUUUUUAAGGUUUCUUACAUUCAUAUUCGUAUUAUUUAUUAUAUCAAAUUAAUUUUAAUUUACAAAAUAUUAAAACUUUAUAAUUAUCAUUAUUAUUUAUAUUUUAGUUUUUUUUAAAUAAAUUUAUAUUUUUAAUAUUUUAAAAUAAAAAUAUUCAAAAUUAAAAGGAUAAAUAUAAAAAAAAUUAAAAAUAAAAGUGAUAGUAAUUUUUUAGAAUAGGAUUAAUGAGAAUUAUGAUACAUUUUAUCUCUACUAAAUCUAAAACUCAAAAGGGCCACCCACUUCUGUCACUCGAGGCACCGAGAAGCCCUUGUUUGAAGUUGCCGUCCAGACGAGAGAAUCCCUAAAAAUGCCUUAUUUCCUCUGCCACUCUCAAUCCUCACAGGUACUAAUCUAAUCAUGUUAUUUUGUUUUAAUUUUUUUUUUCAACCCCCGUUUGAUUCCCAAAGAAAAUCUCUCCCCCAUUUGAUUUUCGGGAAAAUUCAUCCUCGUUUGAUUUCCGAGAAAAUCCAUGCAAAACCCCCAAGCAAAACAAAAAAAAUUGCUUUUUUUUUUUUUUUGCUCCCUGUGUUUUCUGGAUCUGUUCUAGGGGUCUCUUUGCUUUUAUGCCACUGGAUUUAAAUUUCACGAACCCUAGAUCCACGAUUUUUGAGCCAGGCGGAAAAACACAACCUUCGCCUGCAAAUCAUGAUCAGAUUACCAAAUAGCAUCUUAUUUUUGCUACUGGAUUUAAAUUUCACGAACCCUAAAUCCAUGAUUUUUGAGCCAGGUUGAAAAACACAACCUUUGUCUGCAAAUCAGAUUACCAAAUAGCAUCUUAUUUUUGCCACUGGAUUUAAAUUUCACGAACCCUAAAUCCAAGGCUGAAAAACGCAACCUUUGCCGGCAAAUCAUGAUCAGAUUACCAAAUAGCAUCUUAUUUGAUUUAAAAAAAAUAAAAAAUAAAAAUUGGACAGAUUUUGUAUCCUGUGCGUGGGCUGGACUGGUAGGAAAUGUCGGGAAAUUUCCCGAAAAAUGGGUAAAAAUACCGAUAUUCCCGAAAAUUACCAAAAUUUCCAUCUACAGAUAAUCGGUGACGAGCCGGCCGAUAAGCAAAAUUUCGGAGAAAUAUCGCCGAAAUUUUUCGAUAUUUCAAACACUGCAUGCUUGUUGGGUUUCAAAUCAAAUGGGUUCUUUUUCCCUAGGCACUUAAUUUUGUGGCUUUGAAUGGGUCUUUGCCUCUUGCAAUCGAUCAAAUGAAGGUGCGGAAAUGGUAAUAUUUCAUGUUUUUAUUUGUUCUUGUUUGUUAAAUUCUAAUAAUCUAUUUUCCUCUUUUGGUCAUGUGGGACAUCAUUGAUUUUGGUUUCGCCUACAUUAAACUUGGAAGUUUGCUUUGAGAUUUAUUGAGGAAAAAGUAUGGAUUGUGUGAUGGUUGAAAAUAUUUAGUUACUAGGAAAAGCCACGACCUUUCACUUAAAUCCAUAGAUUUCAUACCAACUCGUGUCUUGCAACUUGUAAGCUUUCUUCCUUUUAUGUUUCAUUUUUUAAUAUAUUAUUAAUUUCUCUUAGUAAUUAAUUAUUUGAUAUAUAUAUAUAUAUAUAGGUAAAAUUUUAAGUCACUAUAAUAAUGUUACUUCUUUUUAUAUUCAAAUAUAUUAAUAAAAAGACACUAUUUUUUUUUAUUAAAUUGUGCACUUUGGCGUGUCCUUCAUGUCAAAUAAGUUUGGUUUUAAUUAAUCUAAAUUGAUAUUUAAAAUAAUACAAUAAGACACUUUCAAUUUUAUCAUAUAAAGUUUAAUAGUGUUUGAGAGUUUAACAUAUAAUGGGAAAAAUACUGAAAGGGUGAGCAUAGUCUUUCAGUAUUUGUUAAAAAAAUUAUUUUUUAUUUUUUCAAUUCACUUAUUUUUUAGUUAAUUUUAAGAAUAGUACAAUUCCAUUGAAAAUGAUGCAAUGAGUUGUUUUAAUAUUUAAUAACAACACGUUGGCUUUGCAUGUAGAGGGUAGAAAAUAUGUUGUCCACCAUGAUAUGUAAUUAUAAUUAUAUUUAAAAACUAUAAUUACAUUUAAAAACAUUUUUCUUAGUUUUAACUGAUUACUUAAUUUUUAGUGGUUAGUAUUAUAUUAAUAUAGGAUGGAGAGAGAGAAUUUAGAGUUAUUAUGUCAUAGUCUCUAUCCAACUCAUGUGGGAGUGUUCUUACUAGGAAGGCCAUUACAACUGCUAUAAAGUUCCAUUGCUUAUUAUGCAUAUGUCAAUAGUUUAAUAUUUGAGAGUUGGUUUGUUUACCUGUGUUAUUAAGAAAUAAUCUAUUAUUGUCUAAUAAAGGUGUAGUGGCUAGCUUGUUAUUAAAAUUCUUCAUAAAGCUUGAUAUUUGAUUGCUCCGCAUUAUACAUUUUUCUUUUUAAUUUGUUAAUAUGCUUUACAUUUUCUGCUACAGAUUCGGAGUUUGGGUGUUGGAAAUUUAAGGCUUUCCUAUAAAGUAAUGCUUCAAGACGGAGGCAAGAGGCUUGGUUGUAGAUAUAUACAUGAACAACUUAAUUUAAGUUUAUGUAUAUUGUCUUAUAGUGUGUUUUUAAUUUCGUUGUAUAUUAUAUGAGUUUCUUCUAUAUAGAGAAAUUGGGGACAACUUUAAACAAGUUAAUUGAUUUGUGCUUUAAUUAAUAAUCAAAUGUAUAUUAAAUAUGUUUUUAUUAUAUAUAAAAUCAUGAUAAUUUGAUUGUCAUUAUCGUUCUUAAAUAAUAUCAAAUUGAUUAUACAUGGCAACAGGUUCAAUUUUUCAUAUUAAAAAAUAAUUUUAAAAUUUUUCUAGGGGAACCUUGACAAUUGUACUUAUUCCCAACCUUGACAUACAUGAUACUCAAAUUUGAGAUAUAUGGAAGCAAUCAUGACAUAUGUGGUACCUAUCCUUAACAUAUAUGGUGCCCACCAAGACAUAUGUGGUUCAUAACUUAACAUAUGUUAGAGAUAUCAUGACAUAUGAUAAGUAAUGAAAUAUACAUAUGUCAAGAUUGCUUAUACCUCAAUCUUGACACUCGGAUAGAUGACAUAUAGAAUCAGAAUGCUAUAAUGACAUAUAACCCUUACCAUAAUGGUCAAACACCAUCAAGGAAAGCCUUUUUUUUAGUAGUGUUUUAAGGGGAAAUAUUGAUAUUGUAAGAGUUUUAUUAAACAUGAAAGAAUUUCUUUUAUAAACAAAAAUAGAAUUAUAAAAUUCUUAUAAGAAAUAACAUUUUUAUGACUUUUACAUGAAACCUUUUUUUUUUAAAGUUAUAAGUUUUUUAAAAAAUAAUUAAAUUGGUAUAAAAACUUUUAUUUAACUCUUAAAAGUCAAUCCAAAUAAAAUUUAUAUAUAUAUAUUUGAAAGUCACUUUUAAAAAUCCAAAAAAUCACUUAAAAAUAAUUUCUAAAUAUUUUUUUUAACUUACAUUUAAAAAACAAAAAAAAAAUAAAAUGAUUUGUUUUUACUAGUUAUUUAAAUUAAGGAAGCAGGAAAGAGGAAAGAGUUUGCUCUAAUGUUAAAAAAAAAAGGGGUUGAAAAGUAAUUAAAUCACUAAAAAUAGACUUGGAGUUCUUUUAGUGUGUGGUUAGACUCAAUUUGUCCCCAUGCAAUGGAAAUGGAAGAUUUUUUGUUUUUUGUUUUCCUUUUCCUUUAUCUUGGUGUAGUCUUGUGAUAUUGUUACUAAAAUAGGAGGUAAAAAUAUAAAUUAUAUAUCAAUUAUUUUAAAUUUAGGAAAAAAAAAGUGCUUAUUUUAAUUUGAAAUAAAUAAGUAGAAAAAAAAUUGAUUUUAUCUCAAUUGUGAGACUUCAUUAAAAUUUUCUUAUUUACAAAAUAUUUUGGGUUGUAAAAGUAAAAAUUAAACAAAUCAUUUCAUGACCUUUUUCACAACAUGAUAUUUUAUCAUGUUGAAUAAAAUUGGAAUGGUCAAAAGUUGUCAAAUCAAGACUUCCAUGGCAAAUUACACCAUUGCAUAUCUCAAAGAUUAUUCUACAACAUUAUCUUUGUAGACUUUUAACAAUCCAAGAAAUUGACAAAUUAUAUAAUAAUCCCAUACACAAUAUUCUAGAACUUUACAUUAUUCUUUUUAUUUUAAUACAAGAGGAAUCCUAAGUCAACAAUUUUUUUGAACAAAAAAUAAAUAAUGAAAUCUACAACUUUACAAUAUUCUACAAUUUUUUUGAACAAAAAAAUAAAUAAUGAAAUCUGAAUAAUGGAAACAAUCAAUGAAAUCUGAAUAAUGGAAACAAUCAGUGAAAUCUUUGGCAUGUUAAUUCUUUGUAGCUUCAACAUGGUGGCAUGUCGGAUGGUGGAGGCAACAUUUGAGCUUUUGGGUGUUUACCAUUUUUCACUAUGAACGCAGUUUCCAUGCCCCAAGUCAGAUGGCGUUCUACAUGGCAGUGCAUGAACCACACCCCUGCAACAGAGAAAAUAUACCAACAUUAAACCUAAUUUAUUGCAAUAUUAAGAAAAAUUAUUCCCUUGGUAUGCAGGUUGGCAAUUUCAAGGGUUUUUUUUUAAUAGAGGACAUGAGUGCUUGAAACAUACCAGGGUUGGAUGCCUCGAAUCUGAUUGCAGCCCAACCAUUCGUAGGAACAGAGAUGGUACUCUGAAGGGGAGGAUCCACUAGAUUAUAGCGCAAAGGGUCCUUAUUUUUAUCGAAAUUCCCAAAUCCCCAUCCAACAAGGUAGAAACUGUAUCCAUGGAGAUGCAUGGGGUGGUGUGUCCCUGCAACCAAGUUUGUCCCUUGAAAAACAAUCUCCACUGUGGAGUUAUACUCAAGCACCCUUACUUCUGUUCCGUUUUCCGGCGUUUGAUACUCUAAUGGAAGAUAAUCAGCUGUAAAAUCGAACACCAGUGGUGGAACGCUAGGAAAUUUAUCUCCAUAUACACCACUGAUGUUAUAAUAGUAAGCUUGUAGUAUGUCAAUUGUAGGGGAUUGGAAGCUUAUGUUGUUUAUACUCGCGGAGAAUCGCGUCCCAUUGGGCCCUGCACAUGAAUUAUUGGGGCAUAGGAACGAGUUUACAGAAACAGUGUAAAUCAGUUUAGUGCUCGGGCUCAACGGGACAUUGGAAGGAUGUUCUGCAUUUGCUAAGCUUCGGAGGCCAGCCAUGACCUGAACCGAUGCAUUUGUGUCAUUGUAUGCAGGAAAAUGAGGCAAGGAGGGAGGUGAAGAUGGAGUGUAGUAUCCCUUGUACUGUACAAUAGCUGUGGUGGUUGUGUUAUCAUAAAAAUUUUGAGCUGCUGGGGCAAUGGAAUAAGUUUUAGCCGCCAUGUAAUAGUGAUCCGGGUGUUGGUUAGCUUCUAGUAAGACAUCGAAGGUUUGGCCAGGAUAUAUUGUGAUAUAAUCUUGUGUCAAUGGUUUCAUGUAGCUACCAUCUGUUCCAACCACUGUCAUUUUAUGCUUGGCAAUUGAGAAGAAGAGAGCCUCGUGCAGGGCAGCAUUGAUUAUGCGAAGUAGAUAUGUCUUUCCAUGAUCCACCGUUAGCUUGAAUGUGUCUGCAAUUAGAAAAGGAAAGUUGUAUACUUACGACUAGAGAAAAGAAAAGGAAAAACUUUCCAUGAGGAUCCACCAAUUAUGAAGUGAUUGAUUUAUUAGGGGUGUAAAUUUGGCUCCAUAGUUCAAAAUUAUAUUUGGAUUGGCUUUUGCUCAUGUGUUAAAUCAUGGCUCUACCAUCCUCAUAGCUAUAUUCCUCUUUCUUAGCAUUAAGUUUUAAAUAUGUUGAUGUUAAUAAGAAAAAGUAAUAUGGUUAACAUACAAGAAAAUGAGAUCAGUGUACAAUUUUAAAAUGGGAAGUUAAACUUUAUACCUGAUUUUGAGCAUGGAUAUAGAUCACCGGGUUGUCCAUUUAUCAAUAAAGAAUCAGAGGCAUUGGGGUCAGCUCCAGUUGCAAGCCCUUCAUCUCGAACCGCAUUCACAUCACUCUUCCACCAUUGUCCUGCAUUUCAACAACUCCAAUAAUUUAGAUUUUGCUUUGUUGGUUAAUUCAUGAUAUGUAAAUUAACCUUUAAAAGCAACUACACUUAUACCUAAUAUGAUGGGAAUUUCUGCGUUAGGUUUGGGAAAAGGAUACUUGGUUCCAUUCUUGGGAUAGACGAUUAUAGCUCCAUGAACGGUGGCUCGAGUCCAGUCACUAUGAGCAUGCCACCAUAGAGUGCCUUCCUCAGAGGAAAGGAUGAUCUUCUGGCUAAACUUUGACCCUGGUUGAAUUGGGCAUUGUGUGAUAUACUCGGGACCAUCUGUCCAUGGAUAUCUAGGCAUGUUCACCCCAUGCCUGCAAAACGAUAACUAUACAUUAAAACUAGUACUAAUUUUUAGACUAACAAAAGAUGGCAUGUAGCAACAUAUUAUCAUAGUAACAAGAGGCAUCAACUAUAUUUCAAUGGAACUGAUGCAAAUAACCCUAAAAUAUUAUUUUAGAUUUAACUUUAUUUGCAAAGCAAUACAUUGCAGCCCCCUCUUAGAAAUAAAAGAAUGUAUGUCAUGCAAGCAUGUUGCCCACUGCUAUCUUUCUCCGAGACAUGCAUAGGACUUACCAGUGAAUGGUGAUAUUUUCUUUUCCCCUGUUAUAAACGUUGACGAUGAUCGUCUCUCCUUUCUUAGCAUAUAUAGUUGGUCCUGGAAAUUGUCCAUUUACUGUUAAGAUGUUCUUGGUGCUACAAAGCCUUGUAUAUGAAGCCUCCUUCACCUGCAACCAAUUAAAAGUUAACCAUGCAACCUCAUCCCAAAAGAAAUAUUACAUGCAUGAAUAGUUGCAUCGAUCCAUUCAUGCAAGUGUAUAACCAAUUAGAAAUUGAUAGCAUGCAUGAAGGACUCAAUGACACCAGGGUACCCGAAGACCCCAUGAGGGUCAUAACGGUGGAAAAUGAGAGCCACACUGCUCCCUAAAUAUUAUGAUCAAAAGGUGGCGUUAAGGCCAUAAUCAUAUAUAGUAUUUACCACAAAAGUAAGCCGACGAGUUGAAGCUUGGCAAUGGAUGCCACCACCAAAAAGUAGAAACACUAAAAUUUGCAAGAGGAAAACCUUCAUGAUCAGCCACAUCUUCUUUGGAAUAAAAGCCUCUUCUCUUGUCCUAAACACAACUGCUUCAAUUUUCUUACUAUUUCUAAUAAGCACGACUUAUCUUCUCUCUGACAUGAAUAGAUGAAUUCUUAAAGGUAUUUAUAGAGGCUGGAGGUGAAAGCUGAACAGCUGGUUUCCUGGGGUACAACCAUUCCUCGCCGCGUAUCAAUAUAAGAGAAGUAAUUUGAAUGUGUAUUGGUUUUGAAAGUUCUUCCAGGACCACUUCAAAGAGCAGGUUGUGUAUGAUAUCUGACCACUUACCAAAAUUUAAAUAAACCAAAUUCCUGAAGACGAGUUUCUUAGAAUCUCUUGAAUUUUCUAAUUCAAAAUACAUGAAAGAUGAUUUUCCUGGGGUACAACAAUUCCUCGCCGCGUAUCAAUAUAAGAGAAGUAAUUUGAAUGUUCUUCAGAAAGCAGGUUGUGUAUGAUCAGCUUCAAUCAGGUUGUGUAUCGUACAAGUUUGACUUUGAGAAUUGACCAAGAAAUUAAUCAAACAUAUUAUUUUAGAAUAAAUUUCAAAUACAUGUAGAAUACUUUUAAAACUUUGACCUCGCAUAUAUACAGUACCUUUAUCAAGAUUAGUCAAGAUUUUCUCUUUGUAUUUGGUAGGAAGGGAAAAGUCAACGCUGCUUUCAGAAGGAAUAUAGGAUUCCAUUAUAGGAAAGAAACAAUCAUUCAAUUAUAGGAACCGGAUCGAAAAUUCCUUGUCCGGUUGGAGGGUCAAUCCAGACAUUCAAAUCAUUCAACAUAUAAAUUAGUUUAAACGGAUAAGAGAACAUUCAGACAUUUUCAAACAUCAAAUCUCCACUUUUUAAAAAAUAAUAAUAAUAAUAAUAAAUAAUUAUAGAUUUAAAAAUAACUUUUUUCAGAACAAAUAAGAAAUAAUUCAAACUUCCUUGUUUGGUUUAUUGUACCAUAUAUAAUGAAAAAUCAUUAUAUAAAUAAAUUAUGCAAAGAUGUAUAUAUUUUAAAAUUAUUUAUAAACAGAAAAAAUGAUGAAUAAAAUUUGAGACGUGAAAAUUUGAUCAAGUUAAUUUAAAAACUUCUUUUAAUUUUUUUCACUUUUUUACUCCUAUUUUUUCACACUAUUUUUUUUCUCACAUUUCCUUUUAAACCUUUGAAAUAAAUUCCCUACUAUUUGUGGAGCUUUAAUAUAAUUUUUUUCUCCAUAUUAUACAUAUUUAUGCAAUGUUUGGUUAAACUAUUUUGAAUUUCUAUUUUUACCUUAACAAGAAACAUUUCUUGAAAAUGAAGAUUAUUUUCUCCUUAUUUUCAAAUUUGUGUUUCUCCACUUUUUUUUUUUUAAAUAAUAAUAAAUAAUUAUAGAUUUAAAAAUAACUUUUUUCAUAACAAAUACAAUAUAUAGCCGGCUUAUAAAAACUAUUAUCUAAAAAAAGGAAAAAAAGAAAAGAAAAGAAAAGUAAAAUAAGAAAUAAUUCAAACUUCCUUAUUUGGUUUAUUGUACCAUAUACAAAGAGUUUUAAAUAAUAAAUUGGAAGAUCAUCCCAAACACUUUAAAGAGUUUUAGAAAUCAAUACUAAAAUCAAUCUUGAUUUAAAACUCCUAAAUAAUUAAUUGUAAAGUUGUUUUCAAAGGAAACCCUUCUUAUCUCGAUUUCCCCUCACUAAGAUACUUCAAAAGUGGAAUAAUAGAUAAGAGUGAACUUAAAACUCAAUUAAGAAAAUUGGUCAAUAAGGAAGAUCAAGUAUAGUACAAAGUUAAAUCUUAGGAGAUAUCACAUCUUUAUAAAUAAAAAAUAAAAAAUCAAUUAGUAGGAGUUCAUUUAAUUCAAUAAUUAAAUUCAUUUUGUUCAAAAAAUUAUGCACUUUCAAUUUAAAGAUAGAAUUAAAUAAUAUACUUUACAUACUUAAAUUAUAUUAAAAAAAUUAUAAACAAACAUUUUACUCCGACUCAUUGAUAAUAACAUUGUGCCCAAAUAGUAGAACUUGCAUUAGGUGGCUAGUCUCACUUUGUGCCUUUUAGCAAUGGACAAAAUGAUUUAUAAUCAAUGAUAUACCAAAGGCUAAUAACACCCUUAUUAGCUAGAGUUACAUUAUAUCACUAUCCUCACCAAAGGUAACGCAGGUCAACAACUUCUCUCUUAAACCAAUGUAAUAAAUUAAAUGAUAAAAUUCAUUUGCAUAACAAUAAACAAAUCAUAUGAUAUUCCCAAUUUAUUUUAUAAACUAAGGAACAAAUCAUAACAUUUUUAGUAAAAUAUUAUUUGAUCCACUUUAAGGAACUUAAACAUUUUGAUAGUUUAAAAAUAGAUGAAAAAAAUUAAGAAAUUAUAAAAUGGUUUACUAUACUAUUAACCAUUACCUUGAAGAAAUCAUUCAAAAUCCUGAAAGACUUAAUCUACACCUAAUAUAAACAUAAAUAAAAAAUAAUCAUUAAAGAUUAAUUAUCUAAAUUAAUGACUUCCUAAUUUUUUUGUAAAACUUACUUUAAUUCCAAACCCUUUUCUAAAGUUCUAUUUUUUGAAUUAAAUUUUUUAUUAACCAUAUUAUUAUUAUCAUUUUCACUUCUCAUAAUUACAUUAAUGGGUUUUGUUGAAUUAUUAAUGUUAAUAUUCCUUCUUCUUUUUUUCAUGGUAGGAAGUAGGUAAUUAUUUAUUAAUUUACUACUAUUUUUACUUAUCUCCUACCCACAACCCAAAUCUUAUUAUAACUUUAUUAUUUCUUUGCCACAACCACUUUCCUCAUUUCCUCAAUUCUUCUUCCUAUUAAUCUCGUGGUUAAAGAAAGGUAAAAGAAUCUAAAAAGAAAAUCAUACAUGAAGAACUUACCUUAAAUUUCAUAAUGAAGCAAAUAAAAAAAGUUUCUUCUUUCUAACCCUUCAAACCAAACUUCUCUAUAUACCUUUCUCUUGUUUCUUUUUCCUCUCUAUUUUAUCUUUUCAAAUUUUAAUAAUGUGGAGAAAUCAAUGGAAUUUAGGGGUGAAUUAUACUUUUAUCGCUAAAAGUAACUUUUAUUGAUGGAAUUUUAGAUGUUGUCAGUGGUGCAAAUUUUUUUUAAAAAAUUUCUAACGAAUUUAAAAAUUUCAUCACUAAAAGACAUGAUGGGAAAAUUUUGGCAUCGUCAUUUUUUUGGCACAAACACUUUUCUGAUAGAAAAAACCUAUUUUCUCAGAAAAGUAUUUGUCACUAAUUAUAAUUUUUGGUGACUAAAAGUUACAACUUUUUAUAUAUAUAUAUAUUUGCUUGUAAAAUGGUUUCAUUAAGUGGUUGUAUUAUUUCUUGACAAAUUGAGUAAUUUUAUCAUUAUUAAAUUGUGAUAUUAAUAAGUAAUAUUGAUAAAUAACUAGAUGAUUUAUAUUGUGAAAUAACAUAUGUAUUUUUUGAGACUUAAUAUUUAUACUGUAAUAUUUUAUUUCUAUUAAUAAUAAUAAAAUAAUUACAGAUUCAUAAAAUGAAAUACUACAAUACAGAUUUAUUUAAAUUUAAACGUUUUGUAACGUAAUAAUAGUAUUGUUAUGAAAUAAUAAAAAGGUAAAUUAUUUAAGCAAUUAAUAUUUAUAUCGUAAUAUGUUAUAUUUUUUUUAUAUAAAUAAUAACAACAAAUAAUUCAAGACAUGUAAGAUUUGUUACUUUGAAACAAACUUUCGAAUCCUAGGUACAUCCUUAAGAAAAUUUGUUACAUUCAAUCCUUGAGCUAACGGGACACCUAUCUCUUUUCCCAUGGUCCAUUUAUUCAUUUGGAGACCUCGAAAAGUGAUUAGAGGUCAUUCCCCACCUUAAAACGAACUUUGACUCCCAUAGUACAUCCUUUACAAAAUUUGGUACAUCAUUCACAAAAAUUCGUACAUCCUUAAAAAAAUUUGGUACAUCUAAUCCUUGACCUAUUAGGACCCCUAUCUUAUUACUCAUGGUUCGUUUAUUCCUUUAGAGAUCUUUGGAAGUGAUUAGAGGUCGUUCCCUACUCCGAAACAAACUUUGGAAAUCCUUGGGAUAACGGGACACUUAUCUCCCUUCUCAGGGUCCAUUUAUUCCUUUGGAGAUCCUUAAGAAGUGAUUGAAGGUCGUUCCCCACCUCGGAAUAGACUUUGGCACCCUUGGUACAUCAUAUACAAAAUUUGGUACAUUCUUCACAAAAUUUGGUACAUCUUCAUAAAAUUUGGUACAUUCUUAAAAAAAUUUGGUACAUCUAAUUCUUGAGCAACUAAGACCUCUAUCUUAUUGCCCAUGGUCUGUUUAUUCCUUUAAGAAUCUUUGGGAAGUGAUUGGAGGUCAUUCUCCACUCUGGAACGAACUUUGGAACCCUAGGGACAUCCUUAAGAAAAUUUGGUACAUCCAAUCCUCGAGUUAUUGGGACACCUAUCUCCAUUCUCAUGGUCCAUUUAUUCAUUUGGGAACACUUAGAAAGUAAUUGGAGGUUGUUCCCUACUCUGGAAUGAAUUGUGGAACCUUGGGUACACCUUUAGAAACUUUUUGUAUUUUUAUGGUUAUGUAAUGGUUUGAUGUUGUUGAUUGAAAUGAGGUGGUUGAGUCACAAUUUAUAAUCAUCAAGGGAAAACAAAUUGUGUUUAUUCAUGACCAGAUGAAAAUGAAUAACAAAUGGAAUUAUUGUCACUUUUAAUGGUAUUAUAUUAUGAAUCAUUUGAAUAGUUUUCUUAAAACAAUUUGUCAAUUCCAAAUGGAUUAUAGCUGAAUUGAAAAAUGAAGGAAUAUAGUUGUAGAAAAGAAGGGUUGAAUUUUUGUGGGCAUUAUGGAAGAAAGAGGUCGAGCCUUAUAUGAAAAACAGAUUGUUAACACUAGGCAUAAUAGUGGACGACCUUUUCAUGUAGGGGCUGACCCUUUUUAGCUUAUAACCCUUAGUCAUGAUAUUAGUUUUAUUUGAAGUGAUUAGUAACAAAAAUAAAGGUGUUGUUCAUAGGCAAUCCCAUCGUGUUUUUAAUAUUGGUUUUGUUUUAUGUGGGUGGUAGGCAGAACAAAGGUUGACCCAUUGUUUAAUAGGUAGGCCUUUGAAUAUGGACGUUAUAACCUUAGAAUAUGGACAGUGAGGAAAAUAGUGGUCAACCCAUGUAUUCAGAGGUAGAGCCUGAACUUAUAUUACAUAUCAAAUAAGUUCCUAACAAAUAAAUAAAUAAAAGUAAAUGCAUUGUGUGAUGUUUGGUAUAGACAAUACAUUUCAAUAUUUAGCACAUUAAUGUCACACCAUAAAAUGUUAAUGAAACAAACUUGGAUUGUUCAUAAUCUGAAUGAGACGUUAAUAUAUGAUGACUAUAUAUGUGACCAUGACAAUUGUUAUAAGUAAUUAGUUUUGACAGGGUUAUUUAAAAAUAUAUAUUUAAAAAACUAAAUACCUAAUGAGGUCUAACUGUGAGAAUAAAAUAAUUUAUGCUUAUUCUAUAAAUGUUGAAAGUAUUUUUGUGAUGAAUAUAUGUAUUAUUGGAAAUAUUUACAAACAUGCCUAGUUUAUUGAUGUGUGUGUGUGUGUGUAUUAAAAAAAAAAAAGUAAAAUCAAGGAUGUUCAUCCUUUCCUCAUAAGAAUGUACAUUGGGUUCUGAAGUCCAUUUUAGGGUAGAGAACAACCUCCAAUCACUUCUCAAUGGUCUUUAAAUGAACAAACCAACCAUGGGUAAUAAGAUAGGGGUCCUGAUAGCUCAAGGAUUGGAUGUACCAAAUUUUGUGAAGAAUGUUACAAAGUUUGUAAAUGAAAUACCAAAUUUUAUAAAGAAUAUACCAAGGAUGCCAAAGUCCGUUCCGAGGUGAGGAACGACCUCCAAUCACUUCUCGAGGGUCUCCAAAGGAAUAAAUGGACCAUGUGAAGGGAGAUAGGUGUCUCAUUAGCCCAAGGAUUGGAUGUAUCAAAUUUUCUUAAGGAUGUACCUAGGAUUCCAAAGUCCGUUUUGGAAUAGGGAAGAACCUCCAAUCACUUCCCAAAGAUCUCUAAAGGAAGAAAUGGACCAUGGGUAAUCAAAUAAGGGUCCUAAUAGCUUAAGGAUUGGAUGUACCAAAUUUUUUAAAGCAUGUUCCAAGGGUGCCAAAAUCCAUUCCAAGGUUGAGAACGACCUCCAAUCACUUUCUAAGAGUCUCCAAAUGAAUCAAUGGACCAUAGGAAAGGAGAUAGGUGUCCCGUUAGCUCAAGGAUUAGAUGUAACAAAUUUUUUUAAGGAUGUACCUAAGGUUCCAAAGUUCAUUUCGAAGUAAGGAGCAACCUCCAAUUACUUCCCAAAGAUCCUUAAAGGAAUAAACGAACCAUGGCUAAUAAGAUAGGGGUCUCGAUAAUUCAAGAAUUGGAUGUACCAAAAUUUUUUUAAGGAUGUACCAAAUUCUGUGAAGGAUGUACCAAAUUUUGUAAAGGAUGUACCAAAGGUGUCAAAGUCUAUUCUGGUAAGGGGAACAACCACCAUUCACUUUUCGAGGGUCGGUCUCUAAAGGAUAAAUAGACCAUGGGAAGUGAUAUAGGUGUCCCUUUAGCUUAAAGAUUGGAUGUACCAAAUUUUCUUAAAGAUGUACCUGGGGUUUAAAAGUCCAUUUCAGAGUAGGGAUCAACCUCCAAUCACUUCCCAAAGAUCCCUAAAGGAAUAAAUAGAUCAUGGGUAAUAAGAUAGCGAUCCUUAUAGCUCAAGGCUUGGAUGUACCAAAUUUUUUUAAGGAUGUACCAAAUUUUGUAAAGGAUGUAUCAAGGGUGCCAAAGUCCAUUCUGAGGUCAGGAACAACCUCCAAUCACUUCCCGAGGUCUCCAAAUGAAUAAAUGACCUCCAUUUGUUCUAAGGUAGGAAAUGACAUAUAAUGACUUCCUAAGAGUUCCUAAGGGAACAAAUGGACCAUGGGAAGGGAGAUAAGGGUCCCAAUAGCCCAAGGAUUGGAUGUACCGAAUUUUCUUAAGGAUGUACCUAGGGUUCCAAAGUCUAUUUACAGGUGGGGAAUGGCCUCCAAUAACUUCUCAAUGGUCCUCAAAUGAUGAAAUGGCAUAAGGGUCCUAAUAGCCUGAUGAUUGGAUAUACUAAUUUUUCUUAUGGAUGUAAUUAGGGUUCCAAUGUUAGUUUCAAGGUGGGGAAUGACCUUUAAUCACUUCCUGAUGAUUAGAUAUACCAAAAUUUAUUAAAGAUGUAUCUAAGGUUCAAAAGUCUGUUUUGGGGUGAGAAAUAACCUCCAAUUACUUCCUAUUGGUCCCUCAAUGAGCAAAAUGACCUUGGGAAGAGAGAUAGGGGUAUAAUUAGCCGGAGGAUUGGAUGUACUAAAUUUAUAUAAGGAUAUAUCUAGGGUUCCAAAGUCUAUUCUAAGGUAGGGAACGACUUGCAAUCACUUUCUAAGGGUCCUCAAAAGAUCAAAUGGACCAUGGGAAUGGAUAUAUGGGUCCUGGUAGCCCAAGGAUUGGAUGUACCAAAUUUUCUUAUGGUUAUACGUAGGAUUCCAAACUCCAUUCCGAGAUGGGAAACAACCUCCAAUCCUUUCCUAAAGGUCUCCAAAAGAAUAUAUGGACCAUGAGAAGAGAGAUAGGGGUUUUGAUUUCCCUAGGAUUGGAUGUACCUAUUUUUGUUAAGGAUGUACCUAGGGUUUCAACAUUCGUUUUGGGAUAAGGAAGGACCUCCAAUCACUUAUCGAAGGUUCCCAAAGGAAUAUAUAGACCGUGAUAAAGGAGAUAGGGAUCCUUGUUCCCUUAGGAAUGGAUGCACCUAUUUUUCUUAUGGAUGUAUCUAUUUUUUUAUGAAAUUAAUAUAAAAGGUUAACUACAAUUUUUUUUUAAUGAAAAAUUAUAUUUUCUUUUAAUUAAAAAUUAAAGAUUUUAAUGAAACAAAAAAUUAGAUCCAUGAUCAAGUUAAAACCAUAAGAAAAAAAGAUAAAAGAAUCAUCACUUACUAUGAUUUUGAUAUGAUAAAUUUAAAAUAAAAAAUAUAUAUAUAUAUAAUAUAAACAAUAAAAUAGUAUUACAAAUAUAUUUUUACUUUGAUGUGUGAUAUGGUUUAUAAAAUAUAUAAAUCUUUUAUUUAGCAUUAAUAUAACAAAUCUUAUAUCAUAAACCUAUAAAUAAUAAAAUAUAUUUUUUAAAUUUAAUCCUUGAUUUAUUAAAAGUAUUACUAUAAUUAAUAUUUAAAAUCAUCAAGUAUAUUAUUUGUGGAAUAAUAUUUUCAUUUUUGGCCAUUAUAUAUUUAUGUUUUUAUAUAACUUGUUAUAUUAACUAUUUAUUAUAUAUUAUUAUUUUAAAGUUAAUAUGUCCAAAAAAUAAUUAAAAUCAAUAAAUAUGGAGAUAUUAGAGAGUUAAAAAAAUAUAAAAUUGAAGAAGUUUUAUGCGAUAAUACAAAGAAAAAAAUAGUUAUUGGUGUACUUGACAACAACAUUUAAUGUGGUAAGUGUACUUGCCCUCAACUUUUGAGGGUAAUUUUGGAACAAAUUCAAAAGCACUAUUGGAGUGCAUGAAUUGGUAUAAAAAAAAUUCCAUUUUACAUUAAAAUUGAAAUAGUAAAACCACAGUUUUAAAAACCAUAUUUUUUAAUUGGUGAUGUACCAAAGCAUGAUUAUCCCAAUUUUAAAUAAUACAAAAAUCAUAAAUUUUAAAUUUUAAUUUUAAUCUUCUUUUAAAAAUUUGUAAAUUUUAAUGUUUAAUUUUUUAAUUUUUUAAUUUAUAAAUUUUAAAUAAUAUAAAACUCAUGGCAUGUUGAAGUGCAUUAAAUGCAUUGUAGUAGCAUAUUGUAUUUUUGUAGCAUAUAUGACAUAGAUGGAAUUGUGUGGAGUGUUUUUUGGGAAAAAAAGAUGAAAAAAAAAAAAUUCUCAAACCCUCACCUAGUUAAGCACCAUUGCAAGUUUGAAAAAAAAAAACCCAAUUUUUAAAAAGAGAGAAAACCACCAUCGCAAACAAUGGCUCACCACAUUUGUACCUGAUGCCAUAUCCUCUUCAACCUUUCAUCAUUUUCACCACCAACCCAUCUACCUUCUUGAAAAGUCAUUUUCCAACUACCAAUCAUACCCACCAUUCUCCAUAACACAUUUGUAUCUAAUAAUAAUUGUGAAAAUGACCAAUUUGAUUAAGCAAAUCACUAAAGGGGGGGAGGGGGGAAUGUGGGAAGAGAUGAAUUAGGUGUUAUAUUUUUUAUUUUAUUUUUUCAAAAGCAACCAAUUAAUAACAAAAAGAAUAAGAGAUAUUAAUUAAGGCAAUAAUUAAGUAAAAGAUAAAGAGAAGAUAUAUGCAAACUCUUUUAUUGUGGUUCAAAACUCCACCUAUAUCCAUUCUUUUUAACCUCCUAAGUAAGUGAGGAUUCCACUAUCAAAGACCUUCAACCUAAGCCUUCAAGCUUUAUAUUUGGAUUCAUGGUCUUCAAUGGGCACUCACAAUCCUUUCAAAUACUUCACCCACUUGAAGUCUCUUCACUCAAAAUGAGUAAAUAAGGAAAGUUCUAAUGCUUUCUAUUAGGACAUUGAGUCUUAUUUAUAUGUUGGCAAUUUUGUUUACUUUAUGUUUCAUCAUAGAAGUCUUUUUAGAUAAUGGCUUGCUCCCCAUUGAAGAUCAAGGGUGGUUGUUCGUCCAACCAAGAAGUCAUACGUAUAUUUAAAAAGGUUUGACUUGUUGCAUAUAAGGCUUCUUUAAGGUAUAAAAGGUUUAGUAUCAUUUUUGGACUUAAAAUGUUUUAAAAUGAUUUUUUAAAAGAAGUAGGGGCUGCUCAAGUGGAAAGGACCGAUCAACCAGUUAGACUACUCAAGUGGUAAGGAUGACUCAAGUAGUCUAAGUCUACUCAAGCAAUCAUAACAGUCCUUUCGAGUUUAGACACAAAUUUUGGAUGAAUUUCACUUGAACUCUAGUUUGAAAACUUAAGUUACUGAAACUCUUUGGAUUAUAAAUACUUUCUUAAUAACCCCUUAAGGGUUAGGGAUCGAAGAUUGAAGAGAUCUUAGAGAUUAAAAACCUUUCAUUCUUAAAAAGAGGGACUCCUUGAUAGAAAGCUUAAAUUGCUAUAUAAUUCAUGAUUUCUCAUUCAAGGAUUUGAAUCUUUAAAUUGUGGGUUGAAGACCAUAAUCCCUUCGAAGUGGCAAAAAGAUCUACUAGGGAGCAACAGGAAGUUGCUACGUCACAAACGUGGAUUAAGUUGUAGGUGUUGAAGAGUAAGUCUUUAGGAUAAAGCAGCCAAGUAAAUUUGUGUAACUUGAUUUUGAAUAGUGGAUUUAGAUUGGUAGGUCUUAGACCUUGUGGGUUUUUUUCUCCAAAGUUUGUGGGGGUUUUUCACAUACAAAUCUUAUGCCUCAUUAUCUAUAUCUUUUAUAUUUGAUAUUAUGUUUGUAGGGUUUUCAUAAAAGGUGCAUAUUUGUAGACCCCUCAUUUUGUCCUCCUAACACAUCUGAUACUUUAUGUUUUCCUAAGCUUCUCUCUUACCCUAUGGUUGUCCCUUAGAGACCCAUUAAAACUCAUAUGAAUUUUUUUCCCUAAGCUACCUUUUGGGACACUUUGUUGAGGGGCUCAUUUGGACUCACAAUGUGACUUUGACAACUUCUCAAGUUAGUUUUUAGGUUAGACUUCACUUAGAUUUUUUUUCCAAGAUAGGGUCACUUAGAUCUUUUUUAUACUAGGAUCACUUGGACACUUCACUUAGGUUGGUUUUCUUGAGUUUGAUUUCUAGGUUUUAGGUUUAGGUGAGUUCUUGACUUGAUUUCAAUAUUUGAAUGCAUGGGGUGAGUAUCAAUCUUUAGUUAUGUGAGUUCAAUGCAUUGAUUUUCUUAUUAUCUAUUACAUUAAGAUUAAUAUUUGGAUUUUGAUUGCAUGCGUUAAAUUUCUUUUAUUUAUUUUUUAUUUAUUUAUUUAUUUUAGAAAAUUUAUGUGAGACUAAUGUUAUGACUUUUAAUUGCUUGAAUUGAUGCUUGAUCUUAAAUAUGCAUACAAUUGACCUUUAAUUUUUAAUUGCAUAAUUUUAAUUUGCUUUAAUUUUCAAUUUCAUAACUUUUACUAAUUUUAAACUUUAUUUUAAUUUUGCAUGAGAUUUGAAUGUAUACUUUGGAGAAGAUCCCUUAGCGUACACGACUGCCCCAAUAAUAGGAUGGAGAUCAAGAAACUUAGGAGAUUCUUUUUUAGUUCAAGUGAUACAACCUACAACCUACAUGUGAACAACAUGCACCCAUUGACCUUCUACAAAAUGCACAGUCUACACAAAAGGAGACAUUUAUGCAACAUAGAUACAGGUUUCUUUUCUAAAAAAAAGUGUAGGCUGCCAUAUGAUAGGGCUUUAAACUAUUAAAGGAAAGUUAUUCAUGAUUAUUUAUUUUUUAUUUUAAAAAAGAAACUUAUAGCACACAUAGGAUGCAAGGGGCCACUUUCUAAAAAGAAAAGGGAUUCUUUCUUUUGGAUGAGGAUGUAGCAUAAAAAGUGAGGACCACUUUGAGAAUGGAGUCCGGUUUGGAGAAGAAAAAAAAAAAAAGACCACACGGUUCCAUGGAGAGGGGAGGGCAUAGUCUACCAUUGAAGGAGAGUUGACAGCCAUGUGUUCCUUGAGAAGGGGGUUCGCUCCCCACAACACACAUUUCAUCCUAAGGAGAGGAGGAUCUUCACACGUUGUCGAUUAGGGAGAAUACAAAUGCACAUGGAGGAUCACUUAUAGCCAUGAAUAAUAGCAGCUCAUCCAUAGCCCCACACACAACCAUGCAUAUUGGAGAAGAACUAGAAAGUUGUCACUUCAAGAUUUACCAUAGGUGCACACAUCAUUUGGAGAAGGUAAGUUAGGUUUUUUUUUUUUUUUCAAUUCUUAAUUUUCAGUUUGCAAGUUAGUUUUCUUUGUAUUUGUUUUGAUUCCACUAGAUUGAAAGUGGGAAUUAUUAAUCUUAGUUAGUUUUAUUAAUCUUAGUUUUGAGUCAUCCUAUAUAGUUUAGACACUUUCAUAAGUUUAGGUUCAUUAAUAAAAUUAAUUUUAUGCUUGAAAGUUCAUGUUUUUAGUUUGCUUUGACUUAGUCUAGCUCAUUUUAAUUAGUUUAAGUACUUUUAUAAUUUUAGUUAUUCUAUGUUUGAAAGUUCAUGUUUUUAGUUUACUUUAAUUUAGUCAAACUCAUUUUAAUUAAUUUAGGUACUUCUAUAAUUUUAGUUUCUUAGCUGAAUUUAUCCCAUUUUUUUUUAGUUUUUAUUUUAAAAUCAUUAAUGUUAGUUCCUAAUCAUCCUUAUCUUAAUUUAUAUGUUUUUAAGAUCCUAGUAGUUAGUUCAUGAAUCGAUAUCUUGUUAGUUUGUCUAAUAUAAAAUGCUUUGCUUGUUGCUUUACUGAUCCUUCAUUUAAUUUGAUUGUUUUUUAGGCCCUUGGAAACUCAUGAUGAUUGGCCUCUACUCUCACCUAGUUUAGGUUGCUAUAAAUUAUCACUUUCUAAUGUUAUUUUCUCUUUUAAAAAGAAAGUCUUUUCCCAAAAUUUUAUUUAUUAAAAUGGAUUUAAAAAACUUCUUCUAUAAUCCUUAGGGUUAAAAAAAAAAAAUCAUUUUCUUAAAAACUAUACAACCAUGUUUUAAUAUAUUUACACCUUUCUUUUAUUUUCAAUAAAAAUUGUGAUUUUUAGUGAAAUAUGAAUCCAAGCUUGUGGUCCCAAACGAAUGGGACAAUUCUUGGCUUUGAUGAGUUUGUCAAUUCUCAUGCAAGGUUGGGAAUCCAUAACCUAAAUUUGUGUAUAACAAAUGAGGAUUUGGUGACUAACCCCUUCAUAAAAUUAUUUUUCAAAAACCUUUUAUUGUUAACUUGUUGGAUUUGUUGCAUCUUUGGAAUAAAAUUUUGAUUUGGAUAAUUUAUGAUAUUCCUAAAAAUUUUCUUGUGGUUGAUGAUAUUAUGAACUUCAUUAACCUCAUUUUAGAAGUUUGAUUGAAUCAAAAAUCAUAUUUUUAAUGGAAAUUAUGAAUUAAUCUUUUGGUAGGUUCAGUUUUUUCCCAAUUCUGGAUACCCAAAUUGUUUUUUGUAUUUUCAAAUUGCUAAAUGACUUUGAAAAAUUAUUUUGACUUUUCUUCCUUCAUUCUAGACUUCUUGAAAUUUAUUUUAUACACAUAAAUAUUUAAAAAAUGUUUUGAUAAUUAGGAAAAAUAUAUUUUCUUUGUUCUACCCACUGUUGGCAUCUUAGAUCUAAGCAACAGAAGCAAUACCAUUUUUUUAAAAAUUAAUAUUUUAGGGUUAAAGAACUAACCUUUAGGUUUUGAGGUUCCCAAACCUUAAAUUCCAAGUGUUGAAGACGAUCCUGAAGUUGUUAGAAGUCUUGUAAACCUAUGAUCUUUCGCCCAAUGACUUAACCUUGUUCUUGGAAAACAAUGAGAAGGAAAGGCGGGUGGAGGCUAUGACUCUCUUUCUCUUUGAAUGGUGAGAGGCAAAAGCUAUAGAAACCUUAAUCCAUAUAGGGUAUUUAUAGGGAACCUAACUAGGCUUAAGUGACUUGAGCCUAUAUGGUCGGGCUUAGGUCACUUAAUCUAUCCCAAAAUGGGUCCUAAUUGAUUAAUUAACCUAAUAGGGCUUACUAAUUAAUAAAUUAGCCCAAUCCAAAGACCUUAUUCACUUACCCUUAUGCAACCUUGAAAAAUUACCAAAACACCCUUAUGCACAAAAGUGAACCUAGAGCUAAUCUGACCCUCAUAAUGCAUUCUAACAAGGUAUAUGAGCUCAGAGUGAGGAUCACUAGGAUCCAUAUAAGUAUUGGCUCCCUCAUAAUCAAAUUUUGAAUUUGAUUCAACAUCCCACUAUAAAAAAUCAACUAAACUCCAGUAUCCUAUGUAAAUAAUAACAAGACACUAAGUGCUCAGGUUCAUGACCUAUUAUCCACUACAUGCAGACUCUCCAUGAACUGGUGUCUGUAAUUUAACAAGGUAGUAUUAUUACCUUUCAAGAUUACCUCUUAAAUCCUUGAGUUAUAGAUCCCACUUAUUAUGUGAUCAAUUGACAUACUCUUACUCUAAAGAUAAUAUGUCAAAUUCCACUAAAGGAAUUAUUAUGGCCACAUAUUUCAUGAUCAUAUUUCUUUCGAUCACCCAAAGGAACACAUUGUCUCAAUCCCAUGAGAUAUCAUGGUGCCUAUAUUGUGAAUUCCUAUUACCAUCAACCUUUAUCAAUAAUGACCCAAUCCAUAUGGAUAUAUAACCACUUUAGGGUCUCACCCAAAUGUUAAACCCUCCUAUUUAUUUUGGAAUAUACUGAAUAUCCUUUUAAGGUUAAAAGUCCAUGCAGUAUGGUAACUUGGUAAAUCAUGAUAAUCGAUAACCUUGUGUCAUGAUUGACUGUAGGCCUUGUCUAAUAUUCAUCACAUACACUAGUGCACUCACCAUAGGAAAUCCAUCCAGAUGGCCAAGACAAGUCACCCCUCCAAUUAGGAGGUGAUGCACUAGAGUCUCUACUAGAUUGCCCAAAUCCAUGAACCAGCGGUGGACAACUUAUCUACUUGCAAGGAACCCAUGACUUGUAUCUUUUGUGCAACUGCUAAUGCACCCAAGUCAUGUACAAUGUAAGAGACAUGGACUAAAUGCUCAAAUCAUUGUUAGUACACUAAAAGGAUAGCAAAGGGAUGGUUAAGUCUAACUUUGUUACAUCAUAUCUUGCUUUCAAAGGCUCAAUCCUAACAAACUCCCACUAGCCCUAAAAGCAAACUAGGCAUCAUAGAAAAAUUUUUGUUCCAUGUCUCAUCACAUCUUUAUACUAUCUCAUUAUAAAGUAACACUUCUUAUUUAUGUGUUUCCUCUUCUGGUGAUACUUCAAUUCUUUAGACCAUGCCAUUGUCCCGUUGUUAUCACAUAACAGGAUCUUAGAUGAUAUAGCCAAGGGAAAUACCAAUAAGCCAAAAGGCUUUCUUUGUUGCUAUAAAAACAACAAAAAAGAAAAACCCCACUUCGAGUGUACACAUACCUAGAGGUAGACUUAUAAGAGUCCUUAUCAGACCGAAGUCCAAUUUCCUAGUAUGAAAUGAGUACUAACUCAUCGCAAAGGAUCACAACAUAUAAUUCCUUAUUUUCCAAAGAUACUAGAGUAUAUGUUUGACAUCUGGCCAAAGCUCUAAUAAGGAAAUGGACUAAUAUCCACUCAUUAUUCAUACAACAAAGCAAAUAUCUGGUCUAUCACAUAACAUCGCAUAUUUAAGGCAAUUCAUUAUAGAGGCAUUGGAUAUCGCCUUAAUGUGAUCUCUCUCCAUAGAUGUCUAAGGUCAUUGAUCAUAAGAAAGACAAGUCUAAAACUAAAUAGUAACAAACCUUCUUAGAGUUUUGCAUCAUAUACUUGACCAAAUGCUCAUCCAUGUAGGUGACAUGGUGCAAUUCUCCUAUUCUUGUAAUCCUGAAGGAUCAUAACCCGAAGAAUAUAUUGCAUCUUCCUCUAGAUUUUCAUCCAGAAUUGAGUAGACUAUUAGUUCUUGACUGAUGACAAUAUCCCUACAUCAUAUCUAAUGAGUAGAUUUUCAUCUACCUGUAAGAUCUUUGAGCAUCACUAUGCUUUCUUGUGUCUUUUUAUACACACAAGGCUAUUUGCUAUGAAAAUGUUUGGUUGUUAUGUCUUACAAAUGAGACACACUGCAAUAGAUAGUAGUAAUAUGAUGGAUUUGAGUAUGAUCACUAUUGAAAAGGUUUUCCAUAGUUGAAACAAAUUUCAAAAUGAAUCGCAAUUCGGAGUUGAAAUGAGGGAGUUGUAGUCGAUUGAAACUAGGUUGCACAAUGAGCAUGGAAGCACAAUGAUGUUGACUUCAACUCAAAAUUGGGGCUACCUCCCAUGAGCUUUUUGAGGCAAACCACAUAUGGUUUUGAAGCUUAAGAAGUCAGAAAUCCAAUACUUCAAACGGAUUUCAAUUUGGAGUUGAAGAAACAAGGGAGAUUUGGUUGAUUGAAGCUAAGUUGCACAAAGGGCAUGUAAUUACGAGAUGGAGUUCAAGCCAAAUUAUUUUUGGUUGUUUGGGCUCAUUUUUUGGGCCUCUUUUUGGGCUCUUUUAGUGGCAAUUAGGCCCGUUGGGUUUUUCUUUUUUUACUAACCCUAUUUUUGGUUGCAGGGCUAUUUUGAUAAUUUGGAUUCUAUCCAAGUUUUAGAUACCAAUUUUGCAACAAGAUCCCUAAGGCCAUGAGAAUUAUUUAUUUAAUUUUCUUUCAUGUCUUUUAUACUUUUUUUUUUAGAUAAUUUAUUAAAUUGGAAUGUGCUAGGACUUAGGAAAUUUUUAUUUUAGGUAAAGACAAGUUGGAAAUAAAUAAGGAACCUACUUCAUUUUCAAAAUUAAACUUUUAGAGAUUUUUUUUUAAAUAAAUCUUUUUAGAUUUUAGAUCUCUAAGAAUCUUUUUAUUUUAAGGAAGAAGUUUUUUUUUUUUUUUUCAGGUUUUUUUGAAAUAAAAUUAUUUCUAUUUAGCACAAGAUUCUAAAAUAAAGAAAUAAAUUAUUUUUGGAAAAAUAUAUGAUAGAUAAUUCAUGAUUAAGAUAGCUUACCAAGAUAUUGUUUCAAAUAAAAUAAAUUAAAAUGGUAAUUUUGGAUUUUCUUAAAAGAAUAAAUUUUCAUGAGUUUUAUUUCCAUUAUUAUUUAGUUAACAAAUUGGUUGUUGUCAUUUGGAAUUUCAAAUUCCUUUUGGGACUUUUUUUUUUGGGUUAGAUAGUUUUCUAAGCUCUCUCUCUCUCUCUCUCUCUCUCUCUCUCUCCUCCCCCCCCUUCCCCCUCUCCCCUAGAGAGAAGGAGAAUGACACGUACAUUGGUCCUCCAGGCUUUUCCUCCUUGAGAGAAAGAGAAAAUCGUUUAGUUUGAAAAUGAAAGUUCAAGGAUAAGGAAUAUGAAAGAUAUCCUUAAUUGGCAUAGGAGUCCCAAUUCAAGUAAUAAAUAAAAGUUUUGGAAAUUUUCAUGAUAGAUAAUUUAUUUUAAGAUGGAUUAUUUUAAAAUUAUCUUAAAGUCUCUCUUCCAAAAUAUUAAGUGGGAGCGGGCCAUAGGCAAGAGCCCAUCUUGAUUUCCAUCCUAAAGAUGGGGUGGCCCAAGGAAUCAAGGGAUAUGGACUAUCCUUUAUGGACAAGACUAUAUAUGUUUAUAGUAAGAGUGGCCAAUCCUAAAGAUAGAACUCUUCACUUCGUAACAUUGAUGUUAAGGAUCUUGAUUACUCAUUUAACUUAGAAAUGAAGUGGUAGAAUCACCUAAAGUGGUCCCACUUGCAUGGGCUAAGGGCUCAACAUAAAGGUAUGUUGAUCAAUGCCUUAGGAUAACCUUUGGAAGUUUAAGGCAGGUUGAUUAAUUAGAGAGGGUCUCUACCUAGUAAUAAGAGUCAUAACCUGCCUAAAGUAAGCUUGAUUCUUAUGAUACUAGGUUACCUUGCAUAGAUACAUAUAGUUUGAGAGCACUACAGUUUUGCUAAAUUAAUUACCAAUUUGCCUUAAAUGCUCAAUUCCUUUUAUUAAUGCAUGGAAUUAUUAUUUUUAUUAUGGAUAUCAUGUCUUUAAUCUAUCACAUUUUAUCUUUUGUUUAAAUUGGACCUAAUUUUAAAUUAGAAAUAAUCUGGAUAUAGUAUUAGUUGCAUAGAAGCUGUUUUUGGUAGAGUUUGUUAUUUCCUUUGAACAAACCUAUCAUCAAGUAAGAGAAACAUAUCAAAGGUGGCAUAAGACGGAUCAAAAGACUAAGUCUCUCAUACUUGGGUCUUUAGAUAAUGUGUUGCAAAAGAAACACAUGUCUAUUGUCGUAGUCUAUGAUAUUCUCUUCAAAGUUGCAAAGGUUAUUUGGUGAUAAGGGCAAGUCAACUAAACAACUUGCCCUUAAGACUAUUAUGAACACUAGGAUUCAUGUUAUCUUAGAGAUCUUACUAGAUUCUUUUGGGAUGGGUAAGAAGAUUCUCAAAGAGUGGAAGGGUGUUCAUAUGGAAGUCAAGGUUCUUCAAGCUCUUCUAACACUAUCUCAAGCUACCUACAUAGAUAAGAUUUUGGUCAAGUGUGUGAUGUGGGAUUCCAAGAAAGGUUUGUUACCUUUUAAGCAUAGAAUUCCCCUUUCUCUAAAUCAGUGUGUGCUAAAACACUUGAGAAGAAUGAGUGCAUGUAGUUAAUACUUUAUGCCUCUGUAGUGGGUAGUCUUAUGUAUUUGAUGCUAUGUACUAGGCCAAAUAUUUUUUUUGCAGUGGGUAUGGUGAGUAGAUAUCAGUCUAAUCUAGUUGCAAAACAUUGGACAACAGUCAAGCAUUUACUCAAGUACCUUAGGAGAAUGAGAGAUUGUGUUUGUGCUCCAAAGUGUUGAGAUAGUUUAAAGGGUGACAUGAUGGUUGACAAGAUACCUUUUGUGAAGAACCUAGUGGAUCUCUUCACCAAGACAUUGUCAGGGAGAGUCUUUGAUGGUCACAAGGAUAACACAGGUUUCAAAUGAGUGUCUAACAUGCUUUAUAGGCAUGAUGUUUUGAGGGCUAGUGGGAGAAUGUUAGGAUAUAGCCCUUAAAAGCAUGGCAUGAUGUAAUAAAUUUGGAAUUCAUUAUUUAUUUAACGAUGUUCCAGUUUCACUUUUAUCGAUCCUUAUUCCAUGUAUUAUACUUUAUGAGCAUUCUUGCCUACAUCUUUUGCAUUGUAUGUGACUUAGGUACAUUAGGAGCUUCAUAGAAGAUCUAAGUCAUGGGUUCCUUACAAGUAGAUGACUUGUUCACAACUGGUUCAUGGGUCUAAGCAACCCAUUAGAAGGGCACCACCUCCUAAUUGGAGGGAUUAGACUAGUCUUGGCUAUCGGGAUGGUUUUUCCAUGGUGAGUGCAUUAGUGUGUAUGGUUACAUAUUGGACAAGACCUAUAGUGAGUCACGACUUAAGGCUAUCAANNNNNNNNNNNNNNNNNNNNNNNNNNNNNNNNNNNNNNNNNNNNNNNNNNNNNNNNNNNNNNNNNNNNNNNNNNNNNNNNNNNNNNNNNNNNNNNNNNNNAUAUUGGACAAGACCUAUAGUGAGUCACGACUUAAGGCUAUCAAGUAGUCAUGACCUCACCAAGCUGCUUCAUUAUGUUGUCUCUCAACCUUGAGAGAAUAUUAAGCUUGUGCUAAAGUUAGUAAUGACUUUGAUCUACGGGUAAGAACAUAAGCUGAUCAUAUAUUCCCUAUGGAUUAGGUCACUACUGAUGGAAGCCGGUAGCAAUAGGUAUUCUCAAUAGAGGCACCAUGAUAUCUUUUAGGAUCGAGACAGUGUGUCCCCUUUGGUUAUCAUAAGGAGGUGUGUUCAUGGAAACUAUGGUCAUAGUAGUUCCUUAAGUAAAACUUGACAUAAACUCUUUGAGAGUUAAGAUAUGUAAAUUGAACAUACAAUGGGAGGAUCCGUAACUUAAGGAUGGUAAAGGUCUUGAAAGGCUAAUAGAUUUCACCUAGUUAGACUAUGGACACCAGCUCAUAGGAAGACUGAACACAAUGGAUAGCAAAUCAUAGACCCAAGCACUUGGUGUCUCAUUGUUAUUUACAUAGGAUACUGGAGUUCAGUUGAUUCUCUAUAGUAGGAUGUUGAAUCAACUUUAGAAUUAGAUUCUAAGGGAGCUAGUAUUCCUAUGGGUCCCAAUGGUCCCCGCUCUGAGCUCAUUUACCUUGUUGGCAUGGGUUAUGAGGGUCAGAUUGGCUCUAGGUUCACUUUUGUGCAUAAGGACGUUUUGGUAAUUAAGUAAAGUUGUAUAGGGAUAAGUGAACAAGGUCUCUAGAUUGGGUUAAUUGUUUAAUUAGUAGGCCCUAUUGGGUUAAUUAAUCAAUUAGGACCCAUUUUGGGCUAGAUUUAGUUACCCAAGUGCAUGUGGGCUCAAGUAAGUUAAGCCCACUUAGGAACCCUAUAAAUACCCUCUAGGGGCUAGGGUUUCCAUAACUUUUUGUCUUCCAUCAUCUAGAGAGAUAGAGAGUCAUAACCUUCACCCUCUUUUCCUCUCCAUCGAAAGUGUGUGAAGAUCAAGGUUCGAGUCAUCGGGCAAAAUAUCGUAGGUUUAGAGCAGGUUGUGUAUGAUAUUUGAUUACUCACCAAAAUUUAAAUAAACCAAAUGCCUGAAGAAUUCUAAUAAUUGUGAAAAUUUCUCACAGCUCAGCUUCAAUCAGGCUGUGUACCAUAGAAGAUGAGUUUCUUAGAAUCUCUUGAAUUUUCUAAUUCAAAAUACAAGUUUGACUUUGAGAAUUGACCAAGAAAUUAAUCAAACACAGUAUUUUAGAACAAAUUUAAAAUAUAUGUAGAAUAUUUUUAAAAUUUUGACCUCGCAUAUAUACAGUACCUUUAUCAAGAUUAGUCAAUAUAUGUAGAAAAGUCAGCGCUAUAUAAUCAUAAUCCAUCAAAGAUACACUAUUUGCUACUGUGGGCGUACCGGCCAUUAGUAAUGGGCCAAAAUGUUCUCCAUGAUUAAAAAUAAAAUACAAUCAUGGCAUAAAAAUCUUGACCCUCAUUUUCAAGAGGUGACUUUCUCCAAGAAAGAAUUAUUUUCCUUUUUAUUUUCUCAUGGGGAGAAAGUUGGAGAUUCACAUUGUUUAUAUUUUUAUAAUAGUUUUAGAGUAGUUUUAAAGCUUCCAAAAAUUUCUCCCUUAUUUUUAUUUAGUAGGUUGGCUCAGUCCACUUGGUACCCAAAAACAAACCCAAUAAAUAAUUAUUUAUUGAAUUUGGUCAAUCCCAAUGUUUUCAAAACCGAAUUAGACAUUGAAUUAGAAAAAUUAUCGAUUCAUAGUUCACUGGUCAGACUAGUGACCGAACUGGUGACAUCAUAAAUACAUAAUUUAUAUUUUAUUAAAAUUAAAAAUAAUUUUAAAAUAUAUAUAUAAUUAAAAAUUAAUAAUAUUUGUAAUAUUAUUUAUUCAUUUUAUAUAAAUUUAUUAAUAUUUUAAAUUUAUUAAUAUAUGUAUAUAUAUAUAUAUAUAUAUAGAAUAUUUAAAUAUGAAAAUAUAUUGAAAAUGGGUAUAUAUAUAUAUAGGUAGUCUUUGAGUCAACAUGCAUAACAAGAUUGGACAUCAAUUAAUUCAUUUAAUAAUUAUGUUGAUUAGUUUAAUUAUACUUUUUAAAAUAUUUAACUCAUAUUUAACACAUUUUUAAUUUGAUUUUAAAUAAAUAGGUUAAUUGAGUUAUAAAUAUAUUAAUCAUAUAAAUUAACACAAGACCUAACUCAACCUAAUUAUUAAAUGGGACAAAUGAGUUAUACGAUAUGUUACUUGUUUAGUAAUUAUGUAGUAUUUUAGGUUUACGUUUUUAAUCAAAUUAUUAUUCGUGUCAAGUUUGACAUAACACACAUAUGACCCACCAACACAAAUUGUAACCCCUAAGCUUGUUCACUCAAAAAGUAAAUUUAUACUAAUAUUUAAUUACCUAGUUUAAACUAGUAGGAAUAUUUUUAAAUUAUUGCUUAGUUUUUUUAAAAUUUUUAAUAUUGACAUAUGUAUAUAGUUUCUCUAAAGACAUUUCAUUGAUGUAGAAUUCCAAAUAUAAUUUGUCUAUAUAAAGAUAUCAUAUAUUUUUAAUAAAUAUAUAUUGUAAGUUAAAUAUUAUAUUGUAUAAUAUGUUGUACUAUAUGCAUAAGUAAUACAUUACUAUUUUACAAAAUAAAAAAUACACUAUAUAAUAGUAAUAUAUUAUAUACAUAAAAAGUUUUUGUGUGUAAAGUAUCCAACCACAUUUUAAUUAAUAAUUGAUUAUUUUAUUUUUAAAUAAUCUAAUUAUGUAUUUAUUAUUUUUAAUUAUUAAUAACUAAUUUUUCAAAAGUGAUUUGUUAUUAAGAAUAAAAUCAUAAAUUAUGCCAUAAAAGUAGUAAUUGUUGUACAUACUAAUUUGUUAAGGAUUAUUAUUAUUAUUAUUAUUAUUUUACUUGCAUACAUUGUUUAAUAAAAUAUUUAUUUUAAGUUUUAAAUUCCUUACUUUAAAUUUUCAAUUUUAUUUUUAGUCUAAUUUUUAAUCUAUAAAUUCUAAUUUUUAAUUUUUAAAAUUUUAAUUCCUAAAUUUUAAAGGGGAAAUCAUGUAACCAUACAUCACCAAUAAAAUAAAUAAAUGAGAUUUUUAGAACUUUGCUUUUACCUUUUUAAUUUUAAUGUAAGAUGAGAAAAAAUAUUGCCUAUUCAUGUAUUUCAAUAGUGCUUUCAGAUUUGUUUCAUAAUUACUCUUGAAAGUAAAUGACAAAACACACAUCACUUUAAUACCACCUAUUGACAAGUACAUGAAUAAUUUAUUUUUCUUAUUUCUCUCACAUCAACUCUCUCACAUGUCUCACUUACCACUUGCCACAUUUCCACUUUUUUCUUUUUUCUUUCUUUCUUUUUUUCCCCCUCUUUUACCACCAUAAUCCUUAGUCACCUAUUAUAUUUUUCACUACUAUUUUUUUUCCUUUGAUAUUCUUUUUAAUAAGCUCAUAUAUUUUGUCAUAAAACUUCUUUAAUUUUAAUUUUUUUCACUCUCUAAUUUCUCUAUAUUUAUUUAUUACAAUUAUAAUUUUUUGGACAUAUUAUACUUAAAAUGAUAAUGUAUAAUAAAUAGUUAAUAUAACAAAUAAAAUAAAAUAUAUGUAUAAUGGAAAAAAAUGAAAAUAUUAUCCCACAAAUAAUGUACUUGAUGAUUUUAAAUAUUAAUUAUAUGAAUAUAUUUAAUAAAUUAAGGUUUAAAUUUAAAUAUUUUAUUUUAUUAUUUAGAGGUUUAUGAUAUAAGAUUUUUUUAUAUUAAUGCUAAACAAAAGAUUUAUUUAUUUUGUAAAUUCUAUCACAUGUAAAAGUAAAAAUAUCUUUAUAAUACUAUUUUAUUAUUUAUAUUAUUUUUAAAAUUUUUAUUUUAAAUUUAUCACAUCAAAAUCAGAAUAAGUUAUUGUGCUUUUAUCUCUUUUCUUAUGAUUUUAAUUUGAUUUUGGAUCUAACAUUUUGUUUGUUUAAAAUCUUUAAUUUUUAAUUAAAAUAAAAUAUAAAAGAAAAUAUAUUUUCAUAAAAAAAAUUGUGUUUAACCUUUCAUAUUAAUUUUAUAAAAAAUAAGUACAUCCAUAAGAAAAAUAGGUAAAUCCAUACCUAGGGGAAUCGAGACCCCUAUCAUCCUUGUCAUGGUCUAUAUAUUCCUUUGGGACCCUUGAUAAGUGAUUAGAGGUCCUUGCCUACCCCAGAAUGAACUUUGGAAUCCUAGGUACAUCCAUUCUUAAGAGAACCAAGACCCUUAUCUCAAUUCUCAUGGUUCAUAUAUUCCUUUAGGGAUCCUCGAGAAUGAAUUAUAGGUUGUUCUUCACCUUGGAUCAGACAUUAGAACCCAAGGUAUAUCCUAAAGAAAAUUUGGUACAUUUGAUCCUUGGGCUACCGAAACCCUUAUAUCCCUUCCCAUAGUCUAUUUGAUACUUUGGGGACUCUUGAGAAGUGAAUGGAGGUCGUUUCUAAUCUCGGAAUGGACUUUGAAACCUUAAGUACAUCCUUAAAAAAAUUUGUUACAUCAAAUUCUCAAGCUAUCGGGACCCUAUCUCCUUUCCCAAGGUCCAUUUGUUCAUUUAGGGAUCCUCGGGAAGUGAUUGGAGGCUAUUCCUCACCCCAAAAUGGACUUUUAAACCCUAAAUACAUCUUUAAGAAAAUUUGGUAUAUCUUAUCCUCUGGCUACCCCAUAUCGCUUCUUAUGGUCCAUUUGAUCAUUUAGAGACCAUUUAGAACUUCUUAUAUAAACAAAAAUAGAAUUAUAAAAUUCUUAUAAGAAAUAAAAUUUUUAUGACUUCUACAUGAAACCUUUUUUUUUUAAGUUAUAAGUUUUUUUAAAAAUAAUUAAAUAGGUAUAAAAACUUUUAUUUAACUCUUAAAAGUCAAUCCAAAUAAAAUUUAUAUAUAUAUAUAUAUAUAUAUAUAUAUAUAUUUGAAAAUCACUUUUAAAAAUCCAAAAAAUCACUUGAAAAUACUUUCCAAAACUUUUUUUAACUUACAUUUAAAAAAUAAAAAAUAAAAAAUGAUUAGUUUUUACUAGUUAUUUAAAUUUCAGGAAGCGAGAAAGAAUUUACUCUGAUGUAAAAAAAAUGAGAGAAAAGUAAUUAAAUCACUAAAAAAUAGACUUGGAGUUCCUUUGGUGUGCGGUUAGACUCAAUUUGUCCCCAUGCAAUGGAAAUGGACAAUAUUUUAUUUUUUUAUUUUUUUCCUUUUCCUUUAUGUUGGUGUAGUCUUGUGAUAUUGUUACUAAAAUAGGAGGUAAAAAUAUAAAUUAUACAUCCAUUAUUUUAAAUUUAGAAAAAAGUGCUUAUUUUAAUUUGAAAUAAAUAAAUAGAAAAAAAAACUGAUUUUAUCUCAAUUGUGUAAGACUUCAAAAAAAAUUUCUUAUUUGCAAAAUAUUUUGAGUUGUAAAAGUAAAAAUUAAACAAACCAUUUCAUGACCUUUUUCACAAGUAUCCAUUUAGAUCAUAGUCUAGUUUUAAAAUAUUUGAAUAAUCCAAUUACUCUAAACUAUAUCAUUUAUAAUUUUUUAAAUUAUUACUAUCAUACCUAACCUUGUAUGGAAUUGGAAUAAAAUAUGGAUAAGUAAAAGAUGUCAAAUGAAAGAUAAUUUCAAACUUUUCUAAUACAGCAUGAUAUUUUAUCAUGUUGAAUAAAAUUGGAAUGGACAAAAGUUGUCAAAUCAAGACUUCCAUGGCAAAUUCCACCAUUGCAUAUCUCAAAUAUUAUUCUACAACAUUAUCUUUGUAGACUUUUAACAAUCCAAGAAAUUGACAAAUUAUAUAAUAAUCCCAAACACAAUAUUCUACAACUUUACAAUAUUCUACAAUUUUUUGGAAUAAAAAAUAAAUAAUGAAAUCUACAACUUUAAAAUAUUCUACACUUUUUUUGAACAAAAAAAAAUAAAUAAUGAAAUCUUUGGCAUGUUAAUUCUUUGCAGCUUCAACAUGGUGGCAUGUCGGAUGGCGGAGGCAGCAUUUGAGCUUCUGGGUGUUUACAAUAUCUAUUGUUGUUAUUUAAAGGAAUCAUUGAAAUGAUUGCAUGAAAGAUUUAUUCCAUAGCCUAAAAUAAAUAUUGGCUUUAUAUAUAUAUAUGUGUGUGUGUGUGUGUGUGUGUGUGUGUGUGUUUGCUCAAAUGAUAGGCCGGUUUUAAGCCAUAAUAAUAAUAAUUGUAUUAUUGUAUUAUUGAAAUAAAAAGGUUAUUGUAUUAUUAUUUAUUUUUUUGAUUGAAUAGAAAAAAUCAAAAUAUUUGAUUUCUUUUUAUUCAACUAAAAGUAACUUGUUGAUAUACAAACACCCCAUCUCAGUGACUAUCAAACACGUACUCUUGUUAACANNNNNNNNNNNNNNNNNNNNNNNNNNNNNNNNNNNNNNNNNNNNNNNNNNNNNNNNNNNNNNNNNNNNNNNNNNNNNNNNNNNNNNNNNNNNNNNNNNNNUAAGCCAUAAUAAUAAUCAUUAUUUUACUUAUUAUUGAAAAAUAUAAGGUUGUUGAUAUCAACAAGUUACUUUUAGUUGAAUAGAAAAAAAAAUAUUUUAGCUUUUUUUAUUCAAUAAAAAAGCAAACAUAUCUAAAUUUAUAUAAUAAAAAUGCUUUAACUAGAAAUGAAUUUCAUAUGGACCACUAUCAAAUACCAUGCAUAGGGAGAAAUCCAGAUCCUCACUUGCUCUUUGAUUUUAAUGCAUUGAAUUUGAUGUUGCCUAAAACAAAUUAUAUUUCAUGUCCUGUAUUAUGAGUAGACAACCAUUCCUUAUGUUGGAUUUUAGAUAAAGAAUGGAUAUUGGAGAUUGGAGUUGUAAGAAAUUAGGAGAUCCUAAUUUUAAAUAUGUAACAAAGUUCUAUAAUCGCCUCAAUCCAUGUUUUAAAAAUUGUAUUUCUUUCUAAUAUUGGAGCAAACUUUUUCUUUGUUUCUUAUAAAUUUCAUUUGGGAAUGAUUUAAAAAUAAAUAAAUAAAAUCCCUUCUAAAUAUUAAAAAGUAACACUUUCUUAUAAAAAUUAAUUAGGUGGAUGGUAAGGUAAAAUUCAGGAUAACUUCAUAUUUUUUGCUUUAAUUGAAAAUUAAAAUCAAAAUUAAAGUAAUAAUUUUUAAGGGGAAAUAUUGAUAUUGUAAAACUUUUAUUAAACAUGAAAUAAUUUCUUAUAUAAACAAAAAUAGAAUUAUAAAAUUCUUAUAAGAAAUAACAUUUUUAUGACUUCUACAUGAAACCUUUUUUUUUAACUUAUAAGUUUUAAAAAAAUAAUAAUUAAAUAGGUAUAAAAACUUUGAUCUAACUCUUAAAAGUCAAUCCAAAUAAAAUUUAUAUAUAUAUACAUUUGAAAAUCACUUUUAAAAAUCCAAAAAAACACUUAAAAAUAAUUUCUAAAUAGUUUUUUUAACUUACAUUUAAAAAACAAAAAAAUUUAAAAUGAUUUGUUUUUACUAGUUAUUUAAAUUAAGGAAGCAGGAAAGGGUUUGCUCUAAUGUAAAAUAAAAAAAAAAAAAAAUGAGGGCUGAAAAGUAAUUAAAUCACUAAAAAUAGACUUGGUGUUCCUUCAGUGUGCAGUUAAACUCAAUUUGUCCCCAUGCAAUGGAAAUGGAAGAUUUUUUAUUUUUUAUUUUUUAUUUUUUUCCUUUUCCUUUAUCUUGGUGUGGUCUUGUGAUAUUGUUACUAAAAUAGGAGGUAAAAAUAUAAAUUAUAUAUCAAUUAUUUUAAAUUUAGGAAAAAAAAGUGCUUAUUUUAAUUUGAAAUAAAUAAGUAGAAAAAAACUGAUUUUAUCUCAAUUGUGAAAGACUUCAUUAAAAUUUUCUUAUUUGCAAAAUAUUUUGAGUUGUAAAAGUAAAAAUUAAACAAAUCAUUUCAUGACCUUUUUCACAACAUGAUAUUUUAUCAUGAUGAAUAAAAUUGGAAUGGUCAAAAGUUGUCAAAUCAAGACUUCCAUGGCAAAUUCCACCAUUGCAUAUUCAAAGACUAUUCUACAACAUUAUCUUUGUAGACUUUUAACAAUCCAAGAAAUUGACAAAUUAUAUAAUAAUCCCAAACACAAUAUUCUACAACUUUACAUUAUUUUUUUUAUUUUAAUACAAGAGAAAUCCUUAGUCAACAAUUUUUUUGAACAAAAAAUAAAUAAUGAAAUCUACAACUUUACAAUAUUCUACAAUUUUUUUGAACAAAAAAAUAAAUAAUGAAAUCUGAAUAAUGCAAACAAUCACUGAAAUCUUUGGCAUGUUAAUUCUUUGCAGCUUCAACAUGGUGGCAUGUCAGAUGGCGGAGGCAACAUUUGAGCUUCUGGGUGUUUACCAUUUUUCACUAUGAACGCAGUUUCCAUGCCCCAAGUCAGAUGGCGUUCUACAUGGCAGUGCAUGAACCACACCCCUGCAAUAGAGAAAACAUACCAACAUUACACCUAAUUUAUUGCAAUAUUAAGAAAAAUUAUUCCCUUGGUAUGCAGGUUGGCAGUUUCAAGGGUUUUUUUUAAUAGAGGACAUGAGUGCUUGCAACAUACCAGGGUUGGAUGCCUCGAAUCUGAUUGCAACCCAACCAUUCGUAGGAACAGAGAUGGUACUCUGAAGGGGAGGAUCCACUAGAUUAUAGCGCAAAGGGUCCCUAUUUUUAUCAAAAUUCCCAAAUCCCCAUCCAACAAGGUAGAAUCUAUAUCCAUGGAGAUGCAUGGGGUGGUGUGUCCCUGAAACCAAGUUUGUCCCUUGAAAAACAAUCUCCACUGUGGAGUUAUACUCGACCACCCUUACUUCUGUUCCAAUUUCCGGCGUUUGAUACUCCAAUGGAAGAUAAUCAGCUGUAAAAUCGAACACCAAUGGUGGAACGCUAGGAAAUUUAUCUCCAUAUACACCACUGAUGUUAUAAUAGUAAGCUUGUAGUAUGUCAAUCGUAGGGGAUUGGAAGCUUAUGUUGUUUAUACUUGCAGAGAGCCGCGUCCCAUUGGGCCCUGCACAUGAAUUAUUGGGGCAUAGGAACGAGUUUACAGAAAUAGUGUAAAUUAGUUUAGUGCUCGGGCUCAAUGGGACAUUGGAAGGAUGUUCCGCAUCUGCUAAGCUUCGAAGGCUAGCCAUGACCUGAACCGAUGCAUUUGUGUCAUUGUAUGCAGGAAAAUGAGGCAAAGAGGGAGGUGAAGAUGGAGUGUAGUAUCCUCUGUAUUGUACAAUAGCUGUGGUGGUUGUGUUAUCAUAAAAAUUUUGAGCUACCGGGGCAAUGGAAUAAGUUUUAGCCGCCAUGUAAUAGUGAUCCAGGCGUUGGUUAGCUUCUAGUAAGACAUCGAAGGUUUGGCCAGGAUAUAUUGUGAUAUAAUCUUGUGUCAAUGGUUUCGUGUAGCUACCAUCUAUUCCAACCACUGUCAUUUUAUGCUUGGCAAUUGAGAAGAAGAGAGCCUCUUGCAAAGCAGCAUUGAUUAUGCGAAGUAGAUAGGUCUUUCCAUGAUCCACCGUUAGCUUGAAUGUGCCUACAAUUAGAAAAGGAAAGUUGUAUACUUACGACUAGCGAAAAGAAAAGGAAAAACUUUCCAUGAGUAUCCACUAAUUAUGAAGUGAUUGAUUGAUUAGGGGUGUAAAUUUGGCUCCACAGUUCAAAAUUAUAUUUAGACUAGCCUUUUCAUAUGUGUUAAAUCAUGGCUCUACCAUCCUCAUAACUAUAUUCAUCUUUCUUAGCAUUAAGUUUUAAAUAUGUUGAUGUUAAUAAGAAAAAGUAAUAUGGUUAACAUACAAGAAAAUGAGAUCAGUGUACAAUUUUAAAAUGGGAAGUUAAACUUUAUACUUGAUUUUGAGCAUGGAUAUAGAUCACCGGGUUGUCCAUUUAUCAAUAAAGAAUCAGAGGCAUUGGGGUCAGCUCCGGUUGCAAGCCCUUCAUCUCGAACCGCAUUCACAUCACUCUUCCACCAUUGUCCUGCAUUUCAACAACUCCAAUAAUUUAGAUUUUGCUUUGUUGGUUAAUUCAUGAUAUGUAAAUUAACCUUUAAAAGCAACUACACUUAUACCUAAUAUGAUGGGAACUUCUGCGCUAGGUUUGGGAAAAGGAUACUUGGUUCCAUUCUUGGGAUAGACGAUUAUAGCUCCAUGAACGGUGGCUCGGGUCCAGUCACUGUGAGCAUGCCACCAUAGAGUGCCUUCCUCAGAGGAAAGGAUGAUCUUUUGGCUAAACUUUGACCCUGGUUGAAUUGGGCAUUGUGUGAUAUACUCGGGACCAUCUGUCCAUGGAUAUCUAGGCAUGCUCACCCCAUGCCUGCAAAACAAUAACUAUACGUUAAAACUAGUACUAAUUUUCAGGCUAACAAAAGAUGGCAUGUAGCAACAUAUUAUCACAGUAACAAGAGGCAUCAACUGUAUUUCAAUGGAACUGAUGCAAAUAACCCUAAGAUAUUAUUUUAAAUUCAACUUUAUUUGCAAAGCAAUACAUUGCAGCCCCCUCUUAGAAAUAAAAGAUUGUAUGUCAUGCAGGCAUGCUGCCCACUACUAUCUUUCUCCGAGACAUGCAUGGGACCUACCAGUGAAUGGUGACAUUUUCUUUUCCCCUGUUAUAAACGUCAACAAUGAUCGUCUCUCCUUUCUUAGCAUAUAUAGUUGGUCCUGGAAAUUGUCCAUUUACCGUUAAGAUGUUCUUGGUGCUACAAAGCCUUGUAUAUGAAGCCUCCUUCACCUGCAACCAAUUAAAAGUUAACCAUGCAACCUCAUCCCAAAAGAAAUAUUACAUGCAUGAAUAGUUGCAUCGAUCCAUUCAUGCAAGUGUAUAACCAAUUAGAAAUUGAUAGCAUGCAUGAACGACUCAAUGACACCAGGGUACCCGAAGAGACCCCAUGAGGGUCAUACGGUGGAAAAUGAGAGCCACACUGCUCCAUAAAUAUUAUGAUCAGAAGUGGCAUUAAGGCAUAAUCAUAUAAAGUAUUUACCACAAAAGUAAGCCGACGAGUUGAAGCUUGGCAAUGGAUGCCACCACCAAAAAGUAGAAACGCUGAAAUUUGCAAGAGGAAAACCUUCAUGAUCAGCCACAUCUUCUUUGGAAUAAAAGCCUCUUCUCUUGUCCUAAACACAACUCCUUCAAUUUUCUUACUAUUUCUAAUAAGCACGACUUAUCUUCUCUCUGACAUGAAUAGAUGAAUUCUUAAAGGUAUUUAUAGAGGCUGGAGGUGAAAGCUGAACAGCUGGUUUCUCUCCAACUUUUGCUGUAUUUCUUUAAUAUAUAAUUCAGAAUCUAUUGAAGAUGAUUUUCCUGGGGUACAACCAUUCCUCGCCGAGUAUCAAUAUAAGAGAAGUAAUUUGAAUGUGUAUUGGUUUUGAACGUUCUUCCAGGACCGCUUCAAAGAGCAGGUUGUGUAUGAUAUGAAGACGAGUUUCUUAGAAUCUCUUGAAUUUUCUAAUUCAAAAUACAAGUUUGACUUUGAGAAUUGACCAAGAAAUUAAUCAAGCACAUUAUUUUAGAAUAAAUUUAAAAUAUAUGUAGAAUACUUUUAAAACUUUGACCUCGGAUAUAUACGGUACCUUUAUCAAGAUUAGUUGGCGCUGCUUUGAGAAGGAAUAUAGGAUUCCUUCUCAAAUCAUUCAAAUCAUUCUAAUGAACCGGAUCGAAAAUUCCUUGUCCAGUUGGAGGGUCAAUCCAGACAUUCAAAUCUUUUUUUCUUUUUCUUUUUUUCUUUUUUGAAUAUUAAAAUUAGGUAAGCAAUGAAAUCAUUCAAUAUACUCAUCUAUUGUUCAUAACAUCAGCAUCUGCCAAUUGUUUAUUGUACAUUUUCAAACAUUCAGACAUUUUCAAACAUCAAAUCUCCACUUUUUUAAAAUAAUAAUAAUAAUAAUAAAUAAUUAUAGAUUUAAAAAUAACUUUUUUCAGAACAAAUAAGAAAUAAUUCAAACUUUCUUGUUUGGUUUAUUGUACCAGAUACAAAGAAAAAUCAUUAUAUAAAUAAAUGAUGCAAAGAUGUAUAUAUUUUUAAAUUAUUUAUAAACAGAAAAAAUGAUGAAUAAAAUUUAAGACGUGAAAAUUUGAUCAAGUUAAUUUAAACUUCUUUUAUUUUUUUUCACUUUUUUUCUCCUAUUUUUUCACACCAUUUUUUUCUCACAUUUCCUUUUAAACUUUUGGAAUAAAUAUUUAUUUGUGGAGCUUUAAUAUAUAUUUUUUUCUCCAUAUUAUACAUAUUUAUGCAAUAUUUGGUUAACCUAUUUUGAAUUUCUAUUUUUACCUUAACAAGAAACAUUUCUUGAAAAUGAAGAUAAUUUUCUCCUUAUUUUCAAAUUUGUGUUUCUCCACUUUUUUUUUUUUUAAAUAAUAGUAAUAAAAAAUAAUUAUAGAUUUAAAAAUAACUUUUUUCAGAACAAAUACAAUAUAUAGCCGGCUUAUAAAAACUAUUAUCUAAAAAAAGGAAAAAACAAAAAAAGGAAAAGUAAAAUAAGAAAUAAUUCAAACUUCCGUAUUUGGUUUAUUGUACCAUAUACAAAUAGUUUUAAAUAAUAAAUUCGAAGAUCAUCCCAAACACUUUAAAGAGUUUUAGAAAUCAAUACUAAAUUCAAUCUUAAUUUAAAACUCCUAAAUAAUUAAUUGUAAAGUUGUUUUCAAAGGAAACCCUUCUUAUCUUGAUUUCCCCUCACUAAGAUACUUAAAAAGUGGAAUAAUAGAUAAGAGUGAACUUAAAACUCAAUUAAGAAAAUAGGUCAAUAAGGAAGAUCAAGUAUAGUACAAAGUUAAAUCUUAGGAGAUAUCACAUCUUUAUAAAAAAAAAAAAAAAUCAAUUAGUAGUUCAUUUAAUUCAAUAAUUAAAUUCAUUUUGUUAAAAAAAUUAUGCACUUUCAAUUUAAAGAUAGAAUUAAAUAAUAUACUUUACAUACUUAAAUUAUAUUUUAAAAAUUAUAAACAAACAUUUUACUCUGACUCAUUGAUAAUAACAUUGUGCCCAAAUAGUAGAACUUGCAUUAGAUGGCUAGUCUCACAUUGUGCCUUUUAGCAAUGGACAAAAUGAUUUAUAAUCAAUGAUAUACCAAAGGCGAAUAACACCCUUAUUAGCUAGAGUUACAUUAUCACUAUCCUCACCAAAGGUAACGCAGGUCAACAACUUCUCUCUUAAACCAAUGUAAUAAAUUAAAUGAUAAAAUUCAUUUGCAUAACAAUAAACAAAUCAUAUGAUAUUCCCAAUUUAUUUUAUAAACUAAGGAACAAAUCAUAACAUUUUUAGUAAAAUAUUAUUUGAUCCACUUUAAGGAACUUAAACAUUUUGAUAGUUUAAAAGUAGAUUUUAAAAAAUAAGAAAUUAUAAAAUGGUUUACUAUACUAUUAACCCUUACCUUGAAGAAAUCAUUCAAAAUCCUGAAAGACUUAAUCUACACCUAAUAUAAAUAUAAAUAAAAAAUAAUUAUUAAAGACUAAUUAUCUAAAUUAAUGACUUUCUAAAUUUUUGUAAAACUUAUUUUAAUUCCAAACCCUUUUCUAAAGUUCUAUUUUUUUAAUUAAAUUUUUUAUUAACCAUAUUAUUAUUAUCAUUUUCACUUCCCAUAAUUACAUUAACAGAUUUUGUUGAAUUAUUGAUGUUAAUAUUCCUUUUUUUCAUGGUAGGAAGUAGGUAAUUAUUUAUUAAUUUACUACUACUUUUACUUAUCUCCUACCCACAACCCAAAUCUUAUUAUUACUUGAUUAUUUCUUUACCACAACCACUUUCCUCAUUUCCUCAAUUCUUCUUCCUAUUAAUCUUCUGGUUAAAGAAAGAUAAAAGAAUCUAAAAAGCAAAUCACGCAUGAAGAACUUGCCUUAAAUUUCAUAAUGAAGCAAAUAAAAAAAGUUUCUUCUUUCUGACCCUUCGAACCAAACUUCUCUAUAGACCUUGCUAUUAUUUCUUUUUUUCUCUCUAUUUUAUCUUUUUAGUUUUUAAUAAUGUGGAGAAAUCAAUGGAAUUUAGGGGUAAAUUAUACUUUUGUCGCUAAAAGUAACUUUUAUCGAUGAAAUUUUAGAUGUUGUCAAUGGUGCCAAUUUUUUUUAAAAAAAUUCUAAUGAAUUUGAAAAUUUCAUCACUAAAAGACAUGAUGGGAAAAUUUUGGUGUUGUCAUUUUCUUGGCACAAACACUUUUGUGAUAGAAAAAAAUUAUUUUCUCACAAAAGUAUUUGUCACUAAUUAUAAUUUUUGGUGACUAAAAGUUACAACUUUUUAUAUAUAUUUGCUUGAAAAAUGGUUUCAUUAAGUGAUUAUAUUAUUUCUUGACAAAUUGAGUAAUUUUAUCACUAAAUAAUGUUAUUAAAUUGUGAUAUUAAUAAGUAAUAUUGAUAAAUAGCUAGAUGAUUUAUAUUGUGAAAUAACAUAUGUAUUUUUUGAGACUUAAUAUUUAUACUAUAAUAUUUUAUUUAUAUAAAUAAUAAUAAAAUAAUUAAAGAUCCAUAAAAUGAAAUACUACAAUAUAGAUUUAUUUUAAUUUAAUUUUUUUGUAAUGUAAUAAUAGUAUUGUUACGAAAUAAUAAAAAGGUAAAUUAUUUGAGCAAUUAAUUUUUAUAUUGUAAUGUGUUAUUUAUAUUUUUUUAAUAUAAAUAAUAACAAGUAAUUCAAGGCGUGUAAGAUUAUAUCCUAUAAUAUAAAUUUAUUUAAAUUUCAAUAUUAUUACAUGAUGUUACCCAUUAUAAAUAAUACUAAAUGAUUUUUAUUAUAUUAGGUAAAAGUUAUCUAUACAACUCUAAAAUAGUAUUGAAUUUAAGUUAGUUAUGGAUAAGCCAUAGUCCACUAAUUUGUUCUCAUUCAAAAUCAUACCUUGUCUACUUAAGAAGUAAACUUAUACUAACUUUUAAUUACAUAGUUUAAACUAAUAGAUUUUUUUUAAAAAUAAUUGUUCAGAAUGGAAUUUAUCAAAUAAAUUGCCUAGCAUCUAUAAAGACAUUUUAUUUUCAUAAAAUUCCAAAUAUGACUUUUGUUUAUAAAGAUAUAUAUUAUUAAUAAAUAUAUGAUUGCAAGAUAAAUAUUAUAUGAUAUAAUAUAUGACGCUAUAUGCCUGACUACUAUAUUACUAUUUACAAAAUAAAACAUGUACGUAUAAAUUUUUUUUUUUUGUAAAGUAUUCAACCAUAUCUUUAUUAAUAUUUGAUUACUUUAUUUUUUAAUGAUUUCAUUAUGAAUUUAUUAUUUUAAUUAUUAAUUACUAAUGUACUAAAAGUGAUUAGUUAUUAAGAAUAAAAAUCAUAAAUUAUACCUUAAAAUACUAACUACUAUAGCUAUUAAGUUGUAAAGGAAUUUUUAUACUUGUAUACAUUUUUUAACAAUUUUUCUUUUUUUAUAAAAAAUAUAGUUAUAAAAGUAAUUGAAAUAUAUCAUAAAUUAUUAUAUGAUUUACCUUUAUAGUGUUUGAUAUUUUUGUUUGAAAUACAAUAGAAAGAGAAAGAAAAAAGAAAAUGAUGUAGAACUCUAAUCUCAUUUUGAUCAUUAUUUUAUUGAUGUUGGUUCAAGUAUUACACUUCAACAUUAUUCCAAUGUUUUCUAUUAAUCAUACUUUUCUUUUAGCUCAAUUUCAAAAUUUUCACUUUAAUCUAGAAGUCUAGAAUUAAAUUUAUGUUAGCUAUGAAUAAACUAUAGUCCUCUAAUUUGUUAUCAUUCAACAUAAGGCUUGUUUAAGGAUGAUAAAAUUUGAUACAAUUCGUCAACAAGACUUGAAUCUAACAUGCUUUUUAUGGGUUUGAUUUGAGUAUAAUUGAGUUUGAGUCAAAUUCAUGUUGACCUAUAUAACUCAUUUAAUAACUAGGUAGUCUUUGGGUCAACAUGCAUAACAAAAUUUGACAUCAAUUAAUUCAUUUAAUACAUGUGUUGAUUAGUUUAAUUAUAACUUUAAAAUAUUUAACCCAUAUUUGACACAUUUUAAAUAAAUAGGUCAAUUGAGUCAUAAACAUAUUAGUCAUAUAAAUUAACACAAGACCUAACUCAACCUGAUUAUUUAAUGAAAAGAUCUAAUUACUAAAUGAAACAAAUCAGUUACAUGACAUGUUACUUGUUUAGUAAUUAUUUAUUAUGUUAUGUUUACAUUUUUAACCAGAUUAUUAUUCGUGUCAGGUUUGACACAACAUAAAUAUGACCCAUCAACACAAAUUGCAACCCCUAAGCUAGUUCACUCAAAAAGUAAAUUUAUAUUAAUAUUUAAUUACCUAGUUUAAGCUAGUAGGAAUAUUUUUUUAAUUAUUGCUUAGUUUUUAAAAAAUUGUUAACAUUGGAAUUUAUCAAAUAAAUAGUCUAGUUUCUCUAAAGACAUUCCAUUGAUCUAGAAUUCCAAAUAUAAUUUGUGUGUAUAAAGAUAUCAUAUAUUUUUAAUAAAUAUAUAUUGUAAGUUAAAUAUUAUAUCAUAUAAUAUAUUGUACUAUAUGCAUAACUAUAUUACUAUUUUACAAAAUAAACAAUACACUAUAUAAUAGUAAUAUAUUAUAUACAUAAAAAGUUUUUUUGUAAAGUAUCCAACCACGUCUUAAUUAAUAAUUGAUUAUUUUAUUUUUAAAUAAUCUCACUAUGUAUUUAUUAUUUUUAAUUAUUAAUUACUAAUUUUUCAAAAGUGAUUUGUUUUUAAGAAUAAAAUCAUAAAUUAUGUCAUAAAAGUAGUAAUUGUUGUAGAUACUAAUUUGUUAAGGAGUGUUUUUACUUGCAUACAUUAUUUAAUAAAAUAUUUAAUUUAUGUUUUAAAUUCCUUACUUUGAUUUUUCAAUUUUAUUUUUAGACUAAUUUUUAAUCUAUAAAUUCUAAUCUUUAAUUUUUAAAAUUUUUAAUUCCUAAACCUUAAAGGGGAAAUCAUGUAACCAUAUAUCACCCAAAAAAAAUGAGAUUUUUAGAACUUUGCUUUUACCUUUUUAAUUUUAAUCGUAAGAUGAGAAAAAAUAUUGUCUAUUCAUGCACUCCAAUAGUGCUUUCAGAUUUGUUCUAAAAUUACCCUAAAAAAUAAAAGACAAAGUACACACCACUUCAAUACCACCUAUUGACAAGUACAUAAAUUAUUUAUUUAUUUUAUUUCUCUCACAUCAACUCUCUCACACAUCUCAGUUACCACUUGCCACGUUCUCACUUUUUUCCUUUUUUCUUUUCUCUUUCCUUUUUCCCUCCUCUUUUACCACCAUAAUCCUUAGCCAUCUAUUAUAUUUUUAUUGUUAUUUUUUUCUUUGAUAUUCUUUUUUAAUAUGUUCGUAUAUUUUCUCAUAAAACUUCGUUAAUUUUAAUUUUUUUCACUCUCUAAUUUCUCCAUAUUUAUUGAUUAUAAUUAUUUUUUGGACAUAUUAAACUUAAAAUGAUAAUAUAUAAUAAAUAUUUAAUAUAACAAAUUAAAUAAAAAUAUAUAUAUAAUGGACAAAAAUGAAAAUAUUAUCCCACAAAUAAUAUACUUGAUGAUUUUAAAUAUUAAUUAUAAUAAUAUAUUUGAUAAAUUAAGGUUUAAAUUUAAAUAUUUUAUUUUAUUAUUUAGAGGUUUAUGAUAUAAGAUUUUUUUAUAUUAAUGCUAAACAAAAGAUUUAUUUAUUUUGUAAAUUCUAUCACAUGUAAAAGUAAAAAUAUCUUUAUAAUACUAUUUUAUUAUUUGUAUUAUUUUUCUUUUAAUUUUUAUUUUAAAUUUAUCACAUCAAAAUCACAAUAAGUGAUGGUGCUUUUAUAUUUUUUCUUAUGAUUUUAAUUUGAUUGUGGAUCUAACUUUUUGUUUGGCUAAAAUCUUUUAUUUUUAAUUAAAAUAAAAUAUAUUUUUCAUAAAAAAAAAAAUUGUAUUUAACCUUUCAUAUUAAUUUCCUAAAAAAUAAGUACAUCCUUAAGAAAAAUAGGUAAAUCCAUGCCUAGGGGAAUUGGGACCCCAAUCAUCCUUGUCAUGGUCUAUAUAUUACUUUGGGAUCCUUGAUAAGUGAUUAGAGGUCCUUACCUACCCAAGAACGAACUUUGGAACCUUAGGUACAUCCAUUCUUAGGGGAACCAAGACCCUUAUCUCCAUUCUCAUGGCUCAUAUAUUCAUUUAGGGACCCUCGAGAAGGAAUUAUAGGUUGUUCCCCACCCUGGAACAGACAUUGGAACCUAAGAUAUAUCCUAAAGACAAUUUGGUACAUUCGAUCCUUGGGCUACUGAGACCCUUAUAUCCUUUCCCAUAGUCUAUUUGAUACUAUGAGGACUCUUGAAAAAUGAAUGGAAGUUGUUCCUCAUCUUGAAAUGGACUUUCGAACCCUAGGUAUAUCCUUAAAAAAAAUUGGUACAUCCAAUUCUUGGGCUACAAAGACCCCUAUCUCCCUUCCCAAGGUCCAUUUAUUCAUAUAGGGAUCCUCAGGAAGUGAUUAGAGGCUAUUCUUCACCCCAAAAUGGACUUUUAAACCCUAAAUACAUCUUUAAGAAAAUUUGGUAUAUCUGAUCCUCUAGCUACUGGAACCCCUAUAUCACUCAUCAUGGUUCAUUUGAUCAUUUGGGGACCCUUUAGAAGUGAUUUCAAGUCAUUCCCAAUCUCAGAAUGGACUUUGAAACCCUAGGUACAUCCUUAAGAAAAUUUGGUACAUCUAAUCAUCAAGCUACCAGGACCCCUAUCUCCAUUUCCAUGGUCCGUUUGUUCCUUUAGGAACUCUUGGGAAGUGAUUGGAUAUCGUUCCCCAACUCAGAACAGAUAAUGGAACCCUAGGUACAUCCUUAAGAAAAUUUGAAACAUCCAAUCCUUGGGCUCAUGAGACACCUAUCUCCUUUCCCAUGGUCCAUUUAUUCUUUUAGAGACCCUCAGGAAGUGAUUGGAGGUUGUUCCUCACAUUGGAAUGAAAUUUGGCACCCUUGGUACAUCAUUUACAAAAUUUAGUACAUCCUUUACAAAAUUUGGUACAUCCUUCACAAAAUUUGGUACAUCCUUAAAAAAAUUUGGUACAUCCUUAAAAAAAUUUGGUACAUCCAAUCUUUGAGCUAUCGGGACCCCUAUCUUAUUACCUAUGGUCUAUUUACUCCUUUAGGGAUCUUUGGAAAGUGAUUAAAGGUUGAUCCCUAGCUACUUCAAAACAGACUUUGGAACCCUAGGUACAUCCUUAAGAAAAUUUGUUACAUCUAAUCCUUGAGCUAAUGGGGCACCUAUCUAUCUUCCUAUGGUCCAUUUAUUCAUUUGGACACCCUUAAAAAGUGACUGGAGGUUGUUCCUUACCUCAAAAUGGACUUUGAAACCCUUAGUACAUCCUCUAAAAAUUUUGGUACAUCAUUCACAAAAUUUGGAACAUCAUUCACAAAAUUUGGUACAUCCUUAAAAAAAUUUGGUAUAUCCAAUCCUUAAGCUACCAGGACCCCUAUCUUAUUACCCAUGGUCUGUUUAUUCCUUUAGGAAUCUUUGGGAAGUGAUUGGAGGUUGUUCUCUACUCCAAAACAAACUUUGGAACCCUAGGUAUAUCCUUAAGAAAAUUUGAUACAUCCAAUCCUUGGGCUAAUGGGACACUUAUCUCCCUUCUUAAGGUCUAUAUAUUCCUUUGGAGACUCUCGGGAAGUGAUUGAAGGUCAUUCCCACCUCGAAAUAGACUUUGGCACCAUUGGUACAUCAUUUACAAAAUUUGGUACAUCCUUCACAAAAUUUGGUACAUUCUUUAUAAAAUUUGGUACAUCCUUAAAAAAAUUCAGUACAUCUAAUUCUUGAGAAAUUGAGACCCCUAUCUUAUUAUCCAUGGUCUGUUUUUUCCUUUAAAAGUCUUUGGAAAGUGAUUGGAGGUCGUUCCCUACUCUGAAAUGAACUUUGGAACCUUAAGUACAUCCUUAAGAAAAUUUGGUACAUCUAAUCCUCAAGCUAUUGGGACACCUAUCUCCAUUCUCAUGGCCCAUUUGUUCAUUUGGGGGCACUUAGGAAGUAAUUGAAGGUUGUUCCUUACUAUGAAAUGAACUGUGGAACCUUAGGUACAUCUUUAAGAAAUUUUUGUAUUUAUAUGGUUCUGUAAUGUUUUGAUGUUGUUAAUCUAAAUAAGGUGGUUGACUCAUAAUUUAUAAUCAUCAGGAGAAAAAAUAUUAUGUUUAUUCAUGACCAGAUGAAAAUGAAUAAAAAAUGGAAUUAUUGUCACUUUUAAUGGUAUUAUAUUAUGAAUCAUUUGAAUAGUUUUCUUAAAAAAAAAUAAUUGUCAAUUUCAAAUGGAUUAUAGUUGAAUUGAAAAAUGAAGGAAUAUAGUUGUAGUAAAGAAGGGUUGAAUUUGUGUGGGCAUUAUGAAAAAAAGAGGUCAACCCUUAUAUGAAAAACAGAUUGUUAAGUAGUGGGCAUAAUAGUGGACGACCUUUUCAUGUAGGGCUAACCCUUUUUAGCUUAUGACCCUUAGUCAUAAUAUUAGUCUUUUUUGAAGUGGUCAAUAGCAAAAAUAAGGGUCGACCCUUUAGUUCAUAGGCAGUCCCAUCAUGUUUUUAAAAUUGGUUUUGUUUUAUGUGGGCGGUAGGCAAAACAAAGGUUGACCCAUUGUUUAAUAGGUAGGCCUUUGAAUAUGGACGUUACAACCUUAGAACAUGGACAGUGAGGAAAAUAGUGGUCACCCCAUGUAUUCAGAGGUGGAGCCUGAACUUAUAUUAUAUAUCAAAUAAGUACCUAACAAAUAAAUAAAUAAAAGUAAAUGCAUUGUGUGAUGUUUGGUAUAGACAAUACAUGUCAAUAUUUAACACAUUAAUGUCACACCAUAAAGUGUUAAUUAAGAGGACUUGGAUUGUUCAUAAUCUAAAUGAGGCAUUAAUAUAUGAUGGCUAUAUGUGUGAUUGUGAUAAUUGUUAUAAGUAAUUAGCUUUGACAAGGUUAUUUACAAAUAUAUAUUUAAACAAUUAAAUACCUAAUGAGGUCUAAGUGUGAGAAUAAAAUAAGUUAUGCUUAUUUUGUAAAUGUUGUAAGUAUUUUUGUGAUGAAUAUAUGUAUUAUUGGAAAUAUUUAUGAGCAUGCCUAGUUUAUUGAUAUAUAUAUAUAUGUAUGUAUGUAUGUAUGUAUGUAUGUAUGUAUGUAUGUAUGUAUGUAUGUAUGUAUGUAUUAAAAAUGUAAAAUCAAGGAUUAGAUGUACCAAAUUUCAUGAAGAAUGUUCCAAAUUUUGUGAAUGAUGUACCAAAUUUUUUCAAGGAUGUACCAAGGGUGCCAAAGUCCAUUCUGAGGUGAGGAACGACCUCCAAUAACUUCUAAAGGGUCUCCAAAGGAAUAAAUGGACCAUGGGAAGGGAGAUAGGUAUCUUGUUAGCCCAAGGAUUGGAUGUAUCAAAUUUUCUUAAGAAUGUACCUAGAAUUCCAAAGUCUAUUUUGGAGUAGGGAACGAAUUCCAAUCACUUCCCAAAAAAUUCCUAAAUGAAUAAAUCAACCAUGGGUAAUAAGAUAGAGGUCCCAAUAGCUCAAGGACUGGAUGUACCAAAUUUGUAAAGGAUGUAUCAAAUUUUGUAAAGGAUGUACCAAGGGUGACAAAAUCCAUUCCAAGGUGGGGAAUGACCUCUAAUCACUUUCGAAGGGUCUCUAAAGGAAUAAAUGGACCAUAGGAAAGGAGAUAGGUGUCCCGUUAGUUCAAGGAUUGGAUGUAACAAAUUUUCUUCAGGAUGUACCUAGGGUUCCAAAGUCCAUUUUGAAGUAAGGAACAACCUCCAAUCACUUCCCAAAGAUCCCAAAAGGAAUAAAUGAACCAUGGGUAAUAAGAUAGGGGUCUUGGUAGCUCAAGGAUUGGAUGCACCAAAUUUUUUUAAGGAUGUACCGAAUUUUGUAAAGGAUAUACCAAAUUUUGUAAAAGAUGUACCAGAUUUUGUAAAUGAUGUACCAAGGGUGCCAAAGUUCGUUCCAACGUGGGGAACUACCUCCAAUAAAUUUCCGUGGGUCUCAAAAGGAAUAAAUGAACCAUGAGAAGUGAUAUAGGUGUCCCAUUAGCUCAAAGAUUAGAUGUACCUAGAGUUAAAAAUUCCAUUUUGAAGUAGGGAUCAACCUUCAAUCACUUCCCAAAGAUUCUUAAAGGAAUAAACGAAUCAUGAGUAAUAAGAUAGGAGUCCUUGUAGCUCAAGGAUUGGAUGUACCAAAAUUUGUGAAGGAUGUACCAAAUUUUGCAAAGAAUGUAUCAAGGGUACCAAAGUUGUUUUCAAGGUCGGGAACGACCUCCAAUCACUUCCCGAGGGCCUCUAAAGGAAUAAAUGGGCCAUGAGAAGGAAGAUAGGUGUCCUAUUAGCCUAAAGAUUGGAUGUACGAAAUUUUCUUAAGGAUGUACCUAGGGUUCCAAAGUCCAUUUCAAAGUAGGGAACGACCUUCAAUCACUUCCCAAAGAUCCCUAAAGGAAAUGGGUAAUAAGAUAGGGGUCUUGGUAGAUCAAGAAUUGGAUGUAUUAAAUUUUUUUAAGGAUGUACCAAAUUUUGUAAAAGAUGUACCAAAUUUUGUAAAUGACGUACCAAGGGUGCGAAAGUCCAUUCCGAGGUUGGGAACAAUCUCCAAUCAUUUCCUAAGGGUCUCCAAAGGAAUAAAUGAACCAUGAGAAGGGAGAUAGAUGCCUUAUUAGCCUAAGGAUUGGAUGUGCCAAACUUUCUUAAGGAUGUACCUAGGGUUCCAAAGUCUGUUUUGGAGUAGGGAAUGACCUCCAAUCACUUCCCAAAGAUCCCUAAAGGAAUAACAGAGGGUAAUAAGAUAGGGGUCCCGGUAGCUUAAGGAUUGAAUGUAUCAAAUUUUUUUAAGGAUGUACCAAAUUUUGUGAAGGAUGUACCAAAUUUUGUAAAGGAUGUACUAAGGGUGCCAAAGUCCAUUCCGAGGUCGAGAAAGACCUCUAAUCACUUUCCGAGGGUCUCUAAAGCAAUAAAUAGACAAUGAGAAGGGAGAUAGGUGUCCUGUUAGCCCAAAGAUAAGAUGUAUCAAAUUUUCUUAAGGAUGUACCUAAGGUUCUAAUGUUUAUUCCAGGGUGGGGAACGACCUCCAAUCAUUUCUUAAGGGCCCCCAAAGGAACAAAUGGACCAUGGGAAAGGAGAUAUAGGUCUCGAUAACCUGAUGAUUGGAUGUACCAAAUUUUCUUAACAAUGUACCUAAGGUUCCAAUGUCCGUUCCGAGGUAGGAAACAACAUCUAAUGACUUCCUAAAGGAACAAAUGAACCAUGGGAAGGGAGAUAGGGGUCCUAGUAGCCUAAGGAUUCAAUGUACCAAACUUUAUUAAGGAUGUACCUAGGGUUCCAAAGUCUAUUUAGAGGUAGAGAAUGACCUCCAAUCACUAGGGUUCCAUUAUUAGUUCCAGAGUGGGGAAUGACAUCCAAUCACUUCUCGAGAGUUCCAAAAUGAAAAAAUGGACCAUGGGAAAUGAUAUAGGGGUCCUAGUAUCUCAAUGAUUGGAUGUACCAAUUUUUCUUAUGGAUGUAAUUAAGGUUCCAAUGUUAGUUUCAAGGUAGGGAAUGGCCUCUAAUCACUUCCCAAGGAUCGGAUAUACCAAAUUUUCUUCAAGAUGUAUCUAGGGUUUAAAAGUCCAUUUUGGGGGUAAGAAAUAACCUCCAAUUACUUCCUGAUGGUCCAUAAAGGAGCAAAUGGACCUUAGGAAUAACGAUAGGGGUCUUGGUAGCCCAAGGAUUGGAUGUACCAAAUUUUCUUAAAGAUGUACCGAAUUUAUAUGAGGAUAUAUCUAGGGUUCCAAAGUCUAUUCUGAGGUGGGAAACGACUUACAAUUACUUCCUAAGGGUCUUUAAAAGAUCAAAUGGACCAUGGGAAGGGAUAUAAGGGUCCUGGUAGCUUCAGGAUCGGAUAUACCAAAUUUUCUUAAGGUUAUACCUAGGAUUCCAAACUCCAUUCCAAGAUAGAAAACAACCUCUAAUCCUUUCCUAAAGGUCUCCAAAUGAAUAUAUAGACCAUGAAAAGGAGAUAAGGGUUUUGAUUCCCUUAGGAUUGGAUGUACCUAUUUUUGUUAAGGAUGUACUUAAGGUUUCAACGUUCGUUUUGGGAUGAGGGAGGACCUCCAAUGACUUAUCGAGGGUUCCCAAAGGAAUAUAUAGACUAUGAUAAGGAAGAUAGGGAUCCUUGUUCCCCUAGGAAUGGAUGCACCUAUUUUUUCUUACGGAUGUACCUAUUUUUUAUGAAAUUAAUAUAAAAGGUUAACUACAAUUUUUUUUAAUGAAAAAAAUUUAUUUUCUUUUAUAUUUUAUUUUAAUUUAAAAUUAAAAAUUUUAAUGAAACAAAAAAUUAGAUCCAUGAUCAAGUUAAAACCAUAAGAAAAAAAAAGCAUCAUCACUUACUAUGAUUUUGAUAUGAUAAAUUUAAAAUAAAAAUAAAAAUAAUAUAAAUAAUAAAAUAGUAUUACAAAUAUAUUUUAUUUUUACAUGUGAUAUGAUUUACAAAAUAAAUAAAUAUUUUAUUUAGCAUUAAUAUAAAAAAAUCUUAUAUCAUAAAACUAUAAAUAAUAAAAUAUAAUUUUAAAAUUUAAUCCUUGAUUUAUCAAUUGAAUUACUAUAAUUAAUAUUAAAAAUCAUCAAGUAUAUUAUUUGUGGAAUAAUAUUUUCAUUUUUGUCCAUUACAUAUAUUUAUGUUUUUAUUUAAUUUUUUAUAGUAACUAUAUAUUAUUAAUAUUAUUAUUUUAAGGUUAAUUUGUCCAAAAAAUAAUUAAAAUCAAUAAAUAUGGGGAGAUUAAAGAGUGAAAAAAAUUAAAAUUGAAGAAGUUUUAUGAGAUAAUACAUUAGCAUAUUAAAAGAAAUGUCAAAUGAGAGAUAGAAAAAUAGGAUAUGGUGAUAAGAAAGAAGAAAAAAUGAUAAAAGAAAAAAGUAAAAUGUAGAAACGUGGCAAAAGGUGAGAUGUGUGAGGGAGUUUAUGUAAGAGAAAAAAAAAAGUGAUUGGUGUACUUGACAACAACAUUUAAUGUGGUAAGUGUACUUGCCCUCAACUUUUGAGGGUAAUUUUGGAACAAAUUCAUAAGCACUAUUGGACUGCAUGAAUUGGUAAUAUUUUUUUUUCCAUUUUACAUUAAAAUUGAAAAAAUAAAAACAAAGUUCUAAAAACCAUAUUUUUUUUGUUGGUGAUGUACCAAAGCAUGAUUAUCCCAAUUUUAAAUAAUACAAAAAUCAUAAAUUUUGAAAUUUUUUUUUAAUCUAAAUUUUUUUAUUUGUAAAUUUUAAUGUUUAAUUUUUUAAUUUCUAAAUUUUAAAUAAUAUAAAACUCAUGGCAUGAUGAAGCACAUUAAAUGUGUUGCAGUAGCAUGUUGUAUUUUUGUAGCAGAGAUGACAUAGAAGGAGUUGUGUGGAAUGUUGUUUGGGAAAAAAAAGAUGAAAAAAAAUCUCAGACCCUCACCUAGUCAAGCACCAUUGCAACUUUGAAAAAAAAAAACAAAAACAAAAAAACCCAUUUUAAAAAAGGAGAAAACCACCAUCGCAAACAAUGGCUUACCACAUUUGUAUCUAAUGCCAUAUCCUCUUCAACCUUUCAUCAUCUUCACCACCAACCCAUCUACCUUCUUGAAAAUUCAUUUUCCAACUACUAGUCAUACAUACCAUUCUCCAUAACACAUAUAUAUCCGAUAAUAAUUGUGAAAAAUGGCUAAUUUGAUUAAGCAAAUCACUAAAUGGGGGUAAAGAGUGGGAGGGGAUGAAUUAGGUGUUACAUUUUUAUUUUUAUUUUUUAAAAAAUAACCAAUUAAUAACAAAAAGAAUAAGAGAUAUUAAGUAAGACAAUAAUUAAGUAAAAGAUAAAGAGAAGAUAUAUGCAAACUCUUUUAUAAUGGUUUUAAAAUCCACCUAUAUCCACUCUUUUUAACCUCCCAAGCAAGGGAGGGUUCCAUUAUCAAAGGCCUUCAACCUAUGCCUUCAAGCUUUAUAUUUGGAUUCAUGGACUCCAAUGGGCACUCACAAUCUCUUCAAGUACUUCACCUAUUUGAAGUCUCUUCACUAAAAAAUGAGUAGAUAAGGAAAGUCCUAAUGCUUUUUGUUAGGACAUUUAGUUUUAUUUAUAUGUUGGCAAUUUUGUUCCAUUUUAUGUUUGAUCAUAAAGUUCUUUUUAGAUAGUGACUUGCUCAAGUGAAAAGGACCGCUCAAGUGGUCUAAGUCUGCUCAAGCAGUAAUGAUAGUCCUAUCGAGUUUAAACACAAAUUUUGGAUGAAUUUCACUUGAACUCUAGUUUGAAAACUUAAGAUACUGAAAAUUUUUGGGCUAUAAAUACCUCCUUAAUAACCCCUUAAGGGUUAGGGAUUGAAGAUUGAAAAGAUCUUAGAGAUUAGAAACCUCUCAUUCUUAAAAAGAGGCCUUGAGAGAAAGCCUAAAUUGCUAUAUCAUUCAUGAUUUCUCAUUCAAGGAUUGAAUCUUUAAAUCGUUAGUUGAAAACCUUAAUCCCUUCGAAGUGGCAAAAGAAUCUACUAAGGAGCAAUAAGAAGUUGCUACAUCAUGAAUGUGGAUCAAGUUAUAAGUGUUGAAGAGUAAGUUUUUAGGGUAAAACAGUCAGGUAAAUCUGUGUAACUUGAUUUCGAAUAGUGGAUUUGGAUUGGUAGGUCUUAGACCUUGUGUUUUUUUUUUCUCCAUAGUUUGUGCGAGGUUUUCACGUAAAAAUCUUAUGCCUAAUUGUCUAUAUCUUUUAUAUUUGAUAUUAUGUUUGUAGGGUUUUCAUAAAAGGUUCAUAUCUAUAUAUUUUUGCUUAGAUUUAAUGUGAUUAAGUUUGAUUGAUUUGUUGGGAUUGCUUUUGAGGUUGUUAGGGUUGUUAUCUUGGUAUUUAUGGUUGUUAUCCUUAUAACAAGUUAUUAUUAUCCCUAACAUCUAUCAAGAUAUCCUUUGGAUAUUAAUAAUUUAUUUAUUUUAUCCCAAAUAAUCUUUGGAUAUCAAUUAAUCAUAAAAAUCAAGUUUUACUAUUCUAAAUUUAGGGUGAACUCAUUUUUUAAUAUCGAGGAUAAACUUGAAAAUUUCUUAGAGGUAAAAAAAAUUGAUAUAACAUAUAAAUCUUUAUUUAAAUUUUUAAAUCACCCAUUCAUCCCACCUUUGGAUGUUCGUUAUUGGACUUUCAGUUGUUAUUCAAGUGAUAUUAAAGCAAUACUCAUUUUCAAUUGGUAUCGGAGUGGAAUAAAUAACCAAUUCUUUAUCCUAUUGAUUAAAAAUCCAAUUUUUAUUGAUUGGACUGUUUAAAAAUCAAAUUUUUAUUAAUCACAUAGGAUAAAAAUCAAAAUUUUAUUGAUCCUGUAAGUCUAAUAUGGAACAAUAAAAAAGUGGUGCUCCUUUGAAUAGUUACCCUAUUUUGAUGGGAAUAAUUACUCCUAUUAGAAAGCAUGAAUGAUGUUUUUCCUCAAAAUGUAAGGUGAAAGGGUGUGAAACUCAAUUGAAUAUGGUUGGGGACCACCAUUAAUCCUUGAUACUCAAGGAAGAUUAAUAGGUGAACUUAAACCUAAAAAAAAAAUGAGACAAAUCCAAUAAUCAACGUAGUGAAGCCAAUGCUAUAUUUUUAAUGGAGUUUAUCCAGAAAGGUUUUGUAGGAUAGCAAAUUGCAGAUGUGCAAAUUAAGCAUGGGAUAUUCUUCAAGUCACUCGCGAAGGUACAUCCUCUAUAAAGAUUUAUAAAUUACAAAUGCUUGCUACAAGGUUUGAAAAUAUUAUGAUGCAUGAAAAUCAAACUUUUUCUUCUUUUUAUUCUAAAUUAAGUGAUAUUGUAAUUUCUUAGUUUAACCUUGGAGAACUUAUUCCUAAUUCUAAGGUAGUUAGGAAAAUAUUGGGAUCUCUUCCAAAGAAAUUUAGAACUAAAGUAAUUGCCAUAGAGGAGAGCAAGGGCAUUGAAUCCAUGAGAUGAACUUGUAGGCUCCAUUCAGACAUAUGAGAUGACUCUACCUAGUUCCUAAAAGCCUAAAGAGUCUACUUUUAAGGCUUUUAAUGGUGAGAAAAAAAAUUAAAAUUCCAUAUGAUAUAACAAAGGAUGAAUUGGCCCAUAUGGCCAAAAUGAUUAAAAAGGUCAUAUAAUUCAAUAAAAGGUUUUACAAGAACCAAGAAUCUAGAAAAAGAAAAAGACCUAAUGAACAAUCAUCCAAUAAGAAAAGAAAAGAUUCCUCCAAAGGUAAGAAAGUUGAAUGCUUUAACAAUGGAGGUCUAGGACAUUAUGCUUAAGAUUGUCCUAGCCCCAAAGAUGCCAAAAAGUCUAUGCAAGCAACAUGAAGCAAUACUAAUUCUGAAGAGAGUGCUUCCACAACUUCUGAAGAUGCAAGGUAUGAUCCCAAUGACUUGUUAGCUUUUAUUGCUUUUAUGGAACUUGUGCAUGAUAGUGAUGAUGAUGAGUUUACUAAUGAACAAAGGACUGAAUUCUUGAGUAAUCUUGUUGUUGAGCAUGAAAGACAAAUUAAGAGUUAUAUGAAAAAUAAUGAUAUCCUUGAUGCUCAUGAUAAAAACAAAAUUGAUGUGCUUAGUGCUGAAAAGACUAAUUUGCUUGAGAAAGUUAGGUUUCUUGAAUUUGAACAUCAUUCUCUCCUUGAGAAGAAUAAUCCUCUCACUCAAGAGAAAAAAUAACAAGCCUUUUUCAUCUGUGAAUAAAUUUUUUUUACUGCAGAACUAAAAUGUUUAAUGAAAUUCUUGAUAAAUGCAAAAUCCAUGGUGAUAAAAGAGGUUUGGGGCGCAUUAAUAAAGAUGAAACUCCCUUUGAAUUCAUUAUUUUUCCAUUGAAAAUCCCAUCUUUAAAUUCCAUUACUUAGCCACUUUCCACUUUCCACUGUAAAUAUUAUAUUAAAAAAUUUUAAAAAAAAAUUAACUUAGAAUUUCUACAUAUGGCCAUUAAAAUAUUUUAUGAAAAAUAACUUACCAAAAAAAUAUUUAUGUACAUACCAUUAAAAAUUUGAUAUUAAAAAACUUUUUUUUUAUUUAAAAAAAGUAACUUACCAAGAAUAUAUUGAAAGCACUUUAAAAAAUAACUUACUAAAAUUUUAUUUACGUACAUACCACUAAAUAUUUUAUAUUAAAAACACUUUAACAAAAAUUGACUUACCAAAAAUAAAUUAAGUGCACUAAAACAAAUAAUCUAAAUGACCUAAGCCUAAAAAGUGUCUAAGUGAAAUUUAAACCUAAAAAGUGCCUAGGUGAAUUGAGCGGAAAUGGAUUUAAGUGAAACUUAACCUAAACUCAAAGAGCAACCGAGGUCAUAAUGAGGGUCUAGACGAGCUCCUCAACAAAAGCUCCCUAAAGGUGACUUGAAAGGAGUAAAUUUUAUAAGUUUCAAUGGGCCACCAAGAAAUAACUACGAAUCAAAAGAGAAGUAUAGGAAAGCACCUAAUGCCACAUGUGCUAAGAAGACAAAAUGGAAAGUCUACAAAUAUCCUUCUCCUCAUUCUCAAAAACCAUAAAGGCAGAGUCUUUAGGCUUUUGGGAACUAGGUAGGGUGAUCUCAUAUGUUUGAAUGGAGCCUACAAGUUCAUCAACUCUCAUGGAGUUGAUGUCCUUGCUCUCCUCUAUGACAAUUACUUUAGUUCUAAAUCUCUUUGGAAGAGAUCUUAAUAUUUUCCUAACUAUCUUAGAAUCUGGAAUAGUUUCUCCAAGGUUGAAUGAAUAAUUUACAAUAUCACUUAAUUCAAAAUCAAAGAAAGAAAAAGUUUGAUUUUCAUGCAUCCGAAUAUUCUUAAACGUAGUAGCAAGCAUUUGCAAUUUAGAAAUCUUUAUAGCAAAUGUACCUUCAUGAGUAACUUGAAGUAUAUCACAUGCUUCUUUUACACGUUUUCAAUUUGCAAUCCUUCGAAACUCAUCUAGACCAAUUCCAUUAAAAAUACUAAAUAAAGCCUUAGCAUUGGCUUCACUACUUUCAUUGGCAACUUUGUCCCAUUCAUGUUUAAAUUUAAGUUCUUUUGUUGAUCUUCCUUGAGCAUCAAGGAUAAAAGGUGGUCCCCAACCAUAUUCAAUUGAAUUUCAUACCCUUUCACCUUGCAUUUUAAGGAAAAACAUGAUUCUUGCUUUCCAAUAAGAAUAAUUACUUCCAUCAAAAUAGGGUGGACUGUUCAAAGGAACACCACUUUUUGACUAUUCCAUAUCAAACUUACAAGAUCAAUCAAAUUUUGAUUUUUAUCUUAUAUGAUUAAUAAAAAUUUGAUUUUUAAACAAUUUAAACAAUAAAAAUUGAAUUUUUAAUCAAAAUGAUAAAUAAUUAGUUUUUUAUCCUUCUCUAAUACCAAUUAAAAAAUGGGUACUACUUAAAUACCACUUGAAUAAUAACUGAAAGUCCAAUAAAAAACACUUUCAACGGUAGGGAACACCCACAGGAAAAGAGGGGGGGGGGGGAGAUGAAUGGGUGAUUUAAAAUUUUAAUUAAUAUUUGUAAAUGAUAACAAACUUUUUCUUACUCCAAUGGAUAUCAGGGAUAUCCCAAAUAAUUAAAUGUAUUAUACUUAAAAUCUUUAGGUAUUCAAAAAUAAGAUUUUUAACUUUUAGGGAUACCUUGCAAUUGUUUAGGGAUAAAGAUAAUAUAAUUCUUAAUAUCCAAAUAAUAAUAUCCCGAGAAAUGUUAUGGAUAAUAAUAAUUAGAUAUAAUGAUAACAACCACAACCACUAAGAUAACCACCAUAACAACCUCAAUAGCAAUCCCAACCAAUCAAACAACCUAAUCAAGUAAUAUAUGUAUGAAUAAAUAGAUAUGUACUUCUUAGGAAAACCUUGCAAGAUAUUAGGGAUAAUCAAUUUAAUCUAUUCUAGGCAAUUCAAAUAGAAUAUUAAAUAUAAAACUAUAGACAAUGAGUUACAAAUUUUUUUACAUGGAAAACUCCCACAAACUAUGGAGAUAAAAAACCACGAGAUCUAAGACCUACCAAUCUAAAUCCACUAUUCAAAGUCAAGUUGCAUAGAUUUAACUGGACGUUUUACCCGAAAGACUUACUCUACAACACCUACAACUUGAUCCAUGUCCAUGACAUAGCAACUCCAUGUUUCUCCUUAGUAAAUCCUUCAAUCUCUCUAAAGGGAUUACAAUCUUCAACUAAUAAUUCAAAGAUUCAAAUCCUUGAAUGAGAGGAUGGGAAUGGUGUGGCAAUUAGGCUUUUUUCACAAGGAGUCCCUCUAAAGAAUAACAGGUCUCUCAACAAUCUUUUAAGAUCUUUAUGAUCUUUCUAAUAUCCGAUCUCUAACCCACAAGGGGUUAUAAGAUAGGUAUUUGUAGGCAAAAGCCAUAAGAGUUUCAGUAUCCUAAAUUUUCAAAUUAAAGUUUGAGUGAAAUUCAUUCAAAAUAUAUUUUUAAACUUGAUAGGACUGACAUGACCACUUAAGCAAACUUUGACCACUUGAGCUAGCACUUUACUUGAGCGAUCCUUAUUGCUUGUAUAGGUUGACUGAUUGAGUAGGAUUAACCACUUGAGUGACCCUUUCUUUUUGAAAAAUCAUUUUGAGUUUAAAAAUGAUACCGAAUCUUUUUAUACCUCAAAUAAGCCUUGUAUCUCAUAAGCCAAAUCUUUUUAGAUGUACCUAUGACUUCUCGGUUGGAUGAAUAGAAACCCUUGAUCUUCAAUGGAGAGAAUGUCAUUAUCUAAAAAGACUUUUAUGACCAAACAUUAAUUGGAACAAAAUUUCCAACAAAUAAACAAGACUCAAUGUCUUAACAAGUCAUUCCCAAUCUUUCAAACCCAUGACUUAUUCAUUUUUCCUUUGCUUUGAUCUAUCCAUGCUUCUUAAGUUUUAAAUAUUUCUUUAGGCAUAUUUGAUCCCUUUCUAUUCUUCGGUUAAAAUUGAUUCUAGUAAUUUCUAUUUUUUUUCCUCAUGCUCAAAAUAUUGUUAGAUAUGCAACUAAGGUCCUAGCACUUAAUUUGGGCGAGUGGAUCCCUUUAUAUAGUAUAAAUCAUAUCAUAUCCUAUUAUAGGGUUAUGCAUCUUGGUUCAUUAAAGCAUUUGGGGACUAUUCCCCUUAUACAUAGCCAUUAAAGCCUAAUUAAGAAUGCUUGACGUUUGCAUCUGGAUACCUAGUUGGGUGCAUGCAGCACUAACCAUGAGUCCAUACACUUAUCACUUGAGUAAUUCUACCCAAAAUUAGUCAUCUUAUCUAGUAUAUAUCCACUACAGCUUAGGCAAAAGAGAAACUAUAAGCAUUAUUGUUAGAAUUUACAUAUCAACCCGAUAAACCAUGAUCGUGCUUUUCAUGGCCAUAAAUCUUAAACAAUAGUAAUCGAUAAACAACUUUUCAAAAGCAUCACUUGCCUUGACCUAAGCAUUUAGGACCUAGUUCUUUUUGCUCUUUCUUACUCGACCUCUUACACCAAUGAAUCAAUACGGAAGUGGACACUUUGUCAAGGGCACAUCUCAACAAUAACAUAUAUUCCUAACAAUCUAGUGAGCAUUGCCUAACACAGGCCUGCCCAACUAAUAGUUUUUUCAUGAAGAGAGAGUUGAUCUCAACCCUUUUAGUCAACCUACCAUGGAGUAGCAACAUAAACUAUCUCUUCCCAAACACCCUAGUUCAAUUAGCUUUCAACUCUCAAGUCGUAGGUAAUCCAUGCUUGUCAACCUUCAUUCAAUUAAGAUCUAACUUAACCUUUGGAGAGGCAUAGCCAAGGUUCACUUUCAAUACUCCUUAGUGCUAGUGCUAGGUGCUAUAGGCAAAGAGGUCAAUCACCACCUCUAGGAAGAGUAUUGUUAAUUCACAUCACUCAUGGACCCUAGCUCAAGAGUUUGAGAACUAGUAAUAACUAUGAAAUAACAAUGGUCAAAGUGUAAGAGAUUUAUUUUAGGGAAACAAAAAAUUAAAUAAACAUAAUAAGCUUAGCAUGAUUAAUUAUCAAUUAAUUAUAUAUUUUUUUUAAUAAAGAAGUUCCAAGUUUGAAACCAUCGUUUAUCUAUAACCCUUUCGCCUUGACAAUAUGAAACUAUAUUACAAAUUUAAAUAAUUUUUCAAUGUUUACAUGUGAGACAUUAACAUUUGUUCAGAAAUUUAAAAAAAAAAAAAAAAAAAAGGUUAUUUGGACACAUGACUCAAAAUAACUCUCAAAUUGUAAAAAUGGCCCCUCACACUUUAAUUUUGUUGAGAAAUAACUCUUUAUGGAUACUCUUACCCUUCUUCAUUUUGUUUGUUAUAAAAAUCAUUAUCUUUUCAUAACUAUCUUAUCUUUCAAAUAACUCAUUCUUGCUUUCAUUUUAGAUUUUUAUCUAAAUUAAAUAAAUACACAAUAGUCAAGUUUGAUUUACAAAAAAUCUUAACUAGAAUUAAAUUUAUUUACAAAUAAUUUAACUACUGUCAAGUUUUCCAUUUCAUCUACAAAGAACUCGAUUAUAAUGAUAUGAACUUUGUUGUUAUUAAGUUUUAUUUUUAAAAAAAAAACUUAAUUAGAGUUAAUUUAACAUCUAUUCUACAAAAAAACCUAAUUAUAAUUAAGUUCUUAAUUAGAAUAUUCAUAUGGACAUAAACAUUAAAUGAAAGGAUUAUGUGAUCUCAUCUUCACAUUUUAGAAGUUUAAAUGAAACUACAAAAACAAUUAACAAAAAAUAGUAAAAAUUACCACUAAAGGACAACCUCAAAAAAUCCUAACAAAAAUCCCACUAGAAAAAUCCCCACCAAAAAACCUUAACCAAAAUCCUAGUGGAACAUUGAAAAAAAAAAAAACAACCAAAUCCCAACAAUACAAUUGCAAAAAAUGCUAACAAAAAAUAACUACAAAAUCCCAAUAUAUAUAUAUAUAAAACAACCAUAAAAAACACUAACCAAACACACACACACAUAUAAAGGAUAAUGAAAGAUCUUGAAGAAGACCGCAAAAAACAGGAAAAUCUCAACAAAAACUAACUCCAAAUCAAAAGAAACAAAAAACCACUACAAAAAAAAUCACAAAAAAAUCCUAACUAAAAAUAAAGAAAAUGAUGAAAGAUCUUGAAGAAGAAAAAAAGAUGAGAGAAUUGUGGUCGAUUUUUAUCAUUUCUUCGAUUUGAACUACACCCCUAAAUUCACAAGGAAAGAACUUGGAAAAUUCAUUGGAAGAGUGAGAAGGAAAUGAUUGGGGAAUGAGGAAAAAAUGUCAAUUGAGAAAAAAAAAAAAGUAAUAUUAUCUUAAAUCAAUCAUUUUUUUUAGAGAAUAAAGAAGAAAGGUCAUUCUUCUGAUUUGAGAAGCAUUUGAAAUUUUUUAGCCAAAAAUCUCUUUAAAAAAUUGUAAGUAAAGUGGUGUUUUUUUGUUUGUUUUCCUUUUUUUGUUUUUGUUUUUUUUUUUUUUCAAAAUUGUUUUUUUUUUUUGAAAAAAAAAACUUUUUAAAAUUUUUUUAACUGAAUAAAAAAAGUCAAAAUAUUUAACUUUUUUUUUUUAAUGAUAAAAGUAACAUAUUGAUUUUUCUUUAUUCCUUAAUAUUCAAUAUAAAUAAAAUAUUACAAAAACAAACAACUUAAUACUUAAUUUUAUUAAGCACUAUUUAAUUUUGAAAGGUGAAAAUAUGAAAUAUUACAAUGUCAUUAAACAAAAUAAAGUCCAUUGUUUUUUUAAAAAUCAUAUCAAUGUCAUUAAACAAAAUAAAAUCAUGGAUGUUGGACUCUACCAAAGCCCAAUUGAUUUUGCAUGAAUUAAUUCUACAAAUUCCAUGAUUUGAAAUUAUAGAAUUUAAUUCAUGCUUAUUUUAAAACAAUUUAAAAAUCAAGGAAAAAAAUUGUGAAAAAUGUUUGCCGAAGAGAAAAUGGCAAUAAAUUUUAUUGGAAAUGGGAUUUUUGAGACUUAAAAAUUCUAAGAAUGAAAAAUUGUGGAAUCAAAACAAGAUCUUUUUUAAAAUAAUUUUUUAAAGACAUGCAUGCACACGGGUUUUGAAAUUGAGCAUAGGAGGGUCGCCAUGCAACUUUGAAUCAUUCAUGUGGCCCAGGGGUGCAACUGAGACCGCACUGUGAGGUUGGUGAUUGCAGCUGUCAUCCUCUCUGAAUUUCCCCUCUUGCCGACUUGACAAUCCCUCUCAUGCAGAUGGGACAUUUUCCAACAGAGAUGUUGUCAGUCCUGAAUCAGAGGCACUGUUCCUAAUAUUUUCAUGCAUCUUAAUUAAAGGUAAACCAGGAAGGGUAGAGAUGAAGGAGCGGGUCCUGCGUGCUUGGGAAUGACAUACCAAAAGGGGCCAUGCAAACCAUGCAAGAGUGGGGUCCGAGGAGUGCCAAAGUGGGACGACAUGAUUUCAGUCAUUGUGCAGGUUUGUCUGAACUGGGAUUCUAUUCGGUGUUUCACUUCUUUCCUCCAUCCUUAAUGAUCUUCAUAACAGUUGGAAAGGAGUCAGACCAGUUUUUGUUUCCUUUUACCUCUUCUGCUGAUGGAUUUUCUAGAAUGAUCUCCAAUUUCUGUGAUUUUGGACUUCGAAAAUUACCCAUGAAAUUUCUGGGGAAAAACUGAUUGGAGAGAGAGAGUCCCUUCCUGAUAACGCAUGCUGGGCAUGAUGGUUUCCAGUCCCCAGUUGAAGGCUAUCGUCUUCAAGCCUCGAGAGAUCAUAAAAGUAAGAUUGGCGAGGGCGACUCUGAAGUUAUUUACAAGAUAAAGCCUUCAUUCCAUGUGCGCCUUAACAACAGGUAGCACCAAAGAAACCAGAGUGGACCAUUCUCAACCUCGGUCGCGUCCAUCUUGUUCAACUCUAAAGGAUCAGACGACUGUUUUGACCAAGGAUAUGGUUGUAUGUCUUCUGGUCCGCUGCCUAUUUACAUCUGGCAGCACUAAGCUAACUUCAUUGGCACCUAUGUAACUGAAAGCAUAGGUCUCUAUAGGUAAGUCUACUACUUUGCAUGUGAAUAUUUGGAAUGCUAAGACAACGGCGAACUAGAAUAAUGGAGGCAAUGAAUGAGCUAUUCCCCUAGAUGGGGGCUAUACUUUCUCCCAUAAUUGCUUCUUGCUGUUGAAUAACCAUCAAGAUACUCAUCUAAUGAGCAAUUACUUCUCAGAAUUGGCUGUCGAAGGUUUUGAAUGUACUUCCAGAUCAGAUGAAACAAAUGAGGAUCCUCUUGCCAUUGGAAGACUGCUGAAAGUGAGCCGGAGCAUGAACUUUACUAAUUAGAUUCAUCAAAUUGCGCACCUUGGCCUGCCAGUGUGGACCCGUUCUGGAGCUGCUAUGAUUAUCCUGAAGUUUAUUUCUAGUAACUGGCUAUAAGACUCUGCAAAAAUUCGGUGGUUGAUGGGAAUGCAAAGAUGGGUAUUCAACGCAUGGAGUCUCGAAUAACAUUCCUUGCUGCUCAUAACUAGUUCUGAUCCAUGUAGCAGAUUCCCCAAUUGUAUGUACGCGGACAUUUCCAUCAAACGACUAUCGAAACUGAAUUGGAGAAGGAAUUGCACCAAUUGGAUUCACUUAACCGUGCAUCUUAACCUUGGCAAAACUGGAUUUGGGAAGAAGCAUUCUACAUGGAAGAUCCAAUUGCUAGGAGAAGGGGAUAAAAAAUGUCUUCUUCCAAGGUGUUGAGUUUGGACAAGUCAUGUGGAGGUUGCAUGCACACGAGAAAUAAUGGAAAUGAACUUGUGGGAGAUGAAUAGUGGGGUUGGCAGGUUGGGUAAGUGUGAAGGAUGGGGACUGGUGGUGGAAUGAAUGGAGCUGUAGGUGGUGGAUAUGGUAUUAAUUCGGUGAAUGUGAAGAAUGGGAACUAGUGAGUAUAAAGGGUGAACAUGCAUGCAUAGUUUCUACUAGUACGAAUCUGCAAAGGAGCUACAUCAUUCUUCCAGCUCCGAAUGAGACGCGCGGCGACUUUAAACAUUGCAAAGUGGCCAUGCAAGUUGAACCCACGUGUGUGCGAACCCGGGAUGGAGUGGUUGAGUGGCAAACUAAGUGGGAAUUACAAAACUAGAACUUGUCAAGUAGUUAACAACUUAACAAAUUGUUAUUUAAGUAGUUAACAGGCUGUUUGUUGUAACUAAUUAGAUGUGUUUGUUAGUAACUGAUCUUUAGAUUCUUGUAUAUAAGAAACAGAGGACUGAUCAGUGUUGUAGAGGGAUAUAGCUCAAUUUCAGUUCCGUCUUUCUGGUUUUCUCUUAAACAGAUGCUCUACACAUCUUCUUCUUCUCUUCAUAUCUCUGAGUUCUUUCUUGGUAUCAGAGCCAUCAACUAACAUCUGUAAAUCUUUUUUUCAUGGCAUCAGAAGGAUCAACAUCUUCAAUGGAUCAUCCUAAUUCCAACUUUACUCAUCAUACAAUGCCAUCAUUGAAUCAAGCAUUCACGGUAAGAAUCAAUCAAUCAAAUUAUUUACUAGGGCGAACUCAGAUGUUGAACAUCAUCAUUGCAAAUGGCAUUGAAGAGAUGAUCCAUGGAAAAAUCCCUGCUCCUUCAUGGUUUCUUGGCGAUUCAGAGAACAUAAAUCUAGAAUACAAUAUAUGGCAACGUCAGAAUCGCUUAGUAAUGUGUUGGAUCUAUUCCCUUUUAACAGAAGGAGUGAUGACACAGAUUAUCGGACUUGAUACUACAUCAGAAAUCUGGAUUGCUCUAGAGAAAAUUUUCUUAGUAGCUUCAAAGGCUCGUACCAUGCAGCUUCGCUUCCAACUGCAAACAACAAAGAAAGGAGGAUUGAGUAUGAUGGAAUAUCUACUCAAAAUCAAGUCCAUUGUAGAUAACUUGGUUGCAAUUGGAGAAAAUAUUACGAGCAAGAUCGAAUUCUCUAUUUACUUGCAGGACUAAGAGCAGAGUACAAUUCGUUUGUCAUUUCAGUUACCUUUGGGCAUGAAUCAUUAAGCCUAGAAGAAAUUCAUAGCAUGCUCUUAACUCAUGAAAAUCGAUUGGAACAACACACAACAGAAGAAACAAAUCUUAUGCAAGUAAAUAUUGCAACAAUGAACCUUCAAGGUCACAACAGAAAAAAUCAAAAGUUUGGUCAAUUCAAGACUCAAGGUAGAGGUAGUCAGAAUCCACAACAAUUUAAUCAUCAGAAUUUUGGUAGAAGCCGUGGGAGAGGUCACUAUAACAACAAUGGUGGAAAUUUUGGGCAUGGUCUAGGAAAAGGUAGCUUUAAUAACCAUUUUUACUCAUCUGGAAACUUCAAUAAUGUUUCUGGUGGCAGCAAUGGAAAACCACAGUGCCAAGUAUGUGGUAAAUAUGGUCACAUUGCGAUUAAUUGCUAUAAUAGAUUUUAUCAAAACUUAUCAAUCAACAAUGAACAAUCAGCUUGCUGUAAUGGUUUGCAACUCCGUCCAAUGUUGGAGAUGGAAGUUGGUACAUGGAUACCGGAGCUAUGCAUCACCUAACUCCAAAUCUCAACAAUUUGAAUUCACAUACUCCAUUUGCUGGUUCAGACAAAGUCGUCGUUGGAAAUGGUAUUUGUUUAAAUAUCUCAAAUAUUGGACACUCCAUUAUUUCUUCAGCUUCUCGGUCAUUAAAUCUAAGAAUAUUUUACAUGUUCCACAACUUACAACCAAUCUGAUAAGUGUGAAUAGGUUGUAUACUAACAAUAAUGUUACUGUGGAAUUCUUUACUAAUGGAUUUGUGGUGAAGGAUCAAACUUUGAAGAAGGCUCUUCUCCAAGGCAACCUUAACUAUGGCUUAUACAAUCUGUCUUCAACACCUAGUAGAAGAUAUCAAGAUCCUGAUGAUAAUAAACUUGCUGGAAGAACAAGCUUGACAACUGAGGUCCCAUGUAUGUCAUCUACAUUACAACUUCCCAAUAAGGCAGUUCUAUGGCAUUUCAGGUUAGGCCUCCUGCACAUAAAAUAGUCAAUAAAGUUUUGAGUGCUUGUAGCUUGCCCCUAGAACAUUGGACAGGUGUUUGUGAACCUUGUCAAAUGGCAAAGAGCCAUCGCUUACCUUUUACUUUGUCUGAAUCCAGAGCCUCUCAGCCUUUUGCUCUUGCACAUUCUAAUCUAUGGGGUCCUACCCCUGUUGUUGGUGCUAAUGGUGCAAGAUACUUUGUGCUCUUUGUGGAUGACCAUACAAGAUUUUCUUGGUUGUAUCUACUAGCUUCUAAAGAUCAACUAUCUCUGCCUUUUUGCAAUUUAAAGUGAUGAUUGAGACUCAAUUUGAUACUAAAGUUAGAAUGCUUCAAACUGAUUGGGGAGGAGAGUUUCAAGCCUUUACUAAUACCUUAUGUAAGUUUGGGAUUCUGCAUAGAGUAUCUUGUCCAUCCACUUCUCAACAAAAUGGUCGUGUGGAGAGAAAACAUAGGCAUGUGGUUGAAGUAGGUCUUUCCUUGCUUGCUCAUGCUUCUAUUCCACUUAAAUAUUGGCCUUUUGCCUUCCAAUCUGCUUUAUAUUUGAUUAAUAGGCUUCCUUCCUCUGUGCUGAACUUUUCUCUCCAUAUAAGACUCUUUACCAUUGUCUACCAAAUUAUUCUUUUCUUCGCGUCUAUGGUUGCACUUGUUAUCCUUUUCUCCAUCCUUUUAAUCGCCAUAAAUUUGCAUACCGAUCAGUUAAAUGCACCUUUAUUGGCUAUAGUUCUAAGCAUAAAGGAUAUCUAUGUUUGAACUUGUCCACUGGAAAAAUACAUAUAUCACGACAUGUUAUUUUUUAUGAACUAGAUUUCCCGUUUGCUAAGCCUUCUACAGUUCAACCUCCUUGUCAUGUUUCCCCCUCUCAUUGUGCCAUUCCUUUAGUAAUACCAACCACUCCAAUAUCUUCCCUCUUGCUUUCCUCAUCCAGUCCAUCUUCAGAGCUGGUUCCAAUCUCUUAUGAUAGUAUGUCAAUUUCCUCUUCAAAAGUUGCACCUAUUCCAAUAGCUCAACCGUCUUUCUCUCAUGUUCCUCCUUCUUGUCAUCCCAUGACAACGCAUGCCAAAAAUGGCAUUUUCAAACCCAAGAUAUUUCCAUCCCCUAUUAAGACUAUUUUUCAUUCACCUUGUGAACCGAAUUCCUUCAAGGAAGCUGCUAAAGUUCCUGAAUGGCAGCAAGCUAUGCACCUUGAAUUUGAAGCUCUUAUGAACAAUAAAACAUGGGUCCUAGUUCCUCCUCCGUCUAAUCAGAAUAUCAUUGGAUGUCGCUGGGUUUAUAAAUUGAAGUACAAACCUGAUGGAACUGUUGAACGCAAUAAAGCACGUUUGGUGGCUAAAGGAUUUCAUCAAACUCCUGGUUUUGAUUACUUUGAAACCUUCAGUCCCAUGGUUAAACCUACUACUAUUCGUGUGGUUCUCUCUUUGGCAUUAAGUAAAAAUUGGUCCAUCAGACAACUUGAUGUUCAUAAUGCCUUUCUUAAUGAUGAUUUAUUUGAGCAAGUUUUUAUGACACAACCCCCAGGCUUUGUGGAUCCCUCUAAGCCCAACUUUGUUUGUAAACUUACCAAGGCAUUGUAUGGUCUAAAGCAAGCUCCAUGGGCUUGGUUCACCAAACUCAGCUCCGCCUUAGUUAAAUGGGGUUUUUCCAUGUCUCAAGCAGAUACAUCAAUGUUUGUUUACUAUAACAAUUCUGCCAUGCUUGUUGUCUUGGUUUAUGUUGAUGAUAUUACUGUCACUGGCUCAAGUUCCUUGCUCAUUGAACAACUUAUGUCCUCCUUAAACUCUUGCUUUGCUUUCAAGGAUCUUGGUCCUCUUAACUUCUUUCUUGGAAUAAAGGUGUUGAAUUUUGGAUCUUCUUUGCAUUUAAGUCAAGCUAGAUAUAUCUGUCAUCUUCUUCAACGUGCUGGUUUGUCUGAAUCAAAGUCCAUGACUUCCCCAAUGGCUGCUGGCCCUGUUCUUUCCAUAGAUGAUGGUACCAGAUUAGAAGAUCCCACCUUGUACCGGAGUCUUGUGGGUGCCCUACAGUAUUGCACAAUCACUAGACCAUAUAUUGCUUAUACCGUUAAUAAGCUUUGCCAAUUUAUGCAUGCUCCAACCUCUACUCAUCUUCAAGCCGUGAAGCAUGUCCUUCGUUAUCUCAAAGGUUCAUUGUUUUAUGGGCUUUCUUUCCAACCAUCUUCUUCCCUUGAUCUUAUUGCCUAUACAGAUGCGGAUUGGGCAUCUUGCCCUAAUGAUAGAUGUAGCACCAAUGGCUACUGCAUAUUUUUUAAAGGCAAUCUGGUCUCUUGGUCAGCUUCUAAACAAAAGGUGGUUUCACGCUCUAGUACUAAAUCCGAAUAUAGGGGCUUGGAUAAGGCAACAGUUGAACUCACUUGGAUCCAGUACCUGCUUAAAGAAAUUUUUGUUCCCCUGUUUCAGUCUCCUGUUCUUUAUUGUGAAAAUCUCAGCACUACUUAUUUAGUUGCAAAUCUUGUCCUUCAUUCUCGGGCUAAACAUGUGGAAAUUGAUUAUCAUUUUGUUCGUGAGCAAGUCUUGCAAAAAAUUCUUGAUGUUCGAUUUCUCCCAUUUGAAGAUCAAGUUGCUGAUAUCUUGACCAAAGCUCUUUCAACUCAAUGUUUCCUCCAUCUCCAAAGCAAGCUCACAGUUCUUUCUCAUCCUGUGUGCUCGAGGAGGGAUGCCAAGUAGUUAACAACUUAACAAACUGUUAUUUAAGUAGUUAACAGGCUGUUUGUUGUAACUAAUUAGAUGUGUUUGUUAGUAACUGAUCUUUAGAUUCUUGUAUAUAAGAAACAGAGGACUGAUCAGUGUUGUAGUGGGAUAUAGCUCAAUUUCAGUUUCCGCCUUUCUGGUUUUCUCUCAAACAGAUGCUCUGCACAUCUUCUUCUUCUCUUCGUAUCUCUGAGUUCUUUUUGAACUCUCAUCAUAAUGUGCACCGAAGGGGCCAUACAUGUGGGCUGCAUACCCAUGGGAAAAAUUGGGAAGGUGUGCAUGGGGAGUGAAUGGUGGAAUGAGUGAUGGACAUGUUGGAUAGGUAUGAGAUUUAGGUUGCGUAGGUAUGAACGAUGAGAGAUGGGUAUGGUGACAGUGGGGUAAUCCAGUGGGUAUGAAGGUUGGAGAAAUGGUGGGUUUGCACAUAAGAAUUCUUGCAUGUUGAGGAUGAAUGAGAUGCAAUUUGCUGGAGAAAACAUCGAUUUCCAGCACACCAGAUCACCAAAAAUUACUAUCAUUCUUUUCACCAUUGAUCGCGUUUUCACCAUUGAUUAUUGCAUUUGGGUUCUCUUUACCAUCACUGAUGUCUAAAAGCUUCACAUGAUACAAGGCCCAACUCAAAAUUGCUCUCUCUCUUCGUUUUGACCAUCCAAACCUGUUUGUAGAUGAGCCAUGCCCUGUCUCUUGCAGCAGCUUUUUCUGAGCGUGGACUGCCACCACUAGAGCUGAGGUAUUCCAUUGACAACCGGAGCUACACCGCUACAUGAAUAGGAGUCAAAUGUUGCUCAUACCCUGCAUCUCGUCCCAUAUCUGACUUUCUGCAAUUCCUCUAGUCUGUCCUUGAAUAACCCACAGCUAGCAAAAUCUCCCACAAACUGUAUUAAAAGAGAGUAGACAAAUUCAUGCCACGAGCACAUAUCUAAUAUCUCGAUGCAUUCUUUAAGUAGAGGAUUCCAAGAACGAUGGGAAACAUCUUUUCCAGAAUAAUGAGAACCUGGCCAAGAAGAGUAUCGACUCUGUCAUUGGCUCGGGCCCAUGAAGAAGCUAUGAUUAGCCAACAAGACCAAGAGCAACUAAGGAAGUCAAAGGUAAAAGAAGUGUAGCUGGAAUCUGGGUGCCACCAUUCAAACUGUUGAGUAGCCAAGUGCUCUGUAACAAUGUCAUCUAAUAAGAGGACUCAUUGGACAUCUCUUCUAUGGACAAGUGGGGCAUCAACAAAUUCUGAAAGGUGUCAUUGAGUCAACUGAAACUCUCUUGAACCUCAUAAUAGAAACCUACUCAUCAAAUCAUAGUCCAUUCCCACCAUAUUGGCCGCCUUCAAAAAUAACACUGAUGAGGCCCGAAGUUGUUGAAACAUCUGAAGGCUCUUCUGACAAUUUUUUGCACAGCUUCACGAGAAAUCUUCUCAAACCAUUUCUCAAGGAUGUCUAUACAAUGAAAGGUGCUAAUUACUUGGUCAAUGUUUUAUAUUAACACACUAUUAAUCAUGACUUACAAUUUUUUCUUCGAAUUAUUGAAUUGGAGAUGAGUCAAAUGCAACUGCUUAGAUGUUAACUAUCUUUCCUCUGUCAUAAAUAAACAAAUGGUUAAUUAAGUCUUAUUCUAUUGUUAUUAAAAAAAAAAUAGAACAACAUAUGAAAAUAAAAAAGGAUUUACAUAUUAAAAGAAAUGUGCAUUCCUAUGAUUUAUAGGGAUAUUAGUGCUCAUAAUGAGGAGGCAAAGUCAACUCUCCAACAAUGAUCUCACACAUAGAUAACUCCUAGAAUUGUAAUGUUUAUGUUUAUUUUUACGGUGUAAUUAGAAGAUUAUUUAUAUAAAAGUUCUCAAUAAUAUUUCUAGCUUCAAUUGCCACAUACACCAAGUUUUACAUGGCAUCAAAGUAUGAACUAACAAGCCAAAAUAUGUUUUCUUCUUUAUUCUUUUUUUCUAUUAAAAAAUUGAACUUGAAUUCAAUAUUUAGUAAUUUCACAAGUGUUCUAAUUUCAUCUUAAUCAAACUAAAAUAUUACAAAGUUUUCUAUUUGGAAAAAUCAAGUUCUCCCUUAGUUUUAUUUGUGGCCUCAGUAUUCACCAUUAUUUUUUAAAUAAAACGAGGAAAACAAAAGUAUCCUAACCUACAAUACUAGAUAUGGGUCAAUAAUAAUGGGCUUCUCACUUUAUGGCUUCUUCAAACCAUGAAAGGAGGCAUUUUAAAGAUGAUAUUUCAUGUUGAAAUGAUAGAUGAUCGAGGUAUGAACUGCUCUUGAAGAGUAUUUGCCCCUUACCAUAGUGGAGAAUGAAAGAAACCUAGAAAAUAUAUUCAUGACCCUCAAAAAGAGGUCAUUGUCUCUUAAAGAGUAUUUAGGGGACUUCAAAACUAUAUGUGACAAUCUUGCAACAAUCAAAAAUCUUGUUUCAAAUCAAGACAAAGUUUUUCAAUUUGCUCAUGGCUUAGGACAUGACAAAGAUAUGAAAAGUUUUUAAAUUUUCAUUUAGUCUAAAAUCAAUUUGCCAUUACAACACAAUUUUAUUUACUCUGACUAUGAUGAUUUUGCUUCUUUAUUUUAAAAUAUUUACUUCAUUGUGGAGGUAUUUUCCCAAAAAAAAAAAGGUUUUCCCAUUGUUACAAGUGAUGACUUUCACACUUGCUUUAAAGAUAUAAGAUUUAGAUUUAACCAAUGUAACCUAUUUCACUUUGAGAAGCAUUUUUUAAAGAACUAUUUCAUUCAUUAUAUGAAAAAUUAUCAAAUUUGACAUAAUUUUCAUGAAUUUCAUAAAUCUAAAAUCUCAUUUAGAAAUCAAACUUAGAAGAUUCCCUAUUAAUCAAGAAAAAUAGAAAAUCUUACAUUACCUAUACAUCAAAUUCUAUAUUUACUCCAAUCUUAGAGUCUAGAGUGUCAUUAAAAUAUCUCUAGGGAUAAUAGAGAGAAGCCUCACUUUUAAAAGAACUUCAUAAAUGAAAGAUCACUCAAAAUAAAUAAAAUAGUGAAUGUAUUUUCAAUAUUUAAUCAUUGUAUAUAUAAAAGAGUUAAAAUAAAUAAAAUAAAUUUAAAGUAUAAUAUAAAAAUAAUUUAUUAUUUAAUUUUUUUUGUCUUACUCUUUUUUCUUUCCAUUUUAUUAUUUUCAGAUAUUUUAAUAAAGAAAAAAAAUGUUAAGGGUCUUUUUCAUAUUUAAUCUCAUCAUAAAAAAUAUAAAAGAAAAUUAAAUAUAUAGUUAAAAAUUUUAUAUUUUAAAUAAUUUAAUCUUUACAUAUGAGAAUAAGUGAAAUCGGUUUUAAACCAAAAAUUUAAAUUUCUUUAAUCUUUGCAUAUGAGAAAUAAGUGAAAUCGAUUUUAAGCAGUAUAUAAAAAUAAUUUAUUAACUUUAAAUUAAUUUUUUAACUUUUUAAUUUAUGUUUCCUUCUUAUUUUCUUUUUAUUUAUUUAUUUUUUAAGUUGUGUUUGGUUUUCAGAAAUUAUUAAGGAAAAAAGAAAAUAAUAAGGAAAAUGAUUUUCUUGUUUGAUUACAAUAUAGAAUAUAGCAAUAAAAAUGAAAUAUAAUUAAAAUUAAUAAAAACUUAUACAUUCUCUAAUCUAUGUAUUAAAGAAAUAAAAUAAAUAAAAUAAGUUUGGAGUAACAUAUAAAAAUAAUUUAUUGAUUUUAAAUUUAUUUUUUAUUUUCCUUUGUGUUUUUUUCUUUCUUUCUAUUUUCUUCCCCUUUCAUUUUCCCUCAAAUGUUUUUGAGCCAAACAUAGCUUUUGAGUUUUAGUAACCAAACAUAAGCAUGAUGUUAGAACUUCGAGGAAACAUGAAUACAAUUUAUAGUUAUAAUGAUACAUGUGAUCUCUCUUUCAUGAUCAAUCCAAGAAGAACUUGGAGUCCCCAUCACCUAAACCCUUAUCAACUGCUAUUUUACAUAUGAACUACUAUUUUACAUGAUCAAUCCUAAUAGUCUCAUACACUUCUUUGUUAGACUUCAGCCAGCCACAAGUAUUGGUUGAAGGAAAUAAGACAACAUUCAACAAACAAGAAUUGAUUUCUUAAUUCAUGAUACAAUGAAAGGUGCUAAUUACUUGGUCAAUGUUUUAUAUUAACACACUACUAAUCAUGACUUGGCUAAUAAAAUAGCCUUACAAUAACUAAUUGAUAAGAAAAACAGCCCACGUUUUACACUAACAAAUAACGUGGUAAAGAGUAGAGAAUAAGUCAAAGCUGGAAACUACCCUGCUUAUAAAACUACCCUGCUUAAUAGGAAUUAUUAAAAAAAAAAAAAAAAACUAAACAAUCAGAAAACUUAAAUCUUGACAAGGACAUAGUUCUGAUCAAUUAUGAGAAGAUGAAAACUUGUUGCGAAGACAGAUUCUGAUUUUGCAAGCUUGGGUAGACCAGAUGUAACCUAAUUCACUUUGAGAAGCAUUUUUUAUAGAACUAUUUCAUACAUGAAAUGAAAAAUGAUCAAAUUUGACAUAAUUUUCAUGAAUUUCAUAAAUCUAAAAUCUCAUUUAGAAAUCAAACUUAGAAGAUUCCCUAUUAAUUAAGAAAAAUAGAAAAAUCUUACAUUACCUAUACAUCAAAUUCUAUAUUUACUCCAAUCUUAGAGUCUAGAGAGUCAUUAAAAUAUCUCUAGGGAUAAUAGAGAGAAGCCUCACAUUUAAAAGAACUUCAUAAAUGAAAGAUCACUCAAAAUAUUUAGGAAAACAAUAUCAUAUCAAUUAAUCAAACUAUCAAACUAUCAAACCACAGGUAUGUUAACUAAUAAGUAAGGACAUAGUUCUGAUCAAUUAUGAGAAGAUGAAAACUUGUUGCGAAGACAGAUUCUGAUUUUGCAAGCUUGGGUAGACCAGACACAGCAUUACUGGUACAUGCUGAUGAACUAGCUGCUGAAGAUUCCCAACUCGAAAACUAUUGAUCUGUCUUGAAACCAGCCUAGGAGUGAGACACCAAGGCUAAUCUACUGGAAUGAAGCAUUGCAAUACCUUGGGCUGCCAUGGAAAUGCAAUGAAAGUUGGCUUUCUUGACAAGCUUGAUCUUGGGAUGCCAAUCAUUGCAUUACUAAGUGAUGCUUAUGGGGCCACAUCCCCGUUAUGCUUGUUGGAGACUUUAACAGCAUGCCACCAAGUACACCGUAUCAGUUUCUGGCCUCAUCUAAAAUGGAACAUCAGUCACAACAUAGAGCCUACAGAUACCAGCAGAAUGAAGAUGCAUCCAGAACAAGGCCAUUCAUGCAUACAUGGAGCAAUGAAGAAUUAAGGCCCGCCACUGGCAGCGAUGGAGUUAUCUCAUAUGGUCCUUGUCAAACUCCUAUUCUUGGCUUCUGUGUACAGCACCACUGGAAGUUUUCCCACUCCAAUAUCAGAAAGUUGAAAUAUUCUCAAGAAAUGACCUGACCUCCAGGUUGACCUUGGCUGUUGAUACUGCUUCCAUUGGACCUCUUCCUCUCUUGGGUUCAUUCAUCACUCAGAUGGGUACAAAUGACUACAGUUCAAUUCCUUAACAACUCAAAGAUCACAAAUGCGAGGGAUCAUAUGGAACUAGAUGGCCUAUAGAAAAAAGAUGGUGAAAGAGCAGAGAAGGUGGACUCAUUAACAGCUGAAGUCAAAAGGCUAAAGGAUCUUUUGUUAUUUCCACAUUAAAAUUAAGUGGGUGGCCCACUAACCUAGUAUUUAGCCAAUUAAAAGAAUACCCAAUAUCUUUAAACUGUUAUAAAGAUAUUUACCCUUGAUGGAGUGGGUAAAUUAUAAUAAUUUUAAUAUUAUUAUUUGGAAUAAAAACAGUUAUUCGAAUAACACGUUUAGAACGAUUUUUGAACGUGUAUUCUUGGCCCUCUUCUCCUAUCAAUAAGAUAUAUAUAUAGAAACCCCUUCAUGUGCGGUGAGUACUCUCUUCCAUCAAUUACAGAAAACAAUUCUGUGUAUUAAGGUUUGAUAAGGAGAAGAAGAGAUAAAGGAUUUAAGAUCUAUAAACUGAAGGGAAAUCUCUCAUGGCUGCUUGUUCUUCAAACGGUAUGUAAUCUAUUUUUAAUUAAUGUUUUUAUUAUUUUAUUAUUAGAGAUGAGUUUGAAUUCAAUGAUCUGGAAUAUCGUGUGUUAAUUUCCGUAUUAAAUAUCAACAAUUGGUAUCAGAGCAAGGUUGAAUUUAAAUAUUCAGAAUCACUGUUUUAUAAAGAUUAAAUUUUGAGAUUUAUCUUCGAUUAAUUCGUCUCACUAAAAUGAAUAAAAAAAAAAUUAAUUAAACAAAAUAAAGACCAGCCUCAACGCGUAGAAGGAAGAUUUUUAUUUUUCCUUGCAACGCUAACUGGAUCAAUGCCGAUGAGGGGCGCUGGUUUGGCGGACUGGUUUGGCGUCAGUCCGGUGGCCGUUUUCUGACGCCAUUGCCGGUGCCAUCGCGCCGUUUUCAGGCGCCAAUCCAGGCGCCAUUGUCGGAGCACCAUCUCGCCGUUUGCGCGCUGGUUGCAGGCGCCAUUGUUGGCGCCAGUCCAGGCGGCAUUACUGGCCCCAUUGAAGGCACCAUCUCGCUGUUUGCGCAUUGGUUGCAAGCGCCAUUGCUGGCGCCAUUGAAGGCGCCGUUUUUAGGCGCUAUCUUCUGGUUGCAAGUGUCGUUUCCUCGCCGUUUCAGGCGCGCUUCAAACACCAGACUAGAAGCUUCAAUAAAGGAGAAAUACAGAAUCACAACACUGGUUAGCCGAUUGUCAUCAUCACUUAUUUGAAUAUGAAACUGAAAUCCUCUUUUAAGAUGUCCAUGCAGCUUGUGCUAUUUGAACAACAAUUUCAUGAAACAAAAAAAAAAACUAUUCAAGUCAUAGCUUUAGCUUUAGGUUGAAAUUCAAAAAAAUAAAAGGUGCAUAAGACUUUAGUUUGAUAUACAAUGUAAAUUGAUUAUUGAAUCAGAUGAUUAUUAAAGAUACUAUUUCCUUGAUUUUUUAUUAUUUGAUUUGAACCUUUGUGAAAUUAUUAUUGUAUCUGAUGAAUGCAGAUUUCUUUGAUUUUAUUAUGAUUGAUUAUUGAAUUAGAUGAUUAUUAAAGAUACUAUUUCCUUGAUUUUUUAACUCAAAUAAAAGAAUUAAUUUCAUCUUGUGAAAUUUUAUCCAAAUGACAAUUUAUAAAUGUAAGGUUAACUAAUUUAGAUAGUUGCCAAAGUAACCUAAAUUAGUGAGCCUUGUAUUUAUUGAAUUGCAUAAAAGAAUAAAGGGAGACUUGUAAAAUUCUUAAUAAUUCUCUUUAUAAUUAGGAGAAUGAGACUAACCCAAAGGAGAGUCAAUUUCUACUAAUUAUUAAUUAAUGUUUUUAUUUUGUGUUGCUUAGAAAGGUAAAAUGGAUACCCAAAGGUAACAUAUAAAUGACACAAAAUAGUAAAGUGUUUUAAGCUCCCUCCAAGUGAACACUGGAUAUGUUAAAAUUUACCCAAAGGAGAAUUUUAAUGAUAUCAAUAGUUCAUUGCUAUUUAUUUUAUACUUGAGGCUUUAUUGUCAGCAUUGUUCUAUUUUGUACAGUUCCCACUUCAUUACACUCUCUUGCAUCUGGAAUGACUGUUUUUGAUGGGUCGAACUUUUCUGAAUGGUAUGAAAGGGUUCAAUUCUCACUGGGCGUAUUGGAUCUUGACCUGGCUUUAAUAACUAAUAAACCUCUUGAAGCUAUGGAUGACAGUACUCCGGAGCAAGUGGAACAAUCAAAAGCUUGGGCAAGAUCCAACAAACUCAGUCUGAUGUUUAUGAGAAUGACUAUUGCCAAUAAUAUCAAGACCUCUCUCCCUCAAACCGAGUUUACCUCGGAAUUUCUGAAAUCUGUUGAGGAGCGCUUCAAACGCGCUGAUAAGUCUCUUGUAGGCACAUUGAUGGCUGAAUUGACCACCAUGAAAUAUGAUGGUCAGAAAGGUAUUCAGCAACAUAUUUUAAACAUGACUGAAAAGGCUACAAAGCUUAAGGCACUAGGCAUGGGUAUGGAUGAGUCCUUCUUGGUACAGUUUGUCCUUAACUCACUUCCAUCAUAGUUUGCUACAUUCAAAAUCGACUAUAAUACUAACAGUGAUCAGUGGAACUUGAAUGAUCUCACCAGUAAAUGUAUAUAAGAGGAAGUGAGAUUAAGACAAGAAGGACAUAAUCUUGCUCUUGCUGUAACUCAUGGAGUCAUGAAGAAGAAAGGAAAAUUCAAAAAAGGAAAGAACUUUCCACCUAAGAAAAGCGGACCUGGGGAAGGUAGCCAGAGUCAUGAUGGAAAAUUCACGGUAAGUUGCUACUUUUAUGGCAAGAAAGGGCUUGUGAAGAAGGACUGUAACAAGAGCAAGGCUUGGUUCGAAAAGAGAGGUAUAAAUCUUUCUUUUGUAUGUUAUGAAUCCAAUCUUGCUGAAGUUCCUUCAAAUACUUGGUGGAUUGAUUCUGGAGCCACAACUCAUGUGACUAAUUUAAUGCAGGGAUUCCUUACAACCAGGAAACCAAAGGAAAGUGAAAAGUUCCUCUAUAUGGGAAACCGUCUCAAGGUUGAAGUGGUAGUUGUUGGUACCUAUCGCUUACUAUUAGAGACGGGUCAUUGGAUGGAUCUUUUAAACACUUUUUAUGUACCUUCUAUCUCUAGGAAUUUAGUUUCCUUAUCCAAAUUAGAUGCUACUGGAUAUUCUGUUUUAUGUUCUGGACAAUUAAGUUUGAUGUUAAAUUCUGUUACAGUUGGUUCUGGUAUUUUAUGUGAUGGUUUAUAUAAAAUUUCCUUGAAUCAUGAAUUUGCACAAGCUUUGAUAACCCUACAUUCAAAUUUUGGUUCAAAACGUGGCUUAAUUAAUGAAAAUUCUUCAAUCUUAUGGCACAGAAGACUAGGGCACAUCUCUAGGGAAAGAAUUGAGAGAUUAGUGAAGGAAGGAAUUUUACAAAAUCUUGACUUCACUGAUUUUCAUGUAUGCAUGGAUUGCAUAAAGGGAAAGCAAACUAAACAUACAAAGAAAGGUGCCACAAGAAGUAAUGCGCUCCUUGAGAUAAUUCAUACAGAUAUUUGUGGACCAUUCUCUGUUCCAUGUUUUACAGGAGAGAAAUAUUUUAUCACCUUUAUAGAUGAUCUAUCUCGUUAUGGUUAUGUUUAUCUAAUGCAUGAAAAGUCUCAGGCCAUUGACAUCUUCGAGAUGUUCAUAACAGAGGUCGAGAGACAAUUAGAUAAAAAGAUUAAAAUUGUGAGAUCAGAUCGAGGCGGUGAAUAUUAUGGCAGAUAUGAUGAAUCACGACAAAAUCCUGGUCCUUUUGCCAAAUUCCUUGAAAAGUGUGGCAUUCGUGCUCAGUACACAAUGCCUGGUAUGCCACAAUAGAAUGGUGUUGCUGAAUGGCGUAAUCGCACAUUAAUGGAAAUGGUUAGGAGUAUGAUGAGUUACUCUUCUGUACCUAUUUCAUUGUGGGGUGAAGCCUUAAAAACCACAAUAUAUAUCUUGAACAGAGUUCCUAGUAAGGCAGUUCCAAAAACACCUUUCGAGUUAUGGACUGGUAGGAAACCUAGCUUGAGACAUAUACAUAUAUGGGGUUGUCCAGCGGAGGCAAGAAUCUAUAACCCACAUGAGAAAAAGCUUGAUUCAAGAACGAUAUCUGGAUAUUUCAUUGGCUAUCUGGAUAAAUCGAAAGGGUACAGAUUUUAUUGUCCUAACCACAGUGUGAGAAUAGUUGAAACCGGUAAUGCCAGAUUCUUAGAGAAUGGCGAAAUCAGUGUGAGUAAUGAACCAAGAAAGGUAGAUAUUGAGGAGAUAAGAGUGGAUAUCCCACCACCUUUUUUACCUCAAGAAAUUAUUGUCCCUCAACCUGUUCAACAAGUUGAGGAAAAUGAGCAACAUAAUAGAGAUGGUUCAUUACCACCAGAAAAUAUUGCCAUUGAAAAUGUUGUAGAGCCACCACAACCGACACCUUUGAGGAGAUCUCAAAGAGAAAGGAGACAUGCCAUUACAGAUGAUUAUGUGGUGUAUCUACAGGAAUCUGAUUUUGAUAUUGGGAUAAGGAAGGAUCCGGUUUCAUUUUCACAAGCCAUGGAAAGUGAUGAUUCUAGUAAAUGGAUGGAAGCUAUGAAUGAAGAGUUGAAAUCUAUGGCCCAUAAUGGUGUCUGGGAUCUCAUCGAAUUGCCUAAUAGUUGUAAACCCGUCGGCUGUAAAUGAGUCUUUAAGACAAAGCACGACGCUAAAGGCAAUAUCGAACGAUUUAAGGCCAGACUUGUGGCCAAAGGUCUCACUCAAAAGGAAGGUAUCAAUUACAAAGAUACCUUCUCUCCAGUUUCCAAGAAAGAUUCGCUAAGAAUCAUCAUGGCACUUGUAGCUCAUUUUGAUUUAGAGUUACAUCAAAUGGAUGUGAAAACUGCAUUCUUAAAUGGGAAUUUGGAUGAAGAUAUCUACAUGGAACAACCUGAAGGGUUCACAAAGAAAGGAAAUGAACACCUAGUUUGCAAAUUAAAGAAAUCCAUUUACGGUCUUAAAACAAGCUUCCAGACAAUGGUAUAUUAAGUUCAAUAAUGCCAUUACAUCUUUCGGAUUUAAAGAGAACAUUGUUGAUCAGUGUCUAUAUCUGAAAGUUAGUGGGAACAAGUUUAUAUUUCUGAUACUGUAUGUGGAUGAUAUUUUGCUUGCUAGCAGUGAUCUUGGUUUAUUACGUGAAACCAAGGAAUAUCUCUCUAAAAACUUUCAUAUGGUUGAUAUGGGUGAGACAAACUAUGUUAUUGGCAUCGAGAUCUUUAGGGAUCGAUCUCGAGGAGUGCUAGGUUUAUCUCAGGAAGGAUAUAUUGAUCGGGUUUUAGAGAGAUUUAAUAUGCAAUCAUGUUCAUCGGGUAUUGCACCUAUAUUGAAAGGUGACAAAUUAAGUAAAAUGCAGUGCCCAAGGAAUAACAUGGAAAGGGAGCAAAUGAAGAAAAUUCCUUAUGCAUCAGCUGUGGGGAGUUUGAUGUACGCUCAAACAUGUACAAGACCGGAUAUAAGCUUUUCUGUAGCCAUGUUAGGAAGAUACCAAAGUGAUCCAGGAUUCGAACACUAGAAAGUUGCAAAGAAGGUGAUGAGGUACUUACAAGGGACAAAGGAUUAUAUGCUCACAUAUAAAAGAUCAGAACAAUUAAAGGUUGUCGGUUACUUGGAUUCUAAUUAUGGUGGUUGUCUCAAUAGCUUAAAGUCAACUUCAGGAUUUGUCUUUAUUCUAGCAAAUGGGGCAAUCUCGUGGAAGAGUGAAAAACAAUCAAUUACUGCUUCAUCCACGAUGGAGGCCGAGUUUGUUGCUUGUUUUGAAGUUCAAGUCAUGCUCUAUGGUUGUGGAAUUUUUUCUCAGGGCUUGGUGUUGUCAACUCUAUUGCUAAACCUUUGAGAAUAUAUUGUGAUAACACCGCAGUUGUUUUCUUCUCUAAGAAUGGCAAAUUUUCUAGUGGAUCGAAACACAUGGAUUUAAAGUAUUUAGUUGUUAAAGAAAGAGUCCAGAAACAACAAGUGUCAAUUGAAAAUAUUAGAACCACAUUUAUGGUUGUUGAUCCAUUAACUAAAGGAUUACCUCCAAAGGCAUAUUUGGAACAUGUUAUGAGGAUGGGCCUUUUGAGUAAUCCAUAAUAUGUAUGAUAAUGAAUGGUGGUUAUGUAAUUGACAAUUUGCGCAUUAAAAUUGUUUCUGUUUAUUCUUGUUUUCAAUUAUAGGUGACGUUUUAUUGUUUGAUAAACAAGAAUUGUCCUGACAAGACAAAUUACAGGGGUUAUUUGGCAUUAAGGACUGGGUUAGUAAGGGUUAUUGAUGUGUGGUGCAUGGAAGGAAACAUGACAUUAUGGUUAUGUGACCGCCAUGACUCGCAUUUAUGAUCUAAACUGAUUCAGUAUUAUGGUAUAUGAUUUUGGACGUGUUGGCUAAGUUUAUUGAAAUCAUGAUCACGUGUCAAAUUUAUUUUCCAGUAUAUAUUUUAUAUAUAAACUAAAUAUAUUAUAGUUUUCAUAAUCGGUUUAGUGGGCCAAGUGGGAGAAUGUUAUUUCCACAUUAAAAUUAAGUGGGUGGCCCACUAACCUAGUAUUUAGCCAAUUAAAAGAAUACCCAAUAUCUUUAAACUGUUAUAAAGAUAUUUACCCUUGAUGGAGUGGGUAAAUUAUAAUAAUUUUAAUAUUAUUAUUUGGAAUAAAAACAGUUAUUCGAAUAACACGUUUAGAACGAUUUUUGAACGUGUAUUCUUGGCCCUCUUCUCCUAUCAAUAAGAUAUAUAUAUAUAGAAACCCCUUCAUGUGCGGUGAGUGCUCUCUUCCAUCAAUUACAUAAAACAAUUCUGUGCAUUAAGGUUUGAUAAGGAGAAGAAGAGAUAAAGGAUUUAAGAUCUAUAAACUGAAGGGAAAUCUCUCAUGGCUGCGUGUUCUUCAAACGGUAUGUAAUCUAUUUUUAAUUAAUGUUUUUAUUACUUUAUUAUCAGAGAUGAGUUUGAAUUCAAUGAUCUGGAAUAUUGUGUGUUAAUUUUCGUAUUAAAUAUCAACAUCUUUGCUAUCACAGACGUAAUCAGAAGAAGAGGCCAAGCAAGCUGCCUCUAGUCUAGGUGGCACAACCCAAAUAGAUGGAAUUGGAGAUAUGCUUGAAGUGAGUUUGAAAGAGGUUAUUUAGGCACAAGCACAACAACAUGAAUUGUCGUUUAAGCUUUUGUUGAUGAUUCAAGUUGGGAUUCUGAGAAACUAGAGUUGAGUUGGAGUGCCUUGGCUGAUGAGGUAGUGCGCCAAAACCCAAUGAGCCCUCUAAAAUCAAUAUGGUCAGUUCUUUUCCAGACUACCAGCAAUCUGCAUAGGUCUCCUCAUGCAACCACCAGUGGUGCAGUCUCAGUCCUAUCCCUGGGCCUCACUCCUGCAUGGCUACCUUAAUGCACACUGUCCUCUCCCAAAUGCAUUUCUAUUGUUUCUUUGUGAUCUUACAUGUUUUUAAUCGGGUUUUCAAAUGUUUUUUCAUUCAGAUAAUCUCGGGUUUAAAAAUUAAUCCUUAAACAUUUUUAGGCAUUAAAAUCCUAAUUUUUAAUAAACACUUGCAACCAUUCUUCUCCUAGCAUGAACCUUCCUAAUUUUCUUUAAUUUUCAACAAUUUUCUCGAUUUUUAAUAAACAUGAAUAAAUUCCAUAAUUCCAAAAAUAAUGGAAUUCCUUCCAAAUUCCUGUAAUUCCUCUAUAAUCAUUAGAGUUAGAAUUUAUAGGAUUAGCUCAUGCAAAAAUAAAAUUAGGCCUUGAUGGGAGCCCAACAUCCAUGAUAUUUUCCUUCAUAAUAAUCCAAGUGAAAUGCAUCUUAGGUAUUUAUUGACUUUGAUCUGUUUGUGAAGUGUGUGUGAUUAUUUUCUAUGGUACACUAACCUUGUUUCUUUGAGACAUUUUUGUUGUUGCAUAGGUAUGCUUUCAUCUCUACCUUGUCUAUUUAUUUAUUCCUCAUUAUCAUGCAUGAUUUGUUUUAGUCCAUGACUCUUGCUCCUUGGCAUCCACCAAUUAACUAGUCAAUUACCAUACUUGCUUCAACUUGAUUAGUAGAAACCUGAUUUUAGGGCUUGGAGGAGUGCAAUGACUUAUCAUCAUAACUUCUUAAUAGAUAACUUGACCCUCGGAUCCUAACUCAGUUUUCACAAACUUGCUUUUCCCUUUUAAGAGUCACAAUUAGGGGUUUUUUUUUUUUUCUUAUUUUGUUUUCCUUUCUUAAAAAUAAUAAAAAAUAAUUGAUGACUCCAAGUCUUUUCCUAAAAAUAAAAUAUUUCACAAAUAAAAAGCGAGUCAUGCUAUCAAGUGGAAAUGCAUGUGAAAAAUGCAAGUCCACAAGAUCCUAUAAUGGGGCAUUUUUCACCACUUUGAGCUUAUUAGAUUCACAUCAUAUUCAAUUGGGGCUUCAUUAGGGACAUGAUUCUAUUCUUGAGACUAUCAAACCUCUUGUCAUUCUGGUCAUCCUUUUGAGAUUUGAUUUGGAGCAUUUCCUUUGAGACAUGGACAAAUUUAUAUUUUGAUUUCUUAGUUCAUUAUCAUUGAGUUGGAGACAUCACGAUUACCAUAGUUUCUUCAGGAGUAUUUUUACCCAAUCAGACAAGUGAGGAUGUUUAUGCUUUUUAAAUAUGUAACAAAGUUCUAUAAUUGCUUCAAUCCAUGUUUUAAAAAUUGUAUUUCUUUCUAAUAUUGGAGCAAACUUUUUCUUUCUUAUAAAUUUCAUUUGGGAAUGAUUUAAAAAUAAAUAAAUAAAACUCCUUCUAAAUAUUAAAAAGUAACACUUUCUUAUAAAAAUUAAUUAGGUGGAUGGUAAGGUCAAAUUCGGGAUAGCUUCAUAUUUUUUGCUUUAACUUAAAAUUAAAAUCAAAAUUAAAGUAAUAAUUUUUAAGGGGUAAUAUUGAUAUUGUAAGAGUUUUACUAAACAUGAAAGAACUUCUUAUAUAUAUAUAAAAUAGAAUUAUAAAAUUCUUAUAAAACAUAACAUUUUGAUGACUUGUACAUGAAAUCUUUUUUAAAAGUUAUAAGUUUUUUAAAAAUAUAUAUGAAAAUCACUUUUAAAAAUCCAAAAAAUCCCUUAAAAAUAAUUUCUAAACAUUUUUUUAACUUAGAUUUAAAAAAUAAAUGAGUAAAAAAUGAUUUGUUUUUACUAGUUAUUUAAUUUUAAGGAAGCAAUAAAGGGUUUAAUUUGAUGUAAAAUAAAAGAUAAAUAAAUAAAUAAAUAAAUAAAAUGAGGGUUGAAAAGUAAUUAAAUCACUAAAAAAUGGAAUUGGAGUUCCUUCGGUGUGGGGUUAAACUCAAUUUGUCCCAUGCAAUGGAAAUGGACGAUUUUUAUUUUUAUUUUUUUCCUUUUCCUUUAUCUUGGUGUAGUCUUGUGAUAUUGUUACUAAAAUAGUAGGUAAAAAUAUAAAUUAUGUAUCAAUUAUUUUAAAUUUAGAAAAAAAAAAUGCUUAUUUUAAUUUCAAAUAAAUAAAUAGAAAAAAAACUAAUUUUAUCUCAAUUGUGCAAGACUUUAUAAAAAAAUUCUUAUUUGCAAAAUAUUUUGAGUUGUAAAAGUAAAAUUUAAACAAAUCAUUUCAUGACCUUUUUAACAAGUAUCCAUUUAGAUCAUAGUCUAAUUUUUAAAUAUUUGAAUAAUCCAAUUACUCUAAACUAUGUCAUUUAUAAUUUUUUUUAAUUAUUAAUAUGAUACCUAAGCUUCUACAGAAUUGGAAUAAAAUAUGGAUAAGUAAAAAAUGUCAAAUAAAAGAUAAUUUCAAUCUUUUCUAAUACAACAUAAUAUUUUAUCAUGUUGAAUAAAAUUGGAAUGGGCAAAAGUUGUCAAAUCAAGACUUACAUGGAAAAUUCCACCAUUGCAUAUCUCAAUGAUUAUUCUACAACAUUAUCUUUGUAGACUUUUAAUAAUCCAAGAAAUCGACAAAUUAUAUAAUAAUCCCAAACACACAAUAUUCUACAAUUUUUUUGAAUAAAAAAUAAAUAAUGAAAUUUGAAUAAUGCAAACAUUCAAUGAAAUCUUUGGCAUGUUAAUUCUUUGCAGCUUCAACAUGCUGGCAUGUCGGAUGGCGAAGGCAGCAUUUGAGCUUCUGGGUGUUUACCAUUUUUCACUAUGAACGCAGUUUCCAUGCCCCAAGUCACAUGGCGUUCUACAUGGCAGUGCAUGAACCACACUCCUGCAAUAGAGCAAAUAUACCAACAUUACACCUAACUUAUUGCAAUAUUAAGAAAAAUUAUUUCAAGGGUUUUUUUUUAUAAUAGAGGACGUGAGUGCUUGCAACAUACCAGGGUUGGAUGCCUCAAAUCUGAUUGCAACCCAACCAUUCGUAGGAACGGAGAUGGUACUCUGAAGGGGAGGAUCCACCAGAUUAUAGCGUAAAGGGUCCCUAUUUUUAUCGAAAUUCCCAAAUCCCCAUCCAACAAGGUAGAAACUGUAUCCAUGGAGAUGCAUGGGGUGGUGUGUCCCUGCAACCAAGUUUGUCCCUUGAAAAACAAUCUCCACUGUGGAGUUAUACUCGAGCACCCUUACUUCUGUUCCGAUUUCUGGCGUCUGAUACUCUAAUGGAAGAUAAUCAGCUGUAAAAUCAAACACCAGUGGUGGAACGCUAGGAAAUUUAUCUCCAUAUACACCACUGAUGUUAUAAUAGUAAGCUUGUAGUAUGUCAAUCGUAGGGGAUUGGAAGCUUAUGUUGUUUAUACUUGCGGAGAAUCGCGUCCCAUUGGGCCCUGCACAUGAAUUAUUAGGGCAUAGGAACGAGUUUACAGAAACAGUGUAAAUUAGUUUAGUGCUCGGGCUCAAUGGGACAUUGGAAGGAUGUUCCGCAUCUACUAAGCUUCGGAGGCCAACCAUGACCUGAACCGAUGCAUUUGUGUCAUUAUAUGCAGGAAAAUGAGGCAAGGAGAGAGGUGAAGAUGAAGUGUAGUAACCUCUAUAAUGUACAAUAGCUGUGGUGGUUGUGUUAUCAUAAAAAUUUUGAGCUAUCGGGGCAAUGGAAUAAGUUUUAGCCGCCAUGUAAUAGUGAUCUGGGCGUUGGUUAGCUUCUAGUAAGACAUCGAGGUUUGGCCAGGAUAUAUUGUGAUAUAAUCUCGUGUCAAUGGUUUCGUGUAGCUACCAUAUGUUCCAACCACUGUCAUUUUAUGCUUGGCAAUGGAGAAGAAGAGAGCCUCAUGCAAGGCAGCAUUGAUUAUGCGAAGUAGAUAGGUCUUUCCAUGAUCCACUCUUAGCUUGAAUGUGCCUGCAAUUAGAAAGGAAAAGUUGUAUACUUAUGACUAGCGAAAAGAAAAAAACUUUCCAUGAGCAUCCACCAAUUAUGAAGUGAUUGAUUAAUUAAGGGUGUAAAUUUGGCUCCAUAGUUCAAAUUUAUAUUUGGACUAGCCUUUUCUUAUGUGUUAAGUCAUGGCUCUACCAUCCUCAUAGCUAUAUUCCUCUUUCUUAGCAUUAAGUUUUCAAUAUGUUUAUAUUAAUAAGAAAAAGUAAUAUGGUUAACAUACAAGAAAAUGACAUCAGUGCACAAUUUUAAAAUGGGAAGUUAAACUUUAUACCUGAUUUUGAGCAUGGAUAUAGAUCACUGGGUUGUCCAUUUAUCAAUAAAGAAUCAGAGGCAUUAGGGUCAGCUCUGGUUGCAAGCCCUUCAUCUCGAACCGCAUUCACAUCACUCUUCCACCAUUGUCCUGCAUUUCAACAACUCCAAUAAUUUAGAUUUCGCUUUGUUAGUUAAUUCAUGAUAUGGAAAUUAACCUUUAAAAGGAACUACACUUAUACCUAAUAUGAUGGGAAUUUCUGCGUUAGGUUUGGGAAAAGGAUACUUGGUUCCAUUCUUGGGAUAAACGAUUAUAGCUCCAUGAACAGUGGCUCGGGUCCAGUCAUUGUGAGCAUGCCACCAUAGAGUGCCUUCCUCGGAGGAAAGGAUGAUCUUUUGGCUAAACUUUGACCCUGGUUGAAUUGGGCAUUGUGUGAUAUACUCGGGACCAUCUGUCCAUGGAUAUCUAGGCAUGUUCACCCCAUGCUUGCAAAACAAUAACUAUACGUUAAAACUAGUACUAAUUUUCGGACUAACAAAAGAUGGCAUGUAGCAACAUAUUAUCAUAGUAACAAGAGGCAUCAACUGUAUUUCAAUGGAACUAAUGCAAAUAACCCUAAAAUAUUAUUUUAAAUUUAACUUUAUUUGCAAAGCAAUACAUUGCAGCCCCCUCUUAGAAAUAAAAGAAUGUAUGUCAUGGAGGCAUGCUGCCCACUGCUAUCUUUCUCCAAGACACGAUAGGACUUACCAGUGAAUGGUGAUAUUUUCUUUUCCCCUAUUAUAAACAUCGACGAUGAUCAUCUCUCCUUUCUUAGCAUAUAUAGUUGGUCUUGGAAAUUGUCCAUUUACUGUUAAGAUGUUCUUGGUGCUACAAAGCCUUGUAUAUGAAGCCUCCUUCACCUGCAACCAAUUAAAAGUUAACCAUGCAACCUCAUCCCAAAAGAAAUAUUACAAGCAUGAAUAGUUGCAUCGAUCCACUCAUGCAAGUGCAUAACCAAUUAGAAAUUGAAAGCAUGCAUGAACGACUCAAUGACACCAGGGUACCCGAAGACACCAUGAGGGUCAUACGGUGGAAAAUGAGAGCCAUACUGCUCCCUAAAUAUCAUGAACAAAAGAUGGCGUUAAGGCUAGAAUCAUAUAAGUAUUUACCACAAAAGUAAGCCGACGAGUUGAAGCUUGGCAAUGGAUGCCACCACCAAAAAGUAGAAACGCUAAAAUUUGCAGGAGGAAAACCUUCAUGAUCAGCCACAUCUUCUUUGGAAUAAAAGCCUCUUCUCUUGUCCUAAACACAACUCCUUCAAUUUUCUUACUAUUUCUAAUAAGCACGACUUAUCUUCUCUUUGACAUGAAUAGAUGAAUUCUUAAAGGUAUUUAUAGAGGCUGGAGAGGACCAAAACUGGAAUUGGUGAAAGCUGAACAGCCGGUUUCUCUCGAACUUUUGAUGUAUUUUUUUAAUAUAUAAUUCAUAAUCUAUUCAAGAUGAUUUUCCUGGGGUACAACAAUUCCUCGCCGCGUAUCAAUAUAAGAGAAGUAAUUCGAAUGUGUAUUGGUUUUUAAAACUUUGACCUCUCAUAUAUACAGUACCUUUAUCAAGAUUAGUCAAUAUUUUUUCUUUGUUUUUGGUAUGAAGGGAAAAGUCAGCGCUAUAUAAUCAUAAUCCAUCAAAGAUACACUAUAUGCUACCAUGGGCGUACCGGCCAUUAGUAAUGGGCCAAAAUGUUCUCCAUGAUUAAAAAUAAAAUAUAAUCAUGGCAUAAAAAUGACCCUCAUUUUCAAGAGGUGACUUUCUCCUAGAAAGAAUUAAUUUCCUUUUUAUUUUCUCAUCGGGAGAAAGUUGGAGACUCACAUUGUUUAUAUUUUUAUAAUAGUUUUAGUUUAGUUUUAAAGCUUCCAAAAACUUCUCCCUUAUUUUUAUUUAUUAGGUUGGCUCAGUCCACUUGGGUACCCAAAAACAAACCCAAUAAAUAAUUAUUUAUUGAAUUGGGUCAAUCCCAAUAUUUUCAUAACCGAAUCAGACAUUGAAUUAGAAAAAUUAUCGAUUCAUAGGUCACUGGUCAGACUAGUGACCGAACCGGUGACAUCAUACAUACAUAAUUUAUAUUUUAUUAAAAUUAAAAAUAAUUUUAAAAUAUAUAUAUAUAUAUAUAUAAUUAAAAAUUAAUAAUAUUUGCAAUAUUAUUUAUUCAUUUUUAUAUAAAUGUAUUAAUAUUGUUAAUUUAUUAAACAAAAUAUACAUAAUAUUUAAAUAUGAAAAUAUAUUAAAAUGGGUAUAUAUAUAGGUAGUCUUUGAGUCAACAUGCAUAACAAGAUUGGACAUCAAUUAAUUCAUUUAAUAAUUAUGUUGAUUAGUUUAAUUAUACUUUUUAAAAUAUUUAACUCAUAUUUGACACAUUUUAAAUUUGAUUUUAAAUAAAUAGGUUAAUUGAGUCAUAAAUAUAUUAGUCAUAUAAAUUAACACAAGACCUAACUCUACUUAAUUAUUAAAUGGGACAUAUGAGUUACACGAUAUGUUACUUGUUUAGUAAUUAUGUAGUAUUUUAGGUUUACGUUUUUAACCAGAUUAUUAUUCGUGUCGAGUUUGACACAACACAAAUAUGACCCACCAACACAAAUUGUAACCCCUAAGCUUGUUCACUCAAAAAGUAAAUUUAUACUAAUAUUUAAUUACCUAGUUUAAACUAGUAGGAAUAUUUUUAAAUUAUUGCUUAGUUUUUUUAAAAUUGUUAAUAUUGGUAUAUGUAUAUAGUUUCUCUAAAGACAUUCCAUUGAUGUAGAAUUCCAAAUAUAAUUUGUCUAUAUAAAUAUAUCAUAUAUUUUUAAUAAAUAUAUAUAUUGUAAGUUAAAUAUUAUAUUGUAUAAUAUGUUGUACUAUAUGCAUAACUACUAUAUUACUAUUUUACAAAAUAAAAAAUACACUAUAUAAUAGUAAUAUAUUAUAUACAUAAAAAGUUUUUGUGUAAAGUAUCCAACCACAUUUUAAUUAAUAAUUGAUUAUUUUAUUUUUAAAUAAUCUAAUUAUGUAUUUAUUAUUUUUAAUUAUUAAUAACUAUUUUUUCAAAAGUGAUUUGUCAUUAAAAAUAAAAUCAUAAAUUAUGUCAUAAAAGUAGUAAUUGUUGUAGAUGCUAAUUUGUUAAGGAUUAUUAUUAUUAUUUUUACUUGCAUACAUUGUUUAAUAAAAUAUUUAAUUUAAGUUUUAAAUUCCUUACUUUAAAUUUUCAAUUUUAUUUUUAGUCUAAUUUUUAAUCUAUAAGUUCUAAUUUUUAAUUUUUAAUUUUUAAUUCCUAAAUUUUAAAGGGGAAAUCAUGUAACCAUACAUCACCAAAAAAAAUAAAUGAGAUUUUUAGAACUUUGCUUUUACCUUUUUAAUUUUAAUGAAGAUGAGAAAAAAUAUUACCUAUUCAUGUACUUCAAUAGUGCUUUCAGAUUUGUUCCAUAAUUACCCUCAAAAGUAAAUGACAAAAUACACAUCACUUUAAUACCACCUAUUGACAAGUACAUGAAUAAUUUAUUUUUCUUAUUUCUCUCACAUCAACUCCCUCACAUGUCUCACUUACCACUUGCCCCAUUUCCACUUUUUUCUUUUUUCUUUCUUUCUUUUUUUCCCCUCUUUUACCACCAUAAUCCAUAGUCACCUAUUAUAUUUUUCAUUCCUAUUUUUUUUUCCUUUGAUAUUCUUUUUAAUAUGCUCAUAUAUUUUCUCAGCUCAAAAUAUAUGUUAGCUCUGCAACUAAGGUCUUAACACUUAAUUUGGAAAAGGGGGUUCCUUUAUAUAGUAUAAAUCAUAUCAUAUCCUAUUAUAAGGUUGUGCAUCUUGGUUCAUUAAAGAAUUUGGGGAGUAUUCCCUUUAGACCUAGCCAUGAAAGCCUAAGAAUGCUUGACAUUUGCAUCUGGAUGCCUAGUUGGGUGCAUGCAACACAAACCGUGAGUCCAUACACUUAUCACUUGAGUGAUUCUACCCAAACUUAGUCAACUUAUCUAGUAUCCACUACUCCUUAGGCAAAAGAGAAACUAUAAGCAUUGUUGUUAGAAUUUACAUAUCAACCUGAUAAACCAUGAUCAUGCCUUUUAAGGCCAUAAAUCUUAAACAAUAGUAAUCGAUAAACAACUUUUCAAAAUCAUCACUUGCCUUGACUUAAACAUUUAGGGCUUAGUUCCUUUUGCUCUUUCUUACUCGACCUCUUACACUAAUGACUCAAUACGGAAGUCAACUCUUUGUCAGGGGCACAUCUCAACAAUAGUAUAUAUUCCUAACAAUCUAUUGAGCAUUGUCUAACACAAACCUACCCAACUAAUAGUUCCUUCAUGAAGAGAUGGUUGACCUCAACCCUUUUAGUCAACCUACCAUGGAGUAGCAACAUAAACUAUGUCUCUUCCCACACUCUAGUUCAAUUAGCUUUCAACUCUCUCCCAACCUCCAUCUCUCAUCUCAGCCUAUAGGUAAUCCAUGUUUGUCAACCUUCAUUCAGUUAAGAUCUAACUUAAUCUUUGGAGAGGCAUAGCCAAGAUUCACUUUCAAUACCCCUUAGUGCAAGUGCUAGGUGCUAUAGGCAAAUAGAUCAAUCACCACCUCUAAGAAGAAUACUGUUAGAUCACAUCACUCAUGGACCCUAGCUCAAGAGUUUGAGCACCAGUAAUAACUAUGAAAUAACAAGGGUCAAAGUGUAAGAGAUUUAUUUUAAAGAAACAAAAAAUUAAGUAAACAUAAUAAGCUUAGCAUGAUUAAUUAUCAAUUAAUUAUAUAUAUCUAUAUAUAUAUAUAUAUAUAUAUAUAUAUAUAUAUAUAUUUAAUAAAGAAGUUCCAAGUCUGAAACCAUUGUUUAUCUAUAGCCCUUUGGCCUUGUCAAUAUGAAACUAUAUUACAAAUUUAAAUAAUUUCUCAAUGUUUACAUGUGAGACAUUAACAUUGGUUCGAAAAUUACAAAAAAAAAAAAAAAAAAAAAAAAAAAAACAAGGUUAUUUGGACACAUGACUCAAAAUAACUCUCAAAUUAUAAAAAUGGCCCCUCACACUUUAAUUUUGUCGAGAAAUAACUCUUUCUGGAUGCUUUUACCCUUCUUCAUUUUCUUUAUUAUAAAAAUCAUUAUCUUUUAGUAACUGUCUUAUCUUUCAAAUAACACAUUCUUGCUUUCAUUUUAGAUGUUUAUCUAGAUUAAAUAAAUACACAACAGUCAAGUUUGAUUUACAAAAAAAUUUAACUAGAAUUAAAUUCAUUUACAAAUAAUUUAACUAUAGUCAAGUUUUCCAUUUCACCAACAAAGAGCUUGAUUAUAAUGAUAUGAACUUUGUUGUUAUUAAGUUUUAUUUUUAAAAAAAUUUAAUUAGAGUUAAUUUAACAUUUUAUCUACCAAAAAACUUAAUUAUAAUUAAUUUCUUAAUUAAAAUAUUCAUAUGGACUUAAACAUUAAAUGAAAGGAUUAUGUAAUCUCAUCUUCACAUUUUAGAAGUUUAAAUGAAACUACAAAAACACUUAACAAAAAAUAGUAAAAAUUACCACUAAAGGACAACCUCAAAAAAUCCUAACAAAAAUUCCACUAGAAAAAUCCCGACCAAAAAUCCUAGUUGGACAUUGCAAAUAAAUAAAAAUAAAUAAAUAAAUAAAUAAAGACAACCAAAAUCCCAACAAUACAAUUGCGAAAAAUUCUAACAAAAAAUAGCUACAAAAAAAGAAUAAAAAAAAACUAUAAAAUCUCAAUAAAAAAAAUUAUAAAACAACCAUAAAAAAAUACUAACCAAACACACACACACAUAUAAAGGAUAAUGAAGGAUCUUGAAGAAGACCGCAAUAAAACAACAAAAUCUCAACAAAAACCAAAUCCAAAUAAAUAAAAAAAUGCCACUGUUUGAUUAUUGUUCACUAUUUUCAAUUUUUAAAAAUAAGGUGAAAUAAUGAACAACUUUUAGAGAACAAGUAAAAGUUGUUUCCACCAAUUUUUAAAAAUAAUAGAAAAACACACACUCUAUUAUUUAUCUUCUAUAUAGAAUUAUUAUUUCUCAAUUCUUUUUUUGCUAGACAACUUAACUCCAAAUUAAAUAAUUCUUAAAUAAUAAACUCAUUAAUACCAUAAAUUUAUUAAGAUAAUAAAUAUAAUUUUUUCUAACAUAUAAUAAAAUAAUAUAUUUUCUAUUAAAAAUAUAAUUUAUGAUUUUAUUGUCAUAUUACUAUUUAUAUUUUACUAAAAACUAUAUAUUUUUUAAUUUAUUUGUAAUUACAAAAUUAUUUUCAUUUUCAAUAACACUUCACUUAAAUUUAAUUAAAUAAAUGUUAUAUAAAUUGAAUUUAAAAUGUUUUUACAAAAUCAAAACAAAUUUAAAAAAAAAUAAAUAAAAAACAAUUUAUCCAAACAGGUCUUUUUGUUUUUUAUUUUUAAAAUCCUUUUAUAAAAACAACUUGACAAAUAUUCUUAUUUUUAUAAAACAUUUAAAAACUUUUUUUGGUUCUUUGACUUAAAAACAAUUUCUCAAAAAAAAAAAAAAACAUAAGAAAUCAUGAUCAAACAAGAAUUUUAAAAAAAAAUUAAUUGAAGUACUUAUUUAACUUGUAUUAAAAAUGAAUAUUUAUAUCAUUUUUAUCUUAUAGUAAUUUUCACUAUAAUAAUAAAAAAAAUUAUUUAUCUUUAACGUAUACAUAUUUGUAGAUUUAAUUUUUAUUUGUUAAUAAGACUUAACUUAAAUUUGAUUUCAUAUUAUUAUAAAUUAAAUUUAUAAAAUUUUUAUAAAAUAAAAGUAAGACAUUGCUUUUAAAAACAAUACACAUUCUUUCAUCCAAACAAGUUUUUUGUUUUUUGUUUUACAAAAACUAUUUUUAAAACAUCUUAUCAAACACUCUUAUUUAAAAAAAAAAGAAAAAAAUUAAACUGUUUUUUGUUCUCUAUGUGAAAAAAAAAAUUAAUCAAAAUUUUAAAAAAUAUUGCCAAACGGGCCCCUAAGUUAUCCAAAGAUAAUUUUUUUUUUUAAUAAAAUAGAUCCAAUAAAACAUUUCCAUUAAAUAAGAAAAGGGACCCAAAAUUUUCUUUUAAUAAAAAUAAGUUUUAGACAUUUUUUUAGAUAAAAUAGUUCAAAUUUUUUGUUUUAAUAAAAGAAAUAGUUCAGAAUUUUAAAAUAAAUAAAUAAAAGGUUCAAAAAUAUUUUUUUCAAAUAAAAUAAAAUAGUCCAUGCUACUUCAAAAAAAUAUUCUUUUUAAUAAAAGAAAGUUUUCUUAAUAGAAAGUUCAAAUAAAUGUUUUUAGAAGAAUCUAGAAAAAGAAUAAUAAAAAUUCAAAUAAAUAUUUUUAAUAACAAGCUAUCUAGAAAUUCAUUUGUUUAACAAAAGUUUCUAGAAAAAAUUGAUAUUUAAAUAAAAUUGUCCAAAAAGUUAAUUUUAAUAAAAUUGUCCAAAAUUGAUUUUUAAAUAUAAUUCUCUUUCCUUGAUAAGAAUGGGAUUAAAAGUAAUUUUUAUAAAUAGAGGUCCUAAAGAAUUUUUUUAAAUAAGAAUAGUAUGAGUAAACCUUUAAAUCGAACUGAGAGACCUUUUUUUUUAAUAAAUUGGAAAACUAAUCUCCCGCUAGAUGAAAUCCAAAAUUCUUUCUAAAUAUAAUUGGAAUCCUUGGGAACAAAUUUGUGAAAUUCUUUCUCUAAAUAAGUUAGUAAUAAAGAAUCUUUUUCUAGGUAAAAUAAAAUAUAUAUAUAUAUAUAUAUAUAUAUAUAUAUAUUUAAUAAAAUUGGGUUGAAAUUCCUUCUUAUAAAUUUGUAAAUAUCUUUCUUUAAGUUUGUAGAUUUUUUUUUUUCAAAUAAAUAAAGAUUGAAUCAAAACACUUUUUAAAAUAAAUAUGUAAAACUCACCCCUCUUCUUAAUAAGGUAAACAAAAAUCAUUUCUUAUAAAUCAAAUCUUUUGUAAUCAAUUGAAGCCUUGUGAAUAAAUAAAUUAAAAUCACUAAUUUGAAAUUGUUGUUAAAAUAAAUGAAUUCUUUGAAAAUUUCUGGAAAUUGUAUUAUGAUAUUUGAAAUAAUAAAAUCUUUCUAAUAAAUUAUUUUGUGCAUUUCUCAUGUAUCAUUUCCACGUAUCCUUAUAAUUUGCUUUUGCAUUAUUUCAUGUACUUGUACUAUUCUUUAUAUAUAUAUAUUCCUUUUACGUGCUUAUUAGAAACCUUUUUAAGGCUUGAAGGGGUGCUACCCUAUGGUAUCUGCCCAAUAAAUAACCUGACCUCUAGAUUUGGACUCGAUUUUUACCGACACAUCUUUUCUUUAAAAAGGAGUAACAAUAGGGCUUUAUUUCUUUUCUUUUUUCUUUUAAAAAAAAUAAAAAAUGAGUGAUGACUCCAACUUUAAAAAAUAAAAAAUAAAAAAUAGUUUUUUAUAAUAAAAACAAGUCUCACCAUCAAGUGGGAAUGCACAUGAAAAAUGACAGUUCACAAUUGUAUUUCUUAGACUUAAAAUAUAAUACAAUUACUAAAUCAACAAAUGUCGUAAGUUUUUAAAUCUUUGAUGAUACAAGAUUCAAAGUAUAAUGGAACAAAUAGUUUUCAAAAGAAAACAAAUAUUUAAAAUGGAAAAUCUAACAAUAAAGACAAUGAAACAAGGUGAUACAAUAGGAGUUAAAUAGAGAAAUCUUUAUUCCACGAAUUUAUAGUUUAUUUAGUAGAAAAAAGUUCAAAAGAAAUAUUGUAUACAUUAAUGGAUUAAGUAGAUAAAAGGGAUUUAAGUAAUUUGACAUUUAUGCUUUCGUUAGAUAACAUCAAAUAGAUAUUUGAUAUUAUUAGUUUCCAUAUUGACUUUAGAAAUCUAUCAAAUGGAAGUUAAGAUUAUCUUUCUUUGAAUGGUUAUAUAAAUUAAUAGUAUAUAGGGUAACCUAAAGGAUUUAUGACAAGAACACAAAAUUAGGGAUAGAUAUCUACAUUUAGCUAGGUUGGAUUAUAACCAAUCCAAGAAUCAAAUAGAAGUUGAUUGGUUUUAACUAAAGUAUAACAAAUUUAUUUAUUGACUCAAGCUAAUCCAACUUAAUAUUAGUUUGAUUCAAUUUAGUUAACUCAAUUUAGACCAAAAUAUUAAGUCUAUAUGUUUUUUUAUCCACGGAACCAAAAUGAUCAAAUUGUUUUAGAUAAAAAUAAUUUUUUUUUUUACAAAUAAUACAAUUAAAAAAUUUAAAAAUAAUGUGUAGGAGCAAACCAAUGGGUUAUUUUCUUAUUGGGAGUAAGUCAAUGAAUAGUAUUCUUGACAUAUUGGGUGCUUGUGACUUGAAAUUAUAUAUCAUCAUUAUUUAGUCCCACAGUACAAAGAUUUUAAAUUUUAGAUCAUGCUUACGCCAUAAGCCACUUUAAAUUUGUAAUAAAGCCACAGGAGUUAGGCUCUAGGCAUCCAACACCAAACUAUAGCCUAACAAGUUAGCUUUGGAAGAGCAUGAUUUGACUCAUAAAGUCUCAAGAUUCUCCACAACACUCCAAAAUCCAAGAAAUUAUAUUUGUUCCACUCCUCUACUACUUGGGUUUGUUUGCCAAUCCACUUUUAGUAAGUGAUCUAGGUCAAACCUUUCAUAAUCCAAAUACUUAAACUAGUUUGAUCUCUAGUUUCAUUGCACUACCAAAAUAAAGUAAUUCAAGUAGAAAAAACCAAUGGCACAUGCAAGACAAGUUUUGCUGUUGGGGAGGUUUACAAAUAGCUUGUGGAAACCUUUCCUAGAAUAAUUUGAGACAAAUGCAAAUGGGGUUCCUAUGAACUAUUAUGCAAGGCUAGUCAGGCUUAUCUAUCAAACAAUGGAAAUUGAAGAUUUGGGGACCAAAUGAAAGUAAUCAAGUUUGAAGUUGAUGGAAUUGCUUAUUAACUCAAUAUGGAGGCUUAUCUCAAGCACCUUCUCAAUACAAUGCUUCGAGUCAAUUAACUACAUGCAUGCACUAAAGACUUCCACAACAAAGAAAAUUUUGCAAGAAUAAUCUAAAGAGCUACUACAACAGAGAAUGAUCUUCUGAACAUAUGUAAUUGAUUGUGCAUUAAUUAAGAGGGCUUCUCAAGUUGGAUAAGUUGUUUAGAAUUUUUAAGAGGGAAUUUUUAAACUUCACUGAAUUGAUCUAAGAGACAUUUACCAAGUUUUAUCAUGAUAAUAAAGUAUUGAGGAGAAAAUGUACCACCAAAACCAAGUUGUAUUUGCUAAGAAUACUUACUAUAUUCUAUUAAGAAAGAAACUAUCUAGUGGUAAAGGACAAGUUGAUAGUUUUAGUUCAUGAAGUUUUCACUACCCAAGCUAACAUCAAAAUCUAUUACAAGACAAAUCCCAAUAAGGUAAGAUAAAAGGCUGCACAGAAGGGACAUCUUGCUCCUUGUUGAAAAUCUCAUUCAAUUGCAAAUCUACCACAUCAAUAAUGCUCUCUUCUAUAAUUUUCUCAUACCCAAUCCACAAUACUAUUAUUAUACUUAUUCUGCAUGCUUUUUUUUUUCUUGCCUUUCUAAGUUAUUUUUUCUUUGGUUAUAGCAACAACUUCAUUGGUGUGUUAAAUUCUCUUAUAGGUAAUUCCUCAAACAUGUAAUAUCCUCAUUGUUGCUAUUAAGUCUUGCAGUAUGAAACGAAAAAUUAAAAUUCUUGUAUUCAAAAUCAAAUGGAAGCACAUGAAUUAAAAAAAUGCAAACACAAGAGAAACACUGAAAUCCAAUUACAAAGAGUAGUAUCAAAAUUUCCAUAUCUACAAAAUUCGGGUGUUAAGAUUUCUAAAAAUGAAAAAAAAAAAAAAAGAUUCAUUGAGAAAAGACCUACAUCGAAAAAAGAUCAAGGUGUGAGGUUAAGAGAGGAAUUCAACCCAUGCCUAACAUGGAUUCAAACAUAUUGACUAGAUUUGAAGAAUGCAAUUCAUCCAUGGGAACUUGUGUAUCUAAAGAGGGUUGGUUUUUGGAGGUACUAGAAGAUGGUUGGAGUAUGGUGAUAGUUGUUGAAAGGGUUAAUGGUGGUGGGAAUCCAUAACUACUGGUGAAGAGGAAGUUAGGUGUAUUGGAGACUUGAUGAGGAAGAUAAUGUGAGCCUAAUAAAAUUUCCUCCUACUUUUCCCUUCUCUUUCUCUCUUAUAUUCCUCACUAAUUUCUAAGGAAAGUAGAAAGGAAAAUAUUACAAUAUUUUCUUUAGCAUUUUCAUUUAUAUUUUUUUCCAUCAUAUUUCUCAUGUCACCCAAACUAAGGAAAAUAACUUUCCAUAGUAUUUUUUUGGUCCUUUCCCUUGAAUUUUCUGAAAACCAAACACAAUCUUUGUAAAUAAAAAUUAAGAACUACAACAAAUUGUAUAUUCUUCCUCUUUAUUCUUCCAUUUCUACAUCUACUACUCUAUUUGACAUCAUAUUUUUACUCGCUUCUUCAAUAAGCAUUCCUCCCUUUAUACAAAGUUAUCUUCGCACCAAUUCAUAAUAUAAGAAAGAUGAAUGAACCUUGGGGCAAGGUUGGACAACCGGUGGCAACUAGUCAAGGCUUAAAGUCAACUUUUGCUUGACUUUUUUUUGGCAUGGGCAGCGACUUGUGGACCCCUCUUUAGCAUGAAAGUGGCUAGAAUAUGUUAAGCUCUCUUAUUCGAUGGUUAAUGAUGUGUGAACCAUAACAAUCAUAGGUUGGGGAAUAUAUGGUAAUCAUGCAAAUAUCUAUCUAUCUAUGUAUCUAUCUAUCUAUCUAUAUAUAUAUAUAUAUAUAUAUAUAUAUGGUAUCCAAUUAUAUAAAAAGACAUUUUUCAACAUUUGAUAUAAGUAAAAAUUAAGAGGAAAAUAUUAAAAAAAAUUAUUAAACCUAAAAACAGGGACUUAAUAAUAAAAUGAAGCAAAAAGUUAAAAUUAAAACCAAAUAUUAAAUAUGAAUAUAGUUUAAGUAUUAAAAAUAUGAUUAUUUAGGUUUAAUCAUUGGGUUUGCUAGAGUUUAUAUAUAUAUAUAUAUAUAAACUUUGUAAAUUAAAUAUCUCUUUCUAUUAUUUAAAGGAAUCACUGAAAUGAUUGCAUGAAAGAUUUAUUUCAUAGCCUAAAAUAAUGAUAUUGGCAUUAUAUAUAUAUAUAUAUAUAUAUGUUUGUGUGUGUGUGUGUUUACUUUAAUGGUAGGCUGAUUUUUAGCCAUAAUAAUAAUAACUAUAUUAUUGUAUUAUUGAAAUAAAAAGGUUGUUGUCCUCUAAAUUUGAUUUGAAAUACAGGGGUUAUUUCUAACACUAAGAUGAUGUUUAUUUUUUUGUUUGAAUAGAAAAAAUUAAAAUAUUUGAUUUUGUUUAUUUUUUAUUUAACUAAAAGUAACCUGUUGAUAUCAACCAACAUAACUAAAGUGAACUUAUUAUUAAUAGGUUUAGUUUAGUUACGUUGGUUGAUAUCGGUAGGUUAUUUUUAACUAAAUAGAAAAAAUAAAAUAUUUUAGUUUUUUCUGUUCAAUAAAAAAGCAAACACAUCUAAAAUUAGAUAAUAAAAAUACUUUGAGUAGAAAUAAAUUCAUAUGGACCACUAUCAAAUACUAUGCACAAGGAGAAAUUCAGAUCCUCACUUGCUCUUUGAAUUUAAUGCAUUGAAUUUGAUGUUGCCUAAAACAAAAUUAUAUUUCAUGUUGUAUAUUAUGAGUAGACAACCAUUCCUUAUGUUAGAUUUUAGAUAAAGAAUGGAUAUUGGAGAUUGGAGUUGUAACAAAUUAGGAGAUCUUAAUUUUAAAUAUGUAACAAAGUUCUAUAAUUACUUCAAUCCAUGUUUUAAAAAUUGUAUUUCUUUCUAAUAUUGGAGCAAACUUUUUCUUUCUUUCUUAUAAAUUUCAUUUGGGAAUGAUUUUAAAAUAAAUAAAUAAAAGCCCUUCUAAAUAUUAAAAAGUAAACCUUUCUUAUAAAAAUUAAUUAGGUAGAUGGUAAGGUCAAAUUCAGGAUAGCUUCAUAUUUUUUGCUUUAACUGAAAAUUAAAAUCAAAAUUAAAGUAAUAAUUUUUAAGGGGUAAUAUUGAUAUUGUAAAAGUUCUAUUAAACAUGAAAGAACUUCUUAUAUAAAAAAAAAAUAGAAUUAUAAAAUUCUUAUAAAAAAUUACAUUUUGAUGACUUCUACAUGAAACCUUUUUUAAAAGUUAUAAGUUUUUUUUUUUAAAAAAAUAAUUAAAUAGGUAAAAAAUCUUUUAUUUAACUCUUAAGAGUCAAUCAUAAGGAAAUUUAAAUAUAUAUGAAAAUCACUUUUAAAAAUCCAAAAAAUCCCUUCAAAAUAAUUUCUAAACAUUUUUUUAACUUACAUUUAAAAAAUAAAAAGUAAAAAAUGAUUUGUUUUUACUAGUUAUUUAAUUUUAAGGAAGCAGUAAAGGGUUUACUUUGAUGUAAAAUAAAAGAUAAAUAAAUAAAUAAAAUGAGGGUUGAAAAGUAAGUAAAUCACUAAAAAAUAGACUUGGAGUUCCUUCGGUGUGGGGUUAGAUUCAAUUUGUCCCAUGCAAUGGAAAUGGACGAUUUUUUAUUUUAUUUCCUUUUCCUUUAUCUUGGUGUAGUCUUGUGAUAUUGUUACUAAAAUAGGAGGUAAAAAUAUAAAUUAUAUAUCAAUUAUUUUAAAUUUAGAAAAAAAAAAGUGCUUAUUUUAAUUUGAAAUAAAUAAAUAGAAAAAAACUGAUUUUAUCUCAAUUGAAUAAGACUUCAUAAAAAAAUUCUUAUUUGCAAAAUAUUUUGAGUUGUAACAGUAAAAAUUAAACAAAACAUUUCAUGACCUUUUUCACAAGUAUCCAUUUAGAUCACAAUCUAAUUUUUAAAUAUUUGAAUAAUUCAAUUACUCUAAACUAUAUCAUUUAUAAUUUUUUUUAUUAUUAAUAUGAUACCUAAGCUUCUAUAGAAUUGGAAUAAAAUAUGGAUAAGUAAAAAAUGUCAAAUGAAAGAUAAUUUCAAACUUUUCUAAUACAACAUGAUAUUUUAUCAUGUUCAAUAAAAUUGGAAUGGGCAAAAGUUGUCAAAUCAAGACUUCCAUGGCAAAUUCCAUUGCAUAUCUCAAAGAUUAUUCUACAACAUUAUCUUCGUAGACUUUUAACAAUCCAAGAAAUUGAAAAAUUAUAUAAUAAUCCCAAACACAAUAUUCUACAACUUUACAAUAUUCUACAAUUUUGUUGAACAAAAAAUAAAUAAUGAAAUCUGAAUAAUGCAAACAUUCAAUGAAAUCUUUGGCAUGUUAAUUCUUUGCAGCUUCAACAUGGUGGCAUGUCGGAUGGCGGAGGCAGCAUUUGAGCUUCUGGGUGUUUACCAUUUUUCACUAUGAACGCAGUUUCCAUGCCCCAAGUCACAUGGCGUUCUACAUGGCAGUGCAUGAACCACACUCCUGCAAUAGAGAAAAUAUACCAACAUUACACCUAACUUAUUGCAAUAUUAAGAAAAAUUAUUUCAAGGGUUUUUUUUUUAAUAGAGGAUGUGAGUGCUUGCAACAUACCAGGGUUGGAUGCCUCGAAUCUGAUUGCAACCCAACCAUUCGUAGGAACGGAGAUGGUACUCUGAAGGGGAGGAUCCACCAGAUUAUAGCGCAAAGGGUCCCUAUUUUUAUCAAAAUUCCCAAAUCCCCAUCCAACAAGGUAGAAACUGUAUCCAUGGAGAUGCAUGGGGUGGUGUGUCCCUGCAACCAAGUUUGUCCCUUGAAAAACAAUCUCCACUGUGGAGUUAUACUCGAGCACCCUUACUUCUGUUCCGAUUUCUGGCGUCUGAUACUCUAAUGGAAGAUAAUCAGCUGUAAAAUCGAACACUAGUGGUGGAACGCUAGGAAAUUUAUCUCCAUAUACACCACUGAUGUUAUAAUAGUAAGCUUGUAGUAUGUCAAUUGUAGGGGAUUGGAAGCUUAUGUUGUUUAUACUUGCGGAGAAUCGCGUCCCAUUGGGCCCUGCACAUGAAUUAUUGGGGCAUAGGAACGAGUUUACAGAAACAGUGUAAAUCAGUUUAGUGCUCGGGCUCAAUGGGACAUUGGAAGGAUGUUCCGCAUCUGCUAAGCUUCGGAGGCCAGCCAUGACCUGAACCGAUGCAUUUGUGUCAUUAUAUGCAGGAAAAUGAGGCAAGGAGAGAGGUGAAGAUGGAGUGUAGUAUCCUCUGUACUGUACAAUAGCUGUGGUGGUUGUGUUAUCAUAAAAAUUUUGAGCUACCGGGGCAAUGGAAUAAGUUUUAGCCGCCAUGUAAUAGUGAUCUGGGAGUUGGUUAGCUUCUAGUAAGACGUCGAAGGUUUGGCCAGGAUAUAUUGUGAUAUAAUCUCGUGUCAAUGGUUUCGUGUAGCUACCAUCUGUUCCAACCACUGUCAUUUUAUGCUUGGCAAUGGAGAAGAAGAGAGCCUCAUGCAAGGCAGCAUUGAUUAUGCGAAGUAGAUAGG